CUUAGUAAGAUGCUCACCAUAACUCCCAGUCUGAUGUCGUACGUGAGUAGGAUCCGCACCAUAGAAAACAGGCAAAACCGAACAACCCCUUGUCUUGUAGCAGUGAAUGAUGUGGACAAGUUCGUCCAAGCAAAAUGAAGAAGAUGCAUAGUUUGCAGAAAAUAUGGGAAUCAAAAUCCUAGACUCUUCAAUGGCCUUGACAAGUGAUGGUGUGCUUUCAUCUCCUCUUUCAAGAUCGUUGUCAUCAAUGAAGGUUUUGAUUCCCUUGUCAAUAAGAGCCUUGUAGAGAUUGCCGGUAAAACCGUAAAGAGUGUCAAUGUCCCUAAAACUGAGGAACACAUGGUAUUUGAACCCAGAGGAAAUUGAAGAGGAAGAGGAAAGUGAUUGCAUAGCCAUGAGAAUUGAGAGAAAUAAGAUGAAAAAAAAGUUUGAGAAUAUGAAUGAGUAAGUUUUUGUGGUCUGUGAUGUGGAGUCUUUAAUAUGGAUCUAUAUAACAAGGAGAAAACUUGUGACAAAAAUGAUUUGUGAAACUUCUUGGCCACUUCCUAUAGCCGUGUGGACCAAUCACUAUAUGGACCUACCACCUCUUCUUGCUAAUUUCCUCAAUAUGAUUACUGUUCAAUUUUUGGACACAACUUAAAUAAAUAAACAAGUGAAAAGCCAAAUAAUAUUUCACUAUUAUUUUUUUCUUUGUUUCUGCCUAAUGCUACAAUAUACGGUUUUCAAUUUUUUUAUUUGGACACAUGAUUUCCAAUAUUGUAUUUUGACAUUGUAUACCAUUGAGAGUGAUGUUGGUUGGAGUGAGCACGACCACCCGAGAAGAGAAAAAAACUAUUUAAGACUAUGAAACCAAUAAGUAUAGCGUGUGUCUAGAUCUACGUUAAAAAAAAUUCUACAAGACAUUUUACAAGUUUUAUUUUUCAACCGAUUUUAUUCUUGUGUGUGAUUUUAUUCUUGUGUGUGAUUUUCAGUUUGUAAGUUAAUUAAUCAGUCCUAAAUAACAUGAAAUAAAAAUAAAUGCAGCCUAUGCUAUUCUAACAUCUAAUAAGACAGUUACAAAAUUAAAUCUGUUACUUAAUUACUCCUUUUUCAUUUUUGUUAUGUUAACUAUUACAAAUAGAUAUAUACAUAUAUAUGGUUGAAAGUAAGUAACAGAAGAAAUUUGAUGAAGACUAGUUCUACCUAAUAAUUUUGCUUAUUACAGAGUCAAAUUUUUUCUUUAAAAAUGGAUUUACAUGUCAUUGGUGAUCAACUAUGUCUUCAAAAUAUGACCUGUUUAACUAAAUGAUUAAUUAACCAUGCACACACAAUUAUUAGUGUAGGUUGUUAUGUUGAAUGCUUAAUUAGCCAUACAACUGUAACAUAGAAAAUUUAUAUAUAUUUCAUUCCAAAUAUGACAAGGCUUUGGAAAAAUGACUUUAAAUUUAAAUUUUCAAUUGAAGAUGAGAUGGAGAAGCUAAUUUUAUGUAAAAGAUUCUUCUAACUGAAUUAACAAUCACAUUUCAAAGUCAGAAAUAUGCUACCCUUCCCAAAGGAAUAUAUAUAUAUAUAUAUAUAUAUAUUACAUAUAUUCAAAAGUUUUGAUAGUAUUUCCGUCUUAAACUAACUAGUUAGUUAAAAACAAGAUUAGGGUAACAUAGAUAUGAAAUAUUCUUUCCUUCAUUUAUUUUCUCAAGUUUUGGCUACCAAGUCAACACUUUUACUACCGCAUGUUGAGUCUGAAACUUUCUUCUCAUCUUCCAUGUGGACAAAUGUGGGACACUUCCUUUGAAUUUCUACAUCUGUACGUGUGGACCAUUCAGCAAUAGCACCACUCAAAGACCAACCUUCAAAGUCAUUAUCCUUAACCUGUUUCCAUCAAUGAAGGAUAUGGAUAGGUGGAAGAAUAGUAAUACUUGUGUAAACUAAUGCGUGCCUUAAAAAUUAAACUAUGAAUUGCGAGCUGUGAUAUUUUGUUUAGACCUCAAAAGUCAAAAGUCUUUCUGAUAGUUAUUGUGUGUGUCAAGACAAAUACAAUCUCAUCUAUUGAACUGACAUUUUCUGCUCUUAUUCUAAGUCUAUACAAGAACUUGAUAUUUAUAUUUGAAAUUUGAUUCACCUCUUGUAAAUUCCUCCUCAUAAAAUUUUAAAGAUAAAUAAUUAGUGUUGGCACCCAAUUUAAAAAUGAAUAAAACUAAAGAAUACAACAAAUAUAAAAGUAUAAACUAUUAACGGAGGGGGGACACGGUUCUUUACUCCCAAAGAUUGUUUCAACAUCAUUUAAUAUAAUCAGAGAAUCAAUUAUCCUUUAACAACAAAAGCUAGCAACAACAACUUCAUGAUAUUUUUUUAUUAUUUCCAUUAUCCAAGGAAACAAAAGUUUACAAACGCGUCGACAUUCAAAUACAUUAUUCAAGGAUAUGGCCUCCAUAGCAAUUAUGAGCAUGGUUGUAAAUUUAAUCAAAUAAAAACACAAAUUGCAAUUAUAUUUUAUACUGCAUAGGUCAUGACUCUGGCAAAACGAUCUCAUGAAUGUUGGCUCUCAGAUUCAGUUCUUUAUCCCAUAUUACUAUAGAAAUAUAGAAAGAAAUUGUAUAAUGUUGAUAAUUACAAAUUUUGAAUAGUAGAAGUAAUGCUAGUUAUAGCAAAACCCACUAACUAUUGGUACAAGAUAUACUAACACACAGUUUUUAUUUAUAUGACCAAGCCUUUGCAUAUUUCUUCAUAUUAUCCGAUGUGGGACAUUAUUCUAAUUAUUAUUAUUGAAAUCCUCCCGCAAUUGUAUGGUUUGAGAGAGAGAUGCAACUUGGACAGUAAGUACUCGAACCUAGGAUGAAGCAGGGGUUUGGUUAGAAUAUCAGCAAGUUGAUCAUCGAUAGAAACAAAGGAUACUCGAAACUUGCCAUUUCGAACAUUUUCUCGGAAAAAAUGAUAGGCUAAGGCUAUAUGUUUCAUCCGAGAGUGAAAUACAGAAUUAGCACUAAGGUGGGUACGUAGCACCGAGGUUGUCACAAUAGAUGACUGGAUUGGAUGGUGGAGUGUGGCCUGAAGGUGAAAAACACAAGAAGGGGGGGGGGUUGAAUUGUGUUUUCUUUUUCUCUUAAAAAAGGAUUCUUCUUCUGAUAAAACUUCAGAAGCAGUUUGAUUGCUUCUGAUGAAAUGAUCAGAGUCAGAUUGCAGCGGAAAAGAACAGAGCAGAGAAAAGAAAGACAAAGACACAGGCAGUUAUCCUGGUUCCUUCCACAACACGGAAGUAGUCCAGUCCCCCUUGCACUUCCAAGGAGAUUUCACUAUAAUCACAAGAUUACAACUGCUCAAUACUUUCAAAGUAUGAGACUUCACAAAACAAUGCUCAAGCACACACGCAAGAGUCUUCCAAUGCUCAAGCACUAAGCAAGAGACUUCUAAUGCUCAAGCACGCAGGCAAGAGACUUCUAAUCAAACAAAAAUACAGAGAAUUGAGUUUGAAUUGAACACUUGAUAUACAAUCAGUGGUGUUCACAAUACAAUACAGAAAAGACUCUAGACUUUGAAUUUCUAAGAUGUAUCAAAUCAGUGCAGAAAUUCAGUGUGCUUUGUAGAAUCAAAUUGACAGAGUUUUGGCGCUUUUGAACUUAUGUAUCUCUAUCUAAAAUCUUCAAGUCUUCAUUCCUUUAUAUAGAGGCGUGAAAGAGACGUUGAGAUAAUCAGCACGUCUAAAGAGUCGUUUGAAAUCCUUUGAUUAUCCACCAGUGAUCCUUUGCCUGAUUUGGGUGUAGUCCUUUGAAGGAUAAACUUCAAAUUCAUUCCCAUCUUGAGUGUACAAAUUCUGCAGGCAUGGCUGUUGUUUUGUCUUGUAGCGUAGACAGAAAACAGAGUAGUGGAGGUAGUGGUUGUACACUUGUACUUUGUCAACUCUAUUAAUGAGAGACAAGUGCUCAGUGCUAUCCAUAUAUCCGUUGAUACCUCCCUUUCAAUUCUUCAUUCUUCUUUGAUAAGACUGAAUUGAGAAUCAGCAACUUUGAAUCUUCAGUUUGACUAAAGGAUCAAAUGUAGCUUCUGGUGAAAAUAUUGCUUCUGAUGAAAACUUUUGCUUCUGAUGACUUUCUGCUUCUGAUGACGUCAUCUCUUCAGGAGCAGUUUAGCUUCAGGAGCAGUUUUCUUCAGAUGCUCAGAAUUUCUUUUUCUUUCCAUUGUUCUUCCAAGACCUAUUGAAAUAACUUGAGUAGCCUUUGGUCCUGUACACUUGAACAAUUAUUAGUAAUAACCAAUUGACAAUUUUUAAUACCUUGUUAUCAUCAAAACUUAAUAAGGUUCAUUGUGAAACACAUUUUGUUCCAACAAUCUCCCCCUUUUUGAUGAUGACAAACAAUAGUAUUUAAAAUGUUCAAUUGUUGUUGAUCUAAUUAAUAAGUUGACUACUGGGACAGAGGUUUGUAAGCUCCCCCUGAGUCUAAUAGUUCUUUAAGGUGAGGUUUGUAAGCUCCCCCUAAGUUCUAUUCUUAUUAAUUAAAUUUCAAUAAAAUACUCAUAAAAAUCAAAUCAGAGGUAUUUAAAAGAAGUUUAGAAGUUGUUAUAGUAGGGCUCAGUGCCUUAAAAAUACUCAUAAAAAUCAAAUCAGAGGUAUUUAAAAGAAGUUUAGAAGUUGUUAUAGUAGGGCUCAGUGCCUUAAAAAUACUAUACAUUUACUCCCCCUUUUGUCAUCAACAAAAAGAAUAGAAACAAAAGAAAGAGUAUCAGAGCAAGCAGCAUUAAACAGUAAAUAUCAUCAGAGUCAAAGCUUGUAAAACAUAUUGAAGGUGAAAAAGCACAAGAUCCAGAAACAAUGAUAAUAUAUAUAAAGAAGAUUAAGAUACAAGGACACAGCUACGAAGAACAAAAGUAAAAAACAAGCUAGAGUUGGGUGUGCAACUAAGGUUGGGCUUGCUUAUACAACUGUUCUAAGAGAUACUUGAUCUGAUCAUCCUUCUUCUGAAGUAGCUCAUCCUUUUCCCUCAUUCUUCUUUUAUAUCCAGCCUGAAUUCUAGCAGCCCUAGUGAUGUACUCUUCUUCUGGAUAGAAAGGAGUGAUGUCCAGCAGAGGCUCAAAAUUCAGCUCUUUCUCCUUAGCUGCUUCAUGCAUAUCAUCCAAAAGCUUCUUCAGCAUAGCAGAGUGAGAUGACACACAUUUAGUUCUAAGCUGAUCCAGCAGCUCAUCAAAGCUCUUCUGUAGAUCCAUCCACUGAUCAUAAUAGUGAAUAGGAGGUGCAGGAACUGUUCUGCGAAGAAUCAGUGCCUGAAUCUCAUCACUAAGUCUGAUCAGUUGUUCCUCUAUAUACUCAGACUCCAGGAUAUGGUCAGGGAUGGGUGAAGGUUCAGUUUGAGUUGUAUUUGAUAUGGAAGGUUGGUCAGAGGUUAAGUCUAUUAUAGUGGGUGAAUCUGGUUGUUGUUGUUGUUCUGUUGUUUGGUCAGAAGGUAUAUGUUGGUCAGAAGUUGUUUGGUCAGGAGCAACUUGUUCAGAGGCAGUUUGCUCCUGAACAGUUUGCUCAGGGAUGGUUUGGGUUACUGUUUGGGUUUCCAAGACAGUCUUUUCAGGAACUGUCUUAGAGGCCUUAGUGGGUGUUGGUUGCAUUUCACCACCUAGAUGUUUUUCUAAGUUGUGAAGGGUUGAGUAUUCUUGGUGUUGGGGGGUUUCUGAAGUAGUUGCAUCUGAAGCUACUUCAGAGGCUUUUUGUGUGGUUGAGUUAUGUGGUGAGUUUGUUGUAGGUUCUGGGUUGGGUUGAGGUUGUUGUACACUAACAGGUUCAGGAUUAUCUGGAUAGAGUGGAUGAGUAGGAGGCAAAUUGAAUUUCUCACAAAGUUUAAUUCUAUUCUUAGAAAAUUCUAUUUGAGUUUGCUCCCAGUCAAGUGUUCCUAAAUCUGUUAGUUUGGUAGGUUUGGUUUUUAGAAGCUUGUCUAUGUGUUGGCUAAGGGGUUGGUCAUCUGAUUCUGUUGAUGAUGAAGAGGGUGAAGAGGGUAGAGAUGGAAUCUGAGUAUUAGUUGGAGCGUUAGAUGGAUUACCUGAAGACUGAGCUUCUGGAUGAACUGCUUCUGGAGCUUCUGAAGCUGGUUCUGAUGAAGUUGCUCCUGAAGCUUGCUUAUUCUUCAAGGCUUGAGAAAGCAGAGUUGCUCCAUACUUAACAGUUUCUAACUCCGAUGCUAAAGCAGCAAUGUCAGGAGUAGGCACAUACCCUGCAGCCUUGAGACGUUCAUCCCUUUCUUGUUCAUACAAAAUCUUCAUCCUUUUCUUUUCUGCUAUCUUGGAUGCAGCAACCUCCCUAGUAUACUGCUCCAUUUCUUCAGUCAUUUCGAAACUGGGCAUGACUAUGGGCUCAGAAGUUGCAGUCCUUUUUGCUUUCUUAGGGCUUGAGUCUUCAUCCCAGUUCUCUUCCAGUUCUUCCAACAUUUGUGCCCUUCUUCCUUCACUUGUCUUCAGAUUUCUUGUUAAAUUAGACCUUUUCCUUUUGAUGGUCUGAAGAGCAGCUUCUCUUUUAUUUUUGGGACUUGGAGGCUUUUCAGAAGCAGCUUGAUCAGAAGCAGCUUGUUCUGAACCAGCUUGUUCAGAAGCAGGCUGUUCUGCUGUUUCUUGAGUACUCCUUGUCCUUUUUCUGAUAAGAGGGACAUCUUCCAAAUUCUCCACUUCCUCAAGAAUGGUGGACAUAGCAGAUUUUACCUUUUUAGCUUUCUUAUGCUUCUGAGCACCCACCUCAGUAGCAUUUUCAGCAAGGUAUUCUUCCUUGGUGAUCUGCUUCUUCUUAGAUUUUCUGCUUUUGGCCACAGGCAGCUCACCACCAUACAUUUGGUCAGGAACAUCCUUCAAGCUGAUUUUCUGGUUAAAGGAUUUGUAGUGAUCCAUGAUAUAUGCCCUUUGAACCUCCAAGGGAUCUUGUUUACAGAUGGGAGGAAAGUCUGGGAUAAGAUCUGAUUUGGCAUCAGAAGGUUUCAAGUCAGUAGGACUCUUCUUCACAUCUUUUGCUUUAAUCAGAUGCAUAGCCCUUAGAGUCUCACCAUUGAUAAUCUUCCCUCUAACAGUUCCCAACUGUUCAUCUGUGAAGAUCUGAGCUUCUUUCAGCAUCUCAAUAAUUCCUCCCUGAUGGAAAAUCUCAGAGAGUAGUCUUCCAUAGGGUACCCAAGACCUUUUAUUCAGUUGACUCUCUCUGAGUUGAUGAACCAUAUGUCUGAAUAUGUAUCUGGGAAUAUUUGCCUCUACACCCUUUAUGACAAAGUGUAAGAGGAUUUUAUGUUCCAGAGAGGGCUGAUCACCACCACCACCUUUUGGUAGUAGGUUUUCGUUCUGAAUCUUCAACAUAACCUUUGUCUUGGUGUUCAUGUCAGAAUAGGCAAAGUCCUUUACCUUGUUGUAGAGAGUUUUGUUAACAAUAGCAUUCCAGGGGCUGUCCUUUGGCUUUGAAAUCCCAGCCUCAUGUUCUCCUUCUGCUGGUCUUCUGAUGACAAAGGCAAUAGUGUCCUCAGUGAUCCAGACACGGAUUCCCAUGAUGCUUGAUCUUAUCUGGGUUUUGGAGAAAGUUUCCAAGCCCAUUUCCGCUCUAGACUUCCCUUUGAGUUCAGGAUUGAGAAGAACUUUUUCAUCUUCUUCAAUCUUGGCGGCUUCCCUGUCGUAGAUGCUGGCUCUAACCCAGAAAUGACGAACCAGUGUUUGAUAAGUUGGUCCAUUUAGAAGAUUGAAGUACCUUCCCAGACCUUGUUUCUCGUAGUACUUGCCAAUGUCACAGUCGUGAGCGGCCAAAGAAUCAAAAUCCACCGGACUUUCUGAUUGAAUGUUUAAUUCCCAUUCCUCCAAGGACAUAGUUCUUCCUUUGAUUUCAUAAGCAGGAGUAUCUAUAUCCAUAUUCGAUGAAGAACCACCGGCAGAACUUGAAGAUGCCAUUGAUAUGAAGUGGUUUUAGGGUUCUAAAGAGUUUUUGAGAGGAUGAGAGAAUGUGCUUACUUACACAGAGGGUUGAGAAGAAAUUAGAAAGUGUUUGUUGUGAAGUGAGAAGUGUGUGAAAUGACUUAGUGUUUUUUAUUAAAACGUUUGUAAUUCAGAAGGGACAAACAAACACAGCAUUAAUGACAAAUUGGGGGCGCGUGUAAGUAUGUUAAAAAGCGAAUAAAAACAUCAUUGCCCUUUUUGUUAUACUCCAAUACAAAUAGACCACGUCAGAGACUCUUCAGAAAACUACCUUUUGGGUAAUGGGACAGCUGUUACAUAAAGUAACUGCCAGCGUUCCCACUAACCAAGCUAUUCAGAAGCAAAGAAUAACACUUCUGAAGUUUUAGUGCUGACGUCAUCUUCAGAAGCACAUUUUCCUCAGAACCUCAGUUUAAGAGCUUCUGAUGAACCAAAAAUGCUCCUGAAUAAACUUCAGAACCAAACUUCUUAUUCAGAGGCAAGCCAUUUUUCAAUCAGACACAAAAUGCAUGUUCAAAUUUUUCUUAAUAAAAUCAAAUCUUUCAACAGACAAAGGUUUUGCAAAUAUAUCAGCCCAUUGAUGUUCAGUAUCAAUGAAUUGUAUAUCUAAAAUUCCUUUUUGAACAUAGUCUCUGAUAAAAUGGUGUUUGAUUUCAAUAUGCUUGGCUCUUGAAUGUAGAAUUGGAUUCUUUGACAAACAAAUAGCAGCAGUAUUAUCACAAUAAAUGGGAAUACUGUUAGCAUUGAUCUGAUAGUCUUCCAACUGAUGUUUCAUCCAAAGUAGUUGUGUGCAACAACUUGCAGCUGAAAUGUACUCUGCUUCUGCUGUAGACAUAGCAAUAGUUGCUUGUCUUUUGCUUGCCCAGGAUAUCAGAUUCUCUCCCAGGAAUUGACAAUUUCCACUGGUUGAUUUUCUUUCAAUCCUAUCACCAGCAUAAUCAGCAUCACAGAAUCCAAUCAACUUAUAAUCUAGGGAUUUCCUAUACAGGAGUCCAAGAUUAGUUGUUCCUUUCAGAUACCUGAAGAUUCUCUUAACUGCAGUUAAAUGAGAUUCUCUAGGAUCUGAUUGAAAUCUUGCACACAAGCAUACACUGAAUAAAAUAUCAGGUCUAGAUGCAGUGAGGUAUAACAGAGAACCAAUCAUACCUCUGUAUAGCUUCUGGUCUACUACUGUUCCAGUAUCUUCUUUGCUUAAGGUGCAGGUUGGAUGCAUUGGAGUGUUCAUCACUUUACAAUCUUCUAGCUUGAACUUCUUCAGAAGCUCCUUUGUAUAUUUUGUUUGAUGAACAUAUACUCCUUCUUUACUUUGGUUGAUUUGAAUUCCCAGAAAGAAUUUCAAUUCUCCCAUCAUACUCAUUUCAAAUUCAUCCUGCAUUAACUUAGAAAAUUCUUUGCAAAGAGAUGCAUUAGUAGAACCAAAUAUUAUAUCAUCAACAUAUAUUUGCACAAUCAAAAUAUCUUUCUUAAGAGUCCUUCUGAAGAGUGUUGUGUCAACUUGUCCUCUUUCAAAAUCAUUUUUAAUUAAGAAAUUACUUAGUCUAUCAUACCAAGCUCUGGGAGCUUGUUUCAAGCCAUAUAGUGAUUUCUUAAGUUUAUAAACAUGGUCAGGAUGCUUAAGAUCCUCAAACCCAGGAGGUUGUUUAACAUACACUUCUUCUUCAAUGACACCAUUAAGAAAAGCACUUUUGACAUCCAUUUGAUAUAAUAUUAUGCCAUGAUUAAUUGCGUAGGAUAGAAGUAACCUGAUUGCUUCCAAUCUUGCAACUGGAGCAAAUGUUUCAGUGUAAUCAAUGCCUUCUUGUUGACUGUAGCCUUGAGCAACAAGUCUGGCUUUGUUUCUGGUUACUUCUCCUUGUUCAUUCAGCUUGUUUCUGAAUACCCAUUUUGUUCCAAUAAUGUUCUUCUGAGAAGGUUUGGGUACCAGAUCCCACACAUCAUUCCUUUGGAAUUGAUUUAGCUCUUCUUGCAUAGCUAAUAUCCAUCCGUCAUCUGAGAGAGCUUCUUCAACAGUUUUAGGCUCAAUUAUUGAAAGCAGUCCUAUUAGAGACUCUUCUUGUCUAAAAUGUGAUCUUGUUCUUCUAGGACUAUCUUUGCUUCCAAUGAUUAACUCCUCAGGAUGUGAAGAUUUGUGCUUGAAUUUAGGUUGAAUAACCUGCUGAGUGUUAUCUUGAAAGUCCUCAGAAGCACUUUCAUUCUGUACUUUUGGGCUAGGUUCUGCUUCUGAAUUAGACUCAGCUUCUGGAGUGAUUUCAGCUUCUGGACAAGAUUCAACUUCUGUAUACUUUUCAGAAUCAGAAGGUUGAUCAGAUUCUGAUGCAUCUUCAGAAUCAGUUGUACCUGCAUUACUUUCACUUUGCUCUGAAGUUUUACUUCCAGGCUCUCUAUCAUCAAAUUUUACAUGCAUAGAUUCUUCAACACAUUGUGUUUCUGAAUUAUACACUCUGUAUGCCUUUGACCUUUCAGAGUAACCUAAAAAGAUUCCUCUUUGAGCCUUGGCAUCAAAUUUCUUCAGAUAGUCUUUAGUGUUUAAGAUGUAACAAGUACAUCCAAACUGAUGAAAGUAAGAGAUAUUGGGUCUUCUUCCUUUAAAGAGUUCAUAUGUUGUUUUCUCCAACAUAGGUCUGAUAUAGAUCCUAUUUUGAAUAUAACAUGAAGUAUUGACUGCUUCUGCCCAAAAAUGUUUAGCUAAGUUGUUUUCAUGGAUCAUGGUUCUGGCCAUUUCUUGUAAGGUUCUGUUCUUUCUUUCUACAACCCCAUUUUGUUGUGGAGUUCUAGGAGAAGAAAACUCAUGGAGAAUCCCAUGUUUUUCACAAAAAAGUUCAAAUGGCUCAUUUUCAAAUUCUCCACCAUGAUCACUUCUGACUUUCAAAAUUUUCAAUUCUUUUUCAGAUUGUAUUUGAGUGCAGAAGCUGCUAAACACUUCACAUGCAUAGUCUUUACUUUUAAUGAAUUUUACCCAAGUCCAUCUGCUGUAAUCAUCAACAAUGACUAAUCCGUAUUUACUUCCAUAUAAAGAUGCAGUGUUAACUGGACCAAAAAGAUCAAUAUGGAGUAAUUCUAAGGGUCUGGAGGUUGAUAUAAUGUCCUUAGAUUUGAAAGAACUUUUCACAAUUUUCCCUUUCUGACAUGCACCACAAAGUGCAUCUGAAUGAUAAUCAAUGUUAGGCAAUCCUUUGACCAGUUGUAACUUGCUAAUUUUAGAAAUUAAUCUCCAAUUAGCAUGUCCCAACCUUUUAUGCCAUACCCAUUUUUUAUCAUUCAUUGACAGAAGGCAAACUACCUUCUGAUCAGCCAGAUCAGAGAAAUUUAUUUUAUAAACAUUCUCAACUCUCUUUCCCUUGAAUGUAAUGGAUUUGUCAUCCUUGUUGACUAGUGUGCAGUUGGUCUUACUGAACGUUACAUCAUACCCAUUGUCACAAAAUUGACUAAUGCUCAAUAGGUUAUGCUUCAGACCAUCUACUAGCCACACAUUAUUAAUUGAGAUGGAGGAAUUACCAAUAGUACCUGUACCAAUGAUCUUUCCAGUUUGGUUGCCACCAAACUUCACUUCUCCUCCAUCUUUCAUUGUAAGGGUAAGGAACAAAGCUUUCUCUCCAGUCAUGUGCCUUGAACAUCCGCUGUCUAGGUACCAUGACCUUUGUUUCUCUCUUGCCCUUAAGCACACCUGCAUUUUUGGCCAAUUCAGAUUUAGGUACCCAUAUCUUCAUGGGUCCUUUUGGGUUAGUUUUGGAGGUUUUACUUUUCCUCCCUUGCACCUUAGGGUGAAUGCUGAGUGGCUUCUGAUCAUUCAAUACUUUGGGUUUGACACCUUUUGGUAUUGUUUUCUCAGAAGCAGUAGCUGCUUUGUUCUUCUGAUCCUUUUGUUUUGGAAUUUUAGAUUCUGGUUUAAUCAGAUUCUGAUGAACAGGUUCUGAUCUUUUCAGAAUUUUAAUCUUUUGACUCUUAGGAUCAGAUUUUGUCAUUACCUUGAUCUUAAGAUUCUCUGGCUUUGAUGUGAUCUUAGCCUGUGAACCUGAAGCUUCAGGUUUUGACUGAACAGCAGUUAUAGCAUUUGUACCUUCAGGCACAAAGGUGGAUUUCAAUCCAUCCUUGAUACAAUCACAGUAGCUCUUGAGACUGUAUUCUUUGGAUUUCUCCUCAGAAUAUCCAAUCCCUUUGCCUUUGUUCUUGUAUGUGCUGUAGAUCAUAGAAGCAACUUUGCUUCUGUCUAUUCCAGCCAUAAUAAAAUCAUCCAAGGCAAUCUCAUGUUUAUUGCCUGAACCUUUAUCACAUUUUUCUUGUAGCUUCUGACAAAGACUCUUGAGUCUAUCUUCAUAUGUUGUUGAUAUGAGGUUAAACCCUUUGAGUUCUUCUUCAGAAGCUUUCAGUUCCAAUAGAGUUGAUUUUUGUUGUUUCAUCAAAUCAACAUAUUUUUCUUUUAAAUCUGUCAACUCAUUGGUUCUGUGUUCAAACAGUGAUAAAAGUUCUUUUAGAGAAUCAACAAGUUCUUGUCUAGGGAUUUUGGAAUAUACCUCAUUUUCAUCUUCUGAAUCUGAUUCAGCUUCUGAUACUGCUUCUGAUGAUACUGUUGCCACUAAUCCAACGGCUGCCUUAGCAUCAUCAUCAGCUUCUUCUUUAUCAGAACCAGAUUCACUAUCCAAAUCUUCCCAGGUCGCCAUCAAGCUCUUUUUGAUUUGCUUUCUGAAUUUACUGGAGUUGAAGCUUGAUUUCUUGGAUUUGCCUUUAAACUUCUCCUUCUGAAGAUCAGGGCAAUCAGCAAUGAAAUGACCAGGCUUCUUACAAUUGAAGCAUCCCUUCUGAUCUUCUUUCUUGAAGUUCUUGUAGCUACCUCUCUUGCUCAAAAAUUUCUUCUGCUUCCUUGCCAGAUACUCAAGCUUGUUGGACAGCAUAGCCAUCUUUACAGAUUGAUCUUCAUCAGAAUCUCCAUCAGGUGAUUCUUCUUCAGAUUCACUGGCUUUGUAGGCUUUGGAAGACUUUGAGGUCUUUCCUUUAGAUGGUAAAGCAAUGGAUUUACUCUUCUUAGAGGUUUCAUGCUCAUUUAAACUCAUUUCAUGCACUUUGAGUGAGCUAACAAGAUCUUCAACACUUAAAGUAUUUAGAUCCUUAGCUUCCUCAAUAGCAGUUACUUUGGGUCUCCAUCUUGAAGGUAAGCUUCUCAAAAUCUUACUAACAUGAUCAGAAGCAACAUAGCUUUUCUUCAGUAUCUGCAAUCCAGAAACUAAAGUUUGAAAUCUUGAGUACAUUUCUUCUAUACUCUCAUCAUCCUUCAUUCUGAAAAGUUCAUACUGAUGAACUAGCAUCAAUAAAAGAAUGGAAAUGGAAUGCUAAAUGAUAUGUAUGAAGUACCAAAGUAAACUUGUUAGUAAAAAAAAACAUAACAAGUACUAAGAAAUAAAAGCAUGCAAGAUGGCACAAAAAGUUAUCAAAAUGACAUUAAACCCUAAAAACUUAGGUAUGAAACCUAAAGCAUUCUUGGCCUCUAAUUCUCAUGCUUUAACAAAUUUUGAAAGAGUUUUCUUUAUCUCAAGUUAUAGCAUGGAAUUAUUGGAAACAUGCAAACAUGGUUUCAUGCCAUAUUUUCUAGAAUAAACUUGGCAUUUUAUAUCUUUCAAAAUAUGCAUAUAUUGUUCAUAAAAUUAAGAACUUAUGAACCAAAUCAAAACAGCAAAUCAACAUGAAAUUAUAGGCACAAAUCUCUCAUAUUAACACAUCAAGUAGCUUUUAUUACAUAUUCUCACAUCAAGGACAAAUGUGUGAAGAAGAAUUCAUAACAAAUAAUUCAAAGAGAAUUAAAAUGCUAUGAAUUAAUUAUACCAAAAUUUCAUAGAUCCUUAAUGUGCAAAAAUGUCAUAAAAACACUAAGAAAAUAUCAAGAAAUAUGUAUGAAUUUUUCUAGGAAUUUUAUCACAAUUUUAAUCAAGACAUAGGUGCAGGUAGCAAAAAAAUAGGGGUGUGAACAGCAAGAAAAAAGCAAGAAAUGUGCAGAAAAUUAAGCCCAAACCCAAAGCCCAACACCAAAACUCAGAUUGCACAGGAACCACACGAUUGAUCCAGGGUCCUGAAACCCUAGAUCAAACGGCCAGGAACCAAGGGGGGGUUGGACCGGUCCUGAACCGGUCCGGUUCACUGGCUUUAUAAGGGAGGGAAACCGGUUUUUUUUAUAAUUCUUCUUCUCCUUCUCUCUCUUCUCUCAUUCUAGUGAGAGAAGCUCUCACUUCUCUCUUCCUCACCGCGCCGGAUUCUGGAAAAACAGGAGAUGAUCUUCAUCUUCUCCGGCGGAGUUUGUUCCUCCGGCGUGGUGGCCGGCCACCCAAGGGUGGCGGCGCCGCCGCCGGAGUUGAGCAAACUCCUCCGAUUUUGAAAAUUUUUACAUUUUUAGAUAUCCUUUUUCGUGCUAUUCAUGAAUCCAAACUUAGUUUUUUGAGAAAAAGUCCCAAUCGGAGUAGAUCUAGCUUCAAAGAUUCGGAAAUUUGAAUUUUAAAGAGGAAGAAAGAGGAAGAGGAAUUGUCACCUAUUUGUGGUGUGUUGUAGAGCAAGGGAGAGAGCUUUGCUUUCUUCCGAAUCCGGAAUAUUCCUUCCUUCCUUCUCUUCUCUUUCACGUGUCUCUUUGACCGAUUUUGUGCUUGUUGUUUGGUGAUGUUCUUGGCGCGGAUUUGUGGAUUUUUGUGAUUCUUGGUACGGAUUUGGUUCGGAUUCGGUUUUGUGGCUUUUUGGUACGGAUUUGUUGCUUUUUGGUACGAAUUUGUUGCUGGAUUUUGGUACGAAUUUGUUGCUGGAUUUUGGUACGAAUUUGUUGCUUUGUUGAUUUUUCUUCUUCCCCUCUCUCUGUGAUCGUGCUUGAAUUCGCCGCUUCCGGUGGCGGAUUCGCACUUGAAUUGUGGAGCAGAGGCGAUUCGAUGAUGAAGAUUCGCAAAGAAUCUCUGAGAAUCACCCAAAAAAAGGAUGAAUUUGAUGAAUCUGUGAUGAUUUUCGGUUAGGGUUUAUGUGUGUGUUCUUGAUGAUUUUCUGUUUUGAUUUGUAACUGAAUAGAGAGAGAGAAGAAAAAAUCUGUUUGUGAUGUGUCACUGUGUGAAUGGAAUCCUCCUAAAAAAUCUGACACUGUUCCCCUUUUAUAUGCUGCCAUGUGUACCUGAACCAAUAAAAAAGUGACAUCUGGACUGGACUAAAAUUUGUGCGAAAAUUUGGACCAAAAUGCCCUUUGGGGCGUUUCUGCAGAAAAAAAUGAUAAUAAAAGGACUGAAAUGCAAUUCUUAGAAACUUUUGGACUGAAAUGUAAUUUUGGGACCUCAAUUGAGGGACCAAAAUGCAAUAAAAAAUAAAAUUGAAUAAAAAACGCAAUUUGAUCGAACGUAAAGCGAAACAAAAAUAAAAUUGACAAAACGGACUUAAAACGAACCAAUGGCCUAAAUGAGGUACUUCAAAGUAACCUCCCUAUGUCAAAAUUUCGUGUGAAAUGACCAAAAUGCCCCUAGGGCUAAAAAUGACCUAAACUGACUCAAACAGACUUGACACUGACUCGGACGCAAGUUUGAAAUGAAUUUAAACAGGGUUUACUGAUGAAAUGUUAAAAAUGAAUUUGAAAAGACUCAGAGACAGUCACAAGGAUGAAAAUGGGUCCCACUGCAGGAAAUGACCAAAAUACCCUUCUGCAUGACUUUUUGCAAAUUUUGAAAUAAACUGUAGAAAAAGCAAUGUAAUGAUUCAGAGACACCUUUGAAUGACUUUCAAGACAAGUAAAGACAUUUUGAAAGGUUUUAUGCAAAAAAACAUAGGUAAAAUUGUGAUUGAAAAAAAACUGCGAGACAGAGACAAUUUGAACUGUGCAGUUGACAUUUGAUAAUUGACAAAGUUUGAAAUGAAAUUGGGCCCAGUAUUUUUAGGUCCAAAAACAGGGUAUAACAGCUGCCCCUAUUUAAGUUUCUUUGUCUGGAGAGUCAAGAGACGGAGUCUUUGGCUUGACAGGACGAAGAUACUUAGAUAUUAGCAUUUGCACUGUGUUUGGACGUAAAAAUACGCCUACCCAUUUUCAAAUAAUAUGCAUGCCAUGCAUCAUUUGGAUUAUGAAUGCAAGACCUCAUGGGGAUUGGAAUUAACAAAAUAUGUCGUAUCCAUUGCGGGAUUGGUAGACAUUGACAAAGAUAGUGAAUAGCAGAGUAACGGGAAACUAGAAACAAGUUGGACAGGUACAAGCUGUUCUUGGAUUCAAACUAGCCACUUGACCGGGAAUGAAACAAACAGACAACUGCGAGUUGUUCUUAUGGAUUCGAACUGGUCACUUCACAGGGGAUAGAGGUUACUGGACAAAUAUGAGUUGUUCUUAUGGAUUCGAACUGGUAACUCACUUGGGGAUAUUGGAAAGUGCGAGUUGUUCUUAUGGAUUCGAACUGGUGACCCGACUGGGAAAAAGAGAAAAUUGGCAAGUACGAGUUGUUCUUACGGAUUCGAACUGGUAACUCACUUGGGGAUAUUGGAAAGUGCGAGUUGUUCUUAUGGAUUCGAACUGGUGACCCGACUGGGAAAAAGAGAAAAUUGGCAAGUACGAGUUGUUCUUAUGGAUUCGAACUGGUGACUCGACUGAAAACAUGUAAAAUUGGCAGGUACGAGUUGUUCUUAAGGAUUCGAACUGGUUACUCGACUGAAAGCAAGGCAAAUAGACAGGUGCGAGCUUGUUCUUGGAUGCGAACUGGUUACUCCACCGGAGACAAAUACAAAAUAGACAGGCGCAAGCUGCUCUUGGAUCGAGCUAGCCACUUGAGCGAACAGAAACAGAUAGACGGGUACAAGCUGUUCUUGGACUUGAACUAGCCACUUGACCCAAAAUCAUAGACACAUAGACAGGUACGAGCUGUUCUUGGAUUCGAACUGGUAACUCGACCGGGGUCAUGGAAAAGUAGAUAGGUACGAGUUGUUCUUGGAUUCGAACUGGUCACUCGACCGAAAGCAAAGGCAAAUAAACAGGUGUGAGCUUGUUCUUGGAUGCGAACUAGGUACUCCACUGGACAGAAACAUAUAGACAGGUACAAGCUGCUCUUGGAUUGAGCUGGGCACUCGACCGAUAACAUUGAAAAGUAAACGGGUACAAGUCGUUCUUGGAUGCGAACUAGUAACUUGACCAAACAGAAACAUAUUGACAGGUACAAGCUGCUCUUGGAUUGAGCUGGACACUCGACCGAUAACAUAAGCAAAUAGGUAGGUUCAAGCUGCUCUUGGAUUGAGCUUAGCCACUUGACCAAGUAGAAACAGAUUCACUGGGGAUUAGUUUUUUUUGACAAAAUAUAGAUUGAGAUUGACUUGACGUCGAUUUGAAUUGAAAGGCAAAAAUUGACCGAUAUUAUUGGCUCACAAGGUUUUGACAGAGAACCUGACAUGAGUAUCGAAUUGAGACUGAUGUUGACAUUGGAAAUGCAAUAUGCACGGAUGAUAUAACAGUUUCAUUAAAUGCAUGGGCACGUAAUAUGCAUGAUUAUGCAUGUAUGAAUGCUUGUAAUGCAUGACUGUUGGCAUUUUGUAGGCACGACUUCACGGGGAAGACAAGACAUCAGAGUAUUGGGCACGUAGUGGCUCGUGCUAUAUUACACAUUCUUGGAAAUCCUCUAUGGAGAUGACGUCGUUGGGGGACGUAUCGGAGCCAAGGCUGAGGGCAGGUAGGUAUGCAACUUGCUGGGGAUAGAAUCUUGAGAGACCUCACCGGGGAAAACGCCGUUGUGCUGGGCAUCUCAGUGCUGGGUACGUUGUAGACAUUGCAUCUGUGGUCAAUGCUUUUUGCAUGUUAUUUUUCUCAAUUUCAUCAUUUUCAUUUUUUUUUUGCAUCCCAUUUUUGCCUGGAUCGCCUUUUCGGGUUUUCGAUCCACCGGGGAAAUAAAUUCUUUUCAAUGCCCCAUUUUUGCCUGAACUGCCCUUUCGGGUUGUCAAUCCAGCGGGGUGCUCAUUUUUGCCUAAGCCGCCCUUUCGGGUUUUCAACUUAGCGAGCCUAUUCACUUUCAUGCAUUUUCAUUCUGUUUUUUCAUUCUUGCCAUUGACCACAGACUAUCCUGGAGGAGAACCUGCUUGUAACACAUAUUGAAAUAGACAUCAACAUACUCUCGCUCAUGCAUGUUUCAUUUGAAUGUACCCUGUUGCUCAGGUUUGCUUUUCAAAAUAGACCAAAGGUUUUCAAUUUUCAAAAAUGUUUGUUUCAAGCAUUGUCAUUAUCAAAAUAGAAAGAAAAUGUUUUGUAUAUAGCUUUGAAAGUAGAAGAAAAAUAGAGUUUCAAACAAAAGCAAAGGCUCAACUUGAUGUAUAAGAGUGGUGGUCAGCCAAAGGCAUGACUCCACGGAUUCACAAAGCUUGGAAAAUGGUAAUUUUAUUGGUUGGUGGUACAUUGAACACGGUAACCACUACAGUUCUUAGAAACUUUGAAUUCACAAGUACAGAAGCUUUUGAUGAAGAUAGGCAUUAACAGCUGCAGAUGCCCCAAGGGGGACGGUGGUUGGCCAGAUAUAGUUACUUGCCUUUUGUUUCAAUCUCAUUUUUGCAUGAACCGCCCUUCCGGGUUUUCGGCUCAUCGAGACGCUCAUUCUUGCCUGAGUUGUGUACAAUCUCAGCGAGCUUUUCAUAUAUUUUUUUGUCCCUUAUUUUUGCCUGGACCGCCCUUUCGGGUUUUCGAUCCACCGGGAAGCGCAUUUUUGCCUAGGCCGCCCUUUCGGGUUUUCGACCUACCACGCUGUUCUUUUCAUAUUUCUAGGCAAAGUAUUUCUUGACUAUAUCGGCAUUCACUGGAUUUGGAAGUUCUACACCAUCCACGUGUGUAAGGAUUAAAGCACCACCGGAGAAGGCCUUCUUGACAACAUAAGGACCUUCAUAGUUAGGCGUCCACUUGCCCCUUGGGUCGGGUUGCUGGCUUAUCCUCCUUUUCAAUACAAGUUCCCCUACCUUGAAUUCUCGAGGAUGGACUUUCUUGUCAAAGGCAGUCUUCAUUCUUGCUUGAUAUGACUGUCCACGAGCCAUGGCAUCCAAACGUUUUUCCUCAAUCAAAUUCAACUGAUCAUACCGGCUUUGGCACCAUUCAGCCUCGGAUAACUUUGCUUCCAUGAUCACACGGAGAGAUGGGAUCUCCACUUCCAAAGGAAGAACUGCUUCCAUACCAUAUACAAGAGAGAAAGGGGUUGCCCCGGUUGAACUGCGCACAGUAGUACGGUAACCAUGCAGAGCAUAGGGUAACAUCUCAUGCCAGUCCUUGUAAGUGGUUACCAUCUUCUGGACAAUUCUCUUGAUAUUCUUGUUGGCGGCCUCAACUGCACCAUUCAUCUGAGGUCUAUAGGGAGAAGAGUUAUGAUGCUCAAUUUUGAAUUCUUCACAAAGAGCUUGCACCACAUUAUUAUUCAGGUUGGUACCAUUGUCGGUAAUAAUCUUGCUGGGAACACCAUAUCGACAGAUGAUGUUGUUCUUGAUGAACUUAGCUACCACUUGCUUGGUCACAUUAGUAUAAGGUGCUCCUUCAACCCACUUGGUGAAGUAGUCAAUUGCCACUAAAAUGAAACGAUGACCAUUUGAAGCCUUCGGUUCAAUUCUUCCAAUCAUGUCGAUGCCCCACAUUGAGAACGGCCAUGGGGAUGAAAUAACAUUGAGGGCGUGCGGAGGCACAUGAAUCUUAUCAGCAUAGAUUUGACAUUUGUGGCACUUUCUGGCGUGCUGGUAGCAAUCAUGCUCCAUGGUCAUCCAGUAGUAACCUGCUCGUAACAACUUCCUUGACAUAGUAUGCCCUGUAGCAUGGGUCCCAAAGGUACCGUCAUGUACAUCAUGCAUUAACUGCUCUGCUUCGUGUUCAUCAACACAUCUUAACAAUACCAUGUCAUAGUUUCUCUUGUACAGAAUAUCUCCAUCUAACAGGAAUCUACUGGCCAAUCUUCUCAGGGUCUUCUUGUCUUGUUUGGAAGCACCCGGCGGAUACUCACGGCUUAGCAAGAACUGUUUGAUGUCGUAGUACCAGGGUUUAUAGUCAACCACAUUUUCGCCAGCCUGAUCGAUCACAUCCCCAAUAGCAAACACAUGCGAAGGUCUUUCAAGGCGUUGCACUUUGAUUAUUGGCACAUCAUUCCAAUGGUUUACUCGAAACAUGGAGGAUAGAGUAGCAAGAGCAUCAGCCAUUUGGUUCUCAUCACGAGGAAUAUGGUGCAGCUCAACCUUUGUAAAAUAUGUCAGCAAACGUCUCGCAUAAUCAUGAUAAGGAAUCAACUUAGCAUGGUGGGUCUCCCAUUCACCCUUUAUCUGAUUGAUGACGAGCGCAGAAUCUCCAUAGAUGUCGAGGUGUUUGAUUCUCAUGUCAAUUGCUUCCUCGAUCCCGAAGAUACAUGCUUCAUACUCAGCCAUAUUGUUGGUGCAUUCGAACAAAAUUCGGGCGGUAAAAGGAAUGUGAUGCCCUUGCGGGGAUACAAUGACUGCCCCAAUUCCUUUGCCAUAAGCAUUGACAGCACCAUCAAAGACUAAACCCCACUUGCUAUUGGGAUCUGGACCUUCAUUAAUCAACGGUUCGUCGCAGUCUUUGGAUUUCAAAUACAUGAUCUCUUCAUCAGGGAAAUCGAAUUCAAUUGGUUGGUAAUCAUCAAGAGGUUGAUAAGCAAGGUGAUCGGCAAGAAUGCUGCCUUUGAUUGCCUUUUGAGUUUUGAACACAAUAUCAUAUUCAGACAAAAGCAUCUGCCAGCGUGCAAUCUUCCCAGUAACGGCCGCUUUCUCAAAGAUAUACUUUAUCGGAUCCAUUCUGGAUAUCAACCAAGUUGUAUGAUUCACCAAAUAAUGACGCAGGCGUUUGGCAGCCCAAGCUAGAGCACAACAAGUCUUCUCAAGCAUUGUAUACCGAGUUUCACAGUCGGUGAACUUCUUGCUUAGAUAGUAGAUAGCAUGCUCUUUCUUUCCGGUUUCAUCUUGUUGACCAAGCACACAUCCCAUGGAUUCAUCAAAUACUGCCAAAUACAUAAUCAAAGGCCUUCCUUCCACGGGUGGGACAAGGAUAGGUGGUUCCAGCAGGUAAUUCUUGAUGCUAUCAAAAGCUUCCUGGCAUUCAUCGUUCCAUACAAUAGGCUGAUUCUUGCUCAAGCAAUCGAGUGAUCUCAUAUGGUAUAUCAUCAUCCUCUUCAUCUUCGGCUUCAUACACAGGGAAUUCAAAAUUUGGAGGAACCGUAGGAUUACUGUGUUCAACGGGUUUAUUAUGGUUCAAACUGCAUAGAAUGGUUGAAUGAUUUUAGAAAAUGUUUUUUUUUUCUUUUAUGCAGUUCUUUGAAAUUGAUAAGAAAAAUAAAGAUGUUUUGGUUUUUUCUGGUAUUACCAUUAUUUCCAAGAAAAAAAGAAAAAAAAAAUCACUAAAAAAUAAAAGUCGUGAAAGAAACGACGAUUUUUGUUAAUAACGGCGAUGCCGAAACAAACACGCCCUUCCAGAAAUAUCACUUUCGCUUCGGGCAGAGCGAGAGGAUGGUUAUUUUGAAAAACAAAACACUUAAGCAACAAGACACAUUAUUCGGAAACAUGCAUGAUUGAAUGAAUGUUGAUGGCAUCACAAUUUCUCGCAAUGCCUCCUGGUAUAACAAACAUAGGCCUAGGACUACAUCCAGUCGCCUCUUCAGUAAUUGCAUUGAUAAACUCAGCACUGUUGAAGAUUCAUGUGGCAUUGUACUUGUAAGGAAUAGCCUUUGUAGAAGUAUAAGGUACUGGUCCGGGCAGCCUUAUCACUUAGAGGCUCAACAUUCUCUUUUGAAGGCACGCUCUUGACGGGCGGAUCAUGAAAGACUGGCACAAUCACACAGACAUCACUGACAGUCAGAAGAUUAUCAUCCAUCAGGCUUUGGAUGUCGUCUUGAACAGUAUAGCAGCCCAAAGGAUCACAGAGGCAUCCUAGACACUUGGCAUGAUCAUGGCUGAACAGAGAGGCUUUGCAUAGCUUGAUAUGCAGAGGCACCAGAGGAGUGGCAACAUUGUGGACAUCAAGUCUAGGAGCUUCCUCACACACUUCGAUCAUAUUCACAGCGGCAUGAUUUGGAAGAGGAUUGUCAAGGACAUGUGGAACAUUAUUCUCAAAAGUCAGCUUUCCCUGAUCAAUGAGCUUCUUCACGAUAUACUUCAAAGCAUAACAUCCCUCGACAUCAUGACCUAAGGCACCUUGAUGAAAGUCACAUUUGAGAUCAGACCUGAACCUUGGAGGCAACGGAUCAGGUGGGGGCUUACCCUGUCUAGUUGUACAAUGUCCUCUCUGGAGUAGAGUUGGAAGAAGUUCUGCAUACAACAUCGGUAUAGGAGGAAAAGUUGGUCUAGUAUACUGCUGCUGUUGUUGUUGUUGUUGUUGUUGUUGUUGUUGAACCGGCAACUGUUGUUUCAUCUGUUGGGCAAUUGCAUUGACGGGCACUUGAGGCUGGCCCGGUGGCAAAGGGUACUGAUGAUAAAACGGUGGGAAGAACGGAUGUUGAGAAUACGGCAUAUAUGGGUAUGACGGAGGCAUUUGAGCUGCAUUGAUAGGAGCAACGGUAGCCAUAGAUUGACCGGCUCCAGCUGACACCAUCCCCACUUCCGUUUCUUUCUUCUUGUGGUGUCCAUUACCAUAUCUCUUCGAUGCACUCGUAGAAGAUUCAGCUUUCUCAAACACAAUGAUCCCAUCCCUGACUGCUUCCUCAAGACGGGUUCCCAUAGUGACCAUCUCCGAAAAGUUGUUCGGGGCGGCGAUGAUCAUCCUCUCAACAUAAUCUUUCUUCAAGGUCUUUAAGAAUGUCUGGGUCAUUUCUUCUUCAUCUAAAGCAGGAGUGAUACGGGCAGCUGCCCCUCUCCAUCUUUGUGCAUAUUCCCGGAAACUUUCCUCCUUUUUCUGAGAUAGGGACCUGAGGAACUCCCUAUUCGGCUUCAAACGAGUGUUAAACCCGUAGUGGCUCCUGAAAGCGGUGGCCAGCUCAUCAAAAGUAUGGACAUCGUCUUUGCUCAGACUAGUAUACCACUCUGCAGCAUCUUCCAUCAGACUGUCUUGGAAGUAAUGGAUCAUAAGGGAAUCAUUGUCCUUGUAGUUGCCCAUCUUCCGGACAUAUUUGACAAUAUGAUUUUGAGGACAAGUCAGCCCGUUAUAUUUGUCGAACUCCGGGACUUUGAACUUUUUUGGAACAUCUACCUUCGAUACUAAGCAGAGAUCCUGGGUUUUAAUGGAGUCUCCAUUUCCCCUAUUGGCCUUAAUUUCCCGUCGGAGCUCUUUGGCAAGUUCUUCCAUUCUCUCUUCCAUAGUUUCGGUUGCGGCAAUACUCCCGUGGUGUGCAUUAGCAUGGACAAAUAGAGGCACCGCAUUCACAAUGGGCUCGGUAACAGUUGUUGCAGCUUGAGUCAAGGCGGUACUAAUAGGAGUUAAGUUUGCCCCUGGGAUUGGGCCAUUGUUGGUAGUACCAGAGGUCCCUGCCCCUGUAUUAGCAGUAUAGUACAGCGGAAGCCCGUAAGGAUACCCGGAUGGCAUGAUAGAGCGGGGAUCAGUUGUUACGGUAGGAGUCACAUUUGCAGCUGUAGAAACUACAGGAACUGGUUGUUCCUGAGCAGCCAACAGAGCAGUCAUAGCAUCAUGAGCUUUGGCCAAUUCCUCCCUUAGAGAUGCCAAUUCGGUACGAAGCUGUGUGUUCUCUUCUUCCAUAGCCUUUUUCCUUCUUCUGUACUCUCUGGUUCGAUCGAUUCUAUCAGGUUCGUAGACCUUCUGAGCACGAGCCACUUUUCAAACUGUGGCAGAGGAACCAGGAAGUAGUGAGCAAUUGGAAGCCUUUGUGACCGAUGUAUGAUGCAUAUGAUGCAUGAUAUGCAGAUGCAAAUGCAAAAACGACUCUUUUUAAUGUCAUCGAAGGACUUUUUAAACAAAUUCGAAACAUUGUAAACACUGUUAAACAAGCAAAAUAAGGUUUUACAAUGGUAAACUUAUGAAUACAAGUUCACACCUGCGGUGUCUUACAAUGUUUCGAUCUGUCUAAAAAAAUCUUCGAUGUAUGCGUGAAAAAAAACUUAUGCAUGUAUGCAUGGUUGUUUUGUUUAGUUACAAAGAACAAGGUGGGUUGAGAUUCAAAGUAACAGGGCCACGGAUGGACACGGCGUCCGGUGAACUAAGGCUUUGGAUAGUAGUAACCAAGGUUCUAACACAGUUCCCAAACUGCAACCUCUCUCACAUAUAUCAUGGUAGUACAGGACGACACCCGUUCCAUGAUUAUUUGUGAGAAGGUCUAGUUUGAGUGUAGUAUCGCGUGACGACUAAAGUUUGAGACAACACUCAAUUUAGCCACCGCACUACGUCCUAAAAAGGCUAGGAUGGGUUUGGUAACUACGGUUCAUAGCUUCGUCGAACAAUUGAAAGUGAAGUGCCUAAGCAUGACAACACACGCCGACAAUAUCACCUUCAAAAUGCCUCAGCUAUGUGAGAUUGAUCGCAUAAUCCAAUACACGAGGCAACCCCCGGAUCGAAUUGUCGAUUAUAUCUCUACCUAAACAUAAGUUCACUCAGCCCGGGUAUAGGACUUUUGAUAUUCUCACCCCACACGUCAAAUGAAAAUAAACAAGUAUUCACAUAUGUAAGCAAUAAAACAAAGCGUAAAUAUAAACUAAGGAAAACUAGGCGCGACCCGCUAAAAAGAAUCCCCAGUGAAGUCGCCAUUUCUGUUAUCAUGGUUUUUGGGUGCCAAGCCAUUAAUUGGACUUGUACCUUUCGACCGUUGAUAUCUCUCUUUUUUCUUGGGAAGGGUAAAAGGAGAAAAACCCUUGAGUUUCCGAAUUCGGGGGUCGGUUUUACCACGGGAAGGUGUUAGGCACCCGGAGUAACUAUAGUCCUCUAUAGGAGCCGUUUUCCUAAGUCUAUAUUCACGCUUAUUUUUACUUACUUUUGAAAAUGGGAGGUUUAUUUAGUUAAGAAUGGGGGGAGAGAAGUUGUAAGACUUUUUAUCUUUUAGUUGAUUUGAAGAAAAUUUUAAUGUGUUGCUAUUUGAUUUUUUAAAGUUUGAAAAUGAUUUUUUGAAGAAGAGAAAGGAGGCCUUAAAGGCUUGAGAAGUAAAAAAUGUGAAGUUUGUCCAAUUUUACUUAAUAAAAUAGUCUAAGUCAUUUAAGGUUCAUUUAGAAUUUUCUUAAGAAAGUAAAAGGAAACACCAAAGGAGUUUUGACUCCAAAGUUCAUUUUAAAGAAAAAGAGCUAGAAUUAUGGAACUUGGUUUGCUUUGCGAAAAAAUAUUUUCUAAGUACUCGCGUUACCUAAUCAUACAUCUAAACGAAUGUCAUACACCGUGUGUGAGUGUCGGUGCUCGUGCCGGUGUACAUCAAUAGAGUCCAUAGUCCCUUUUACAUUGUCCUAGAUACAUUCUAUGGUCUUUGCAUGAAAUAUAAAAGAUAACACCUACCUAAAUAUUACAAUUCCAAAUAAAAGUAAAAAAAAUGGAUGCAAAGAAACUAAACUAUGUAAAAGAAUGGAAAUGGAAUGCUAAAUGAUAUGUAUGAAGUACCAAAGUAAACUUGUUAGUAAAAAAAAACAUAACAAGUACUAAGAAAUAAAAGCAUGCAAGAUGGCACAAAAAGUUAUCAAAAUGACAUUAAACCCUAAAAACUUAGGUAUGAAACCUAAAGCAUUCUUGGCCUCUAAUUCUCAUGCUUUAACAAAUUUUGAAAGAGUUUUCUUUAUCUCAAGUUAUAGCAUGGAAUUAUUGGAAACAUGCAAACAUGGUUUCAUGCCAUAUUUUCUAGAAUAAACUUGGCAUUUUAUAUCUUUCAAAAUAUGCAUAUAUUGUUCAUAAAAUUAAGAACUUAUGAACCAAAUCAAAACAGCAAAUCAACAUGAAAUUAUAGGCACAAAUCUCUCAUAUUAACACAUCAAGUAGCUUUUAUUACAUAUUCUCACAUUAAGGACAAAUGUGUGAAGAAGAAUUCAUAACAAAUAAUUCAAAGAGAAUUAAAAUGCUAUGAAUUAAUUAUACCAAAAUUUCAUAGAUCCUUAAUGUGCAAAAAUGUCAUAAAAACACUAAGAAAAUAUCAAGAAACAUGUAUGAAUUUUUCUAGGAAUUUUAUCACAAUUUUAAUCAAGACAUAGGUGCAGGUAGCAAAAAAAUAGGGGUGUGAACAGCAAGAAAAAAAGCAAGAAAUGUGCAGAAAAUUAAGCCCAAACCCAAAGCCCAACACCAAAACUCAGAUUGCACAGGAACCACACGAUUGAUCCAGGGUCCUGAAACCCUAGAUCAAACGGCCAGGAACCAAGGGGGGGUUGGACCGGUCCUGAACCGGUCCGGUUCACUGGCUUUAUAAGGGAGGGAAACCGGUUUUUUUUAUAAUUCUUCUUCUCCUUCUCUCUCUUCUCUCAUUCUAGUGAGAGAAGCUCUCACUUCUCUCUUCCUCACCGCGCCGGAUUCUGGAAAAACAGGAGAUGAUCUUCAUCUUCUCCGGCGGAGUUUGUUCCUCCGGCGUGGUGGCCGGCCACCCAAGGGUGGCGGCGCCGCCGCCGGAGUUGAGCAAACUCCUCCGAUUUUGAAAAUUUUUACAUUUUUAGAUAUCCUUUUUCGUGCUAUUCAUGAAUCCAAACUUAGUUUUUUGAGAAAAAGUCCCAAUCGGAGUAGAUCUAGCUUCAAAGAUUCGGAAAUUUGAAUUUUAAAGAGGAAGAAAGAGGAAGAGGAAUUGUCACCUAUUUGUGGUGUGUUGUAGAGCAAGGGAGAUAGCUUUGCUUUCUUCCGAAUCCGGAAUAUUCCUUCCUUCCUUCUCUUCUCUUUCACGUGUCUCUUUGACCGAUUUUGUGCUUGUUGUUUGGUGAUGUUCUUGGCGCGGAUUUGUGGAUUUUUGUGAUUCUUGGUACGGAUUUGGUUCGGAUUCGGUUUUGUGGCUUUUUGGUACGGAUUUGUUGCUUUUUGGUACGAAUUUGUUGCUGGAUUUUGGUACGAAUUUGUUGCUGGAUUUUGGUACGAAUUUGUUGCUUUGUUGAUUUUUCUUCUUCCCCUCUCUCUGUGAUCGUGCUUGAAUUCGCCGCUUCCGGUGGCGGAUUCGCACUUGAAUUGUGGAGCAGAGGCGAUUCGAUGAUGAAGAUUCGCAAAGAAUCUCUGAGAAUCACCCAAAAAAAGGAUGAAUUUGAUGAAUCUGUGAUGAUUUUCGGUUAGGGUUUAUGUGUGUGUUCUUGAUGAUUUUCUGUUUUGAUUUGUAACUGAAUAGAGAGAGAAGAAAAAAUCUGUUUGUGAUGUGUCACUGUGUGAAUGGAAUCCUCCUAAAAAAUCUGACACUGUUCCCCUUUUAUAUGCUGCCAUGUGUACCUGAACCAAUAAAAAAGUGACAUCUGGACUGGACUAAAAUUUGUGCGAAAAUUUGGACCAAAAUGCCCUUUGGGGCGUUUCUGCAGAAAAAAAUGAUAAUAAAAGGACUGAAAUGCAAUUCUUAGAAACUUUUGGACUGAAAUGUAAUUUUGGGACCUCAAUUGAGGGACCAAAAUGCAAUAAAAAAUAAAAUUGAAUAAAAAACGCAAUUUGAUCGAACGUAAAGCGAAACAAAAAUAAAAUUGACAAAACGGACUUAAAACGAACCAAUGGCCUAAAUGAGGUACUUCAAAGUAACCUCCCUAUGUCAAAAUUUCGUGUGAAAUGACCAAAAUGCCCCUAGGGCUAAAAAUGACCUAAACUGACUCAAACAGACUUGACACUGACUCGGACGCAAGUUUGAAAUGAAUUUAAACAGGGUUUACUGAUGAAAUGUUAAAAAUGAAUUUGAAAAGACUCAGAGACAGUCACAAGGAUGAAAAUGGGUCCCACUGCAGGAAAUGACCAAAAUACCCUUCUGCAUGACUUUUUGCAAAUUUUGAAAUAAACUGUAGAAAAAGCAAUGUAAUGAUUCAGAGACACCUUUGAAUGACUUUCAAGACAAGUAAAGACAUUUUGAAAGGUUUUAUGCAAAAAAACAUAGGUAAAAUUGUGAUUGAAAAAAAACUGCGAGACAGAGACAAUUUGAACUGUGCAGUUGACAUUUGAUAAUUGACAAAGUUUGAAAUGAAAUUGGGCCCAGUAUUUUUAGGUCCAAAAACAGGGUAUAACACUAAUUGUUCAUAACAUGUGCCAAAAUUUAUGAAGAAAAACAUGGCAAGAAAUUCACAAAAUUAGGCCAAAAAGAACCAAUUAAUCAAGAAAAUAACACCUACAUUUUUAUCAUCUUUAAACAGGUAGCAAUAUCACACAAAAUGUCAAAAGAUACAACAAAAAACAUAUAGAAUUUUUAGGAAAUUUUUAGAACAAAUAGAGGCGUAUAUAGCAGGAAAAUAAGGUGCAAAUAGCAAAGAAAAGGCAAAAAAACAAAAGAAACUGUAAGAUAAAGCCCAAGCCCGAAACCUAAAGGCCUGGAAGCACAGGGAUGCCAUGCUUAAUUUCUGAGUCAAUAACCGAGUGGAACAAAAGUGACUUAUAUGUAUAUGCAUCAUACAAGUAAUAAAGCAUAUCCAGGAAAUUGGGAGAGUGAAAGAGGAAUAUCAUAAGCUUAACUUCGAAGUUAAUGUCAAGGUGUAACAAAAUUGGUUUCUCUAUGAUUAGCAUUUUUACUUAGAGAAAAAAAGACAGGGGAUGUCAACCAUUCAUGAGGAAAGUAAUGGUAGACAUUACGCAAAACCAAAUUUUAUCACAUUUUACAAAGUAAAAUAAUAGGGAUUGUUAUGCCAAAUUUUUGCGUGGAAAUAAUAUUCACAGCAUGCCAUGUACUCCCUUUCAUUGAUGACCGUGUUCUUUUUAGUUGAUUUUUGUUUAAAAGUGACUUGAACAAAGUGUGGCUGGCCAUUUAUAAAUGGAUUAUUGCUAGUCAUUGUGUUUAAAUAGAUGACUAGCAGGAGUUGGCUACAGAAGUUGCAGCCACAUUUAAAUUUAUUAGAAGGCAACUAAGAAACAAGAAGAUUAGAGAUAUUGGGAGACCUCAAGAUUUUAGACUACAUGCAAAAUAAGUACCUGUUUCCAAUGUCAUGCAUCAAAAGGUUUCUCUAAGCAUUGCAUUGAAAAUUAUCAAAUCAAGAAGCUUAAAGAACCAAGAGAAAGAGUUAUAUGGUCCAUCCUUAUAGAUAAAAAAAUGUAGAUAUUUAGAGUUUUGUUAAUAUGGAAAAAAGGCCAAAUUUAGAAAUGUUAUUUAUUUUGGUAUAUCCUUGGUCUCUCUUUCCUCUUUAUGCUAUCAAUUAGUUCAUGUAAUUUUUUUGGUUCAAUUCAUUGAUGUGAUCUAAAUAGCUCAAUAUAGCUUUUUAUAAAAUGUCCACUCACGAAGCAUAGCUUACAAUAAAAUGUUCAAGUAGUAUACACAAAGAAACAAAUAAAAAUAUAUACACGAGUUAGCGCAGUAGAAAAAGCGUGCCCGUCUGGACGCUAGUAAUAAUGAAAAAUAAUAAUAAAUGAUGCAUUGGUAUUCUAAAGUGACAAUUAUUUUGAGAAAAAGAAAAAUGAGUAAAAAGAAAAUUAUUGUGAGACGGAUGGAGUAUUUAGAAAUUUAAACCUCAAAAUUCGAACAGCUUAAUAGCUAAUGCUACAAAAACUCGAAUAAAUACUCCCUCCGUCUCACAAUAUUAGUUCGCUUUUGUGCACGAUUAUUAAAGAAAUGAUUAAUUGUGUUGAUUUUAGUUGUAAAAUUAAUUGCAUUUACUAAAACACCCUUACUAAAACACCCUUAUUAAUUGUGAAAUUCAAUAAAUAAGGGUAUAAUAGUGGAAAAAAAACUAAUAAAUGUUACAUUGGUAUUGUAAAGUGACAAUUAUUCUGAGGAAAAAGAAAAAUUGUCAAAGAGAUAAUAAUUGUGAGACGGAUGGAGUAUAUGUUAACCUAGUGAGUUAACUAGAGCAAUAAAAGAGCUUAAUAUUAUCUGUCACUUUUUUCUCAAAUUCUCAUUCAAUUAUUAGUAGGACCCUGCGCUUUAUUUGGCUUUGCACUUUUACCAGCCAGUUCCUAUCUUCUGGAAACCAACGUGAAUGCCUUGAAAAUCAAAAGUAUUUUCUGAUAUUUUAAUCUCAUCUACCAAUUUGACAUUUUUCCAGCUGUCAUUCAUAGUCAAAAUUGGAAUCUAAUAAAUGUUGUAGUCUAUACAGAGUAACUUGAUACCUAUAUUUGGAGUUUGAUUUACCUUUUGUAGAUUCUUCAUUAAGUUUUAAUGAUAAAUAAUUAGUGUUAGGACCAAAAUUAAAACCGGAUAAAACUAAACAAUACAAAAAAUAUAAACCAUUAAAGAGGGGGAUACGGUUCUUUGCUCCCUAUUAAAUAUCGUUGAAACAAUAUUUAAUAAAAUCAGAGAAUCAAUAAUCAUUGAACAAGAAAAUUCAGGUUGAUAGCUAUGGCUACUCCUUUCUGCAAGACACAAGCAUUCAAAUAGAUAUGAUAAGUAACACAAUAUACAGUUACGCUCCAACAGAGAAGAUUGCUAUUGAUUACUCGACAAAAUGAUUGUGUAUCAUGCCAAAACUAAGCAUUAACCUCACCGUAAACCUCGUACGUCCUUAUCAUUUAUACAGCAUGCUUCAAUUGCAAUCACGUUAAACCUCAUUCGUAAAAGUUAAAAAUGUAUACAAGCAUUAAAUUAUCCAUACGUUUAUAGGUUAGACAGAAAGCAUGUGACGUAAGUCAAGAGAGAUAUAGCAUUUAAUACUUCAAUGCCCUCAUCACAUCCAGAAGUUGGAUCUAUACCCAUUUCGAGCUGAUUACCUCAUGGUGGAAGUUGAAACUUCCAGCCAGUAGAUCUCUAGUUAGUGAGUUGCGACAAUUUGUUAUAUUCAUUAAUCAUCUACUACACGUAAUUAACCAUAUAUUUUGUUGUGUCAAAAUAAUACAAGGAAGACAGACCCAAGCAAUUAACAUGCAUAUCUGUCAAAUAUGGAAAGGAAAAAAAAUUUAAUACUAAGAACCAGCAGUGACAUCAGACUCUUAACUCUGGAACAGGACAAAUCUGUAAUGAGUCAAAGAGUUGAAAGAGGUAUUACAGGAAAUAUGAAUGUGGACUCUUAUAAAUACGAGAAAGCCAAGAGAAAAAGGCAUGGAAUAUGUGUGAUGUCAACAUUCUUCUUCUAACCACUUCUCUCAUUUUACUAUCCUUAUUUUCUUGCAAUUUUAUUUCCUGCAAUUGUACUCAUUGUGUGUUCACAGUGAAACGUUAUCCUUUAUAUCAAUUUUAGUACCAAUACAUUGGUGCUAUGGCAUGGGCUGAAUCAGUAUGAGCUCAUUGGAAAAACAUAGAAGCCGAGUAUAAUCGAUUGGAAGAGUUGCAAAGGAUCUUUGAUUCAUCUUUCCAGUAUGUUAAUCAUAUCAUUGAAUUUUAAUGCUGAACCACUGCUAUUGAAACCUCCAUAUCCAUUUGUUUUUACUCUGACUCCACCACCACCUCAGCCGAAACCUCCUGAUCGAAGCUUUGCGCAGAUUCCCGUGGAGUUUCAAGUGAUACGGAACUUCACCAUACAUCCACUGCCUCCAGAGCCUCUAGACACCGAUCACACAGCAGUGAAUACCAUAGUUUUGCCUUCUUGUGUGGAAAUAGCAGUUUUCCCACCAUCUGUUUGUGUGAAUGAUUGUGUCAUCAUCCAGCUAUUGUUGUUCAUGUUGUUUCGGUGUUUACCAUUGGUUCGACAUCUCAGCGAAAAGGACCAUGAACAGGUAAUCCUUGUUGUUUAUCUUAGUGUUGGUUCGUAUGCUCCUAUUUCUCUAGACUAUGGCUAUACAAUGAAUGUCUUUGAGAAGAGUGAGGUUUAUGGUUAUGGUGUAGUGUUGUUGAUUGUCUUGACUUGUAAGUAUAUUGAUGAGAAAUGGAAACAAGAACCACAUUUCCACAUGGUGACAUAUGAGAAUAGAUAAUUCAGGAACUUAGUUUUUGACAAGGUUCAAAUUCAUCAACAGCCACCCAAAACAUUUAUGAGUUUGGUAGGAUUAUCUUGCCACAUAACCAGGAUGAUACAAUACUUUCAAGAGAUGUUGAAUCCCAAUAAAAAGAAUGGCACUCCUGUUGUUUUGAUUUGGUUUGAAAAUCUCCAGCAACGACAUCAAUUGUCGCUUGAACCAUACCAUGCUCACUUUUGGAGUUGCAUGAAUGCUAUCUCUCAUAAUGAUGUUAUGGCUAUUGUUCAAUUAUUUUCCUUUGUUGUCAAAUUGGUUGUUUCUAUUCCUGAAGAUGUAUCUCAAGCUAUGGGAUUGAGCCUUGCAUUUUUCAGGACAAAAAUUAAGCAUGAUAAGGCUCAUUAUUCAAUUAUUUUCCUUUCUUCUCAUUAUUCAAUGUAAAACGAUACAAAACAACCUUCAGUAUGUGAAAGAGGCUGCCAUUGUGUUUGUUUUGUUUCUACAACCAAUCCAAAUCAAGGACAAGAGUUAUCAUAUAAUAACUACUUGGAUGUUAUUACUACUUUCAACUUUGUGCGUGCAUUUCAAAUUCCAUGUGGGGUAGCUUCAAGUGAUGUUGUUUUGAAAUCUUGUAGAAUGAACACUACAGCUUGUAGCUUCUCAAGAUUAGAGUAUAGCAACUUAGGGACUUCGCAAUUGGGUUGGAAAACGAAAUUUGAUGGGGAAUGGUGCAUAGAAGAUCUUUUGGUUUUGAGAAUUGACAUGGUUCAAAGAGUCAUACCAAAGAUGAAGUGUUAUGGGCAUUGUCCACAAGGUAUUGUAGUUUCUCUUUUGCAUUGGUCCGGGCUGAAAUUGGCGAGGAAACUCAACUUGUGGAAACCAUCUAGCCUGACUGCAGACGUAAAAAGAAGAGUAGUGAUGGAAAUGACCACUUUUAUGUUCAUAGAAACAUGUAUGCUUCUCUUAUUUAGUAAGGCUCCUAACAUCAAAUAUCAUAUUAAUGUUAAUCCUACCUCAUUGCUUGUCUAUGUUGGUAGUGAUAUACAAGAUCUUCUAGCAGUUUUGGAGGAAUUUUCUUGGGUGUUUUAUCCUAAUAAAGUUACUCUUGCUAGGAUGCGUCUUGAAGCUAAUAUGAAUUCUGCAUUGUAUUUGAGCAGAUACAAUGUCAAGGUUUUCCUUCUCAAGUGCCAUACGAUGGCAGGGAGAGUGAUAUCAAUAAAUGGAGUGUCCUUCAAAGACUGAGAAAUAUUAUAUACAAGACGAAGUUCUUGCUGAACAAUUGCAGGAUCAGGUGAAGAAGCAUCAUCGGCUUGAUGGGUGUAAAUUUAAAGAAGACUUGGGGCUAAAAGAACCAAGAGACAUGAACGAUCUUCUGGUUCAGGCACAUCCUUACAUCAAUUACGAAACAGCUGAAGCCGUCAAGAAGAAACAACCUUAGAAAGAGUACAAGCUACAGGACGACAGUCAAAAAACACGAGGGAACAAUUCUCGGUUCUCGGAAUACAGUCAGUUUAACGCUUCAUGAGAACAAGUUUUCAAGCAAUGGAAAACACAGAAUUCAAAGAUGCCGGCAUCAAAGCCCCAGCGCCGUUGAAGGAAAUACCACGCAGAGACAAGUCCAAGUACUGUAGGUUCCACAUAAGUAGCGGCCACAAUACAGAAAAAAAAUUCCAGCUGAAGGAUGCAAUUGAAGAUCAAAUCAAAAAAGGGAAGUUGAAACGCUACAUCAAAGAUGAUUACCACAAAGGUGGUAAGAAGAAAUACAAAGACUCCAAUCACAAAUCUUCUCUCAGUAGUGAGUCCACAAAGAGAAAGCGCUCUCCUUCCUAGGAAGACACUCCACCCACAAAGAAACGAUUGACGUCGCUGACAGAGGCAAUAAGGAAAGGAAAAUGAUGACCACCAUUAGAAGAACGGUAAAACGUGUCUUCCUGGACGCCAUCAUGGGGAAUCUCCGAGAACGGGUCCAAAGGUACAUGAAGAGGAAGGUAGCUCAAAUGCUCGCAAUCAAUGUCACCAUACCAUCUUCUGAAGCUGAGUAUAGGACAUUAGCACAAGCAACCUUUGAAGGACAAUGGUUGUUGUAUCUUCUGCAUGAUUUCUUAGUUCCUCAUUCUUCAUCUAUUAUCAUCAUAUAUUGUGAUAAUCAAUCAGCAAAGCAUAUGGCUGCUAACCCUAUUUUUCAAGAGAGGACAAAGCAUAUCAAAAUUUAUUGUCAUGUUGUCAGGGAUAGAUUCACACAGGAAUGCUUCAUCCACUACCAGUGUCUUCCAAGGAAAAAGUAGCAGAUAUAUUGACCAAGUCACUUCACCCUGGGUCAUUGAACAUUCUUCGGCACAAGCUUGGAAUGAUUGACAUCUAUUCCAGCUUGGGGGGAUGUUGAAGCUAGUAUAGAUACAGUCAGUUAGUUAAUUAACUUGCACUGACCUUAACUCCUUGCUACCAUUCUCUAACUAUGAUUAGCUAUAGAAGUAACUACAGUUAGGAGGAUAUAAGUGAUAUAUAUACUCUUGCUAGUUCCACUUUGAAGGUGAGAAAAACACAAGAAGGGGGGGUUGAAUUGUGUUUUCUUUUUCUCUCUUAAAAAAUCUUCUUCUGAUAAACCUUCAGAAGCAGUUUGUGAGUGCUUCUGAUGAACUGAUCAGAAUUGGAUAUGCAGCGGAAAAGAACAGAGCAGAGAAAAGAAAGACAAAGACACAAGUAGUUAUCCUGGUUCCUUCCACAACACGGAAGUAGUCCAGUCCCCCUUGUACUUCCAAGGAGAUUUCACUAUAAUCACAAAGAUUACAACUGCUCAAUACUAUCUAAGUGUGAGACUUCACAAAGAUGCUCAAGCACACACGCAAGAGUCUUCCAAUGCUCAAGCACUAAGCAAGAGACUUCUAAUGCUCAAGCACGCAGGCAAGAGACUUCUGAUCAAACAAAAAUACAGAGAAUUGAGUUUGACUUGAACACUUGAUAUACAAUCAGUGGUGUUCUCAAUACAAUACAGUAAAGACUCUAGACUUUGAAUUUCUAAGAUGUAUCAAAUCAGUGCAGAAAUUCAGUGUGCUUUGUAGAAUCAAUUUGACAGAGUUUUGGCGCUUUUGAACUUGUAUAUCUCUAUCUUCUAUCUUCAAGUCUUCACUCCUUUAUAUAGAGGCGUGAAAGAGACGUUGAGAUAAUCAGCACGUCUAAAGAGUCGUUUGAAAUCCUUUGAUCAUCCACCAGUAAUCCUUUGCCUGAUUUGGGUGUAGUCCUUUGAAGAAUAAGCUUCAAAUUCAUUCCCAUCUUGAAGGCACAAAUUCUGCAGGCAUGGCUGUUGUCUUGUCUUGUAGUGUAGACAAAAAAACAGAGUAGUGGAGGUAGUGGUUGUACACUUGUACUUUGUCAACUCUACUAACGAGAGACAAGUGCUCAGUGCUAUCCAUAUAUCUGUUGAUACCUCCCUUUCAAUUCUUCGUUCUUCUUAGAUAAGAUUGAAUUGAGAAUCAGCUACUUUGGAUCUUCAGUUUGAUUAAAGGAUCAAAUAUAGCUUCUGGUGAAGAUAUUGCUUCUGAUGACCUUCUGCUUCUGAUGACGUCAUCUCUUCAGAAGCAGUUUUCUUCAGAUGCUUGGAAUUCUUUUGCUUUUCAUUGUUCUUCCAAGACCUAUUGAAAUUACUUGACUAGCUUUUGAUCCUGUACACUUGAACAAUCAUUAGUAUAAACCAAUUGACAAUUUUUAAUACCUUGUUAUCAUCAAAACUCAAUAAGGUUCAUUGUGAAACACAUUUUGUUCCAACAAUCUCCCCCUUUUUGAUGAUGACAAACAAUAGUAUUUAAAAUGUUCAAUUGUUGUUGAUCUAAUUAAUAAGUUGACCACUGGGAUUGAGGUUUGUAAGCUCCCCCUGAGUCUAAUAGAUCUUUAAGGUGAGGUUUGUAAGCUCCCCUUGAGUUCUAAUCUUAUUAAUUAAAUUUCAAUAAAAUACUUAUUAAAAAUAAAUAAUAUCAGAAGUAUUUAAAAAGUUUUGAAAUGGUUAUAAUGGGGCUCAGUGCAUUAAAAUACUAUACAUUUACUCCCUCUUUUGUCAUCAACAAAAAGAAUAAAAACAAAAGAAAGAGUAGCAGAGCAUAUAAACAUAUAAGCCUUAAAAUACAAUGUAUCAGAGCAGACAUCAUUAAACACAGCAAAUAUUAUCAGAGUUAAAGCUGUAAAACAUAUAAUUCAGAAAAACAAAGAUAAUAUUUAUAAGUUAAGAUACAAAGGCAAAACUACUAACAACUUAGAACAAAAAUUAAAACAAGCAAAGAGUGUUGGGUGUGCAACUAAGGUUGGGCUUGCUUAUACAUCUGUUCCAAAAGGUACUUAAUUUGAUCAUCCUUCUUCUGAAGUAGCUCAUCCUUUUCUCUCAUUCUUCUUUUAUACCCAGCAUGAAUUCUUGCAGCCCUUGUGAUAUACUCUUCUUCUAGAUAGAAAGGAGUGAUGUCCAGCAGAGGCACAUAAUUCAGCUCUUUCACCUUAGCUGCUUCAUGCAUAUCAUUCAACAUCUUCUUCAGCAUGGCAGAGUGAGAUGAGACACACUUAGUUCUAAGCUGAUUCAUCAGUUCAUCAAAGCUCUUCUGCAGAUCCAUCCACUGAUCAUGAUAGUGAAUAGGAGGUACAUGAACUGUUCUGCGAAGAAUCAGUGUCUGAAUCUCAUCACUAAGCCUGAUUAGCUGUUCCUCUAUAUACUCAGACUCUAGGAUAUUGUCAGGGAUGGGUGAGGGUCCAGUUUGAGUUGUAUUUGAUGUGGAGGGUUGGUCAGAGGUUAAGUCUAUAAUAGAAGGUGAUGCUGGUUGUUGUAUUUCUGUUGUUUGUUGGUCAGAGUCAUGAUGUUCAUGAACAGACUGUUCAGAAGCACCAAGAUCUUGGUCAGUAGCAACUUGUUCAGAAACAGUUUGUUCCAGAACAGUUUGCUCAGGGAUGGUUUGGGUUUCUGAUUGUUGGUUUUCCAAAACAGUCUUUUUAGGGACUGUCUUAGAGGCCUUUGUGGGUGUUGGUUGCAUUUCACCACAUAGAUGUUUUUCUAGGUUGUGAAGGGUUGAGGAUUCUUGUUGUUGGGGGGUUUCUGAUGUAGUUGCUUCUGAAACUACUUCAGAGGCUCUUUGUGGAGUUUGGUCAUUUUGUUGAUUUGUUUGGGUAGGUUCUUGGUUGGGUUGAGGUUGUUGUAUGCUAACAACUUCUGGAAUGACUGGAUACAAAGGAUGAGAAGCAGGCAAAUUGAAUUUCUCACAGAGUUUAAUUAUGUUCUUAGAAAAUUCAAUUUGUGUUUGCUCAUAGUCAAAAGUUCCAAACUCUGUUAGUUUUGUGGGUUUGAUGUUAAGGAGAUUGGUUCAUCUGAUUCUGUGGAUGAUGAUGAGGGUGAAGAGGGUGGAGUAGGUAGGGUGUGAAUCUGAGUAUUAGAUGGAGCUUGAGAUGAAAUACCUGAAGAAUGAGCUUCUGAAGGAGGUGCUUCUGGAGCUUUUGUAGAAGGAUCUGAUGAUGAUGCUCCUGAAGCUUGCUUAUUCUUCAAGGCUUGUGAAAGCAGAGUUGCUCCACGCUGAAUAGUUUCCAUCUCAGAAUCUAUAGCAGCAAUUUCAGGAUCAGGCUCAUACCCUGCAGCCUUGAGUUUAUCUUCCCUUUCCUUUUCAUACAAUUCCUUCAUCCUCUUCUUCUCUUGAAUUUUAGUUCUUGCAUACUCAUUUUCUUCGCUCAGUUGAGUCUCAGACGCUUCAAAUCUGGGCAAGACUUCAAGCUCAGUGUUGGUAGUCCUCUUUACUUUCUUAGGACUUGAGUCUUCAUCCCAGUUCUCUUCAAGCUCUUCCAGCAUCUGCGCCUUGCGUCCUUCAGCUGUCUUCAGAUUUCUUGUUAUAUAAGAUCUCUUCCUUUUGAUGGUCUGAAGAGUAGCUUCUCUUUUCUUCUUAGGACUUAGAGGUUUUUCAGAAGCAGCUUGUUCAGAAGCAACUUGUUCAGAAGCAAGCUGUUCUGCUGUUUCUUAAGCACUCCUUGUCCUUUUUCUGAUAAGAGGGACUUCAUCCAAGUCCUCCACUUCCUCUUGAAUAGUGGACAUUGCAGAUUUUUCCUUCUUAACUUUCUGAUGCUUCUGAGCACCCUUCUCAGUAGCAUCAUCAGCAAGAUAUUCUUCCUUGGUGAUCUGCUUCUUCUUGGACUUUCUGCCUUUAGCCACAGGCAGAGCACCACCAUACAUCUCCUCAGGGACAUCCUUCAGGUCAAUCUUCUUGUUGUAGGUUUUGUAGAAGUCCAUGAUGUAAGCCCUUUGUACAUCCAGGGGAUCUUUCUUGCAGAUAGGGAUGAGAUGAGUGACCAGAUCAGAUAUGGCAUCAGAUUCAUGCAUAUCAGUAUCUAGUUUCUUGAAUGUUGGAAUCAGUCUCAUCUUUAGAAGAGUUGCUCCAUUAAUUAUUUUCCCAGUGACUGCUCCCAGCUUCUGAUUAUCAUAAAUGCCAACGUCCUUCAAGGCACUUAGGAUUCCUCCUUCUUGAAAAAUUACAGAGAGCAGCCUUCCAUAAGGAACAUACUUCCUGUUUUCCAUCUGACUCUUCUUUAGUUCCUUGAUCAUGUACUUGAACAUGUACUUAGGAACAUUCAUCGUGGUCUCUUGAGUGAUGGUGUGAUGCAGGAAAACUUUGUGACCAAGUGAAGGUUGAUCACUUCCUCCACCUUUGGGAAAGAUGUUCUCAUUUUGGAUCUUCAGCAGCAACUUCUUUUGCAUGCUCAAAGUGCUGUAAGGUUUAGCAUCCUUUGAUCCAUAAAUGGUGUUAUUUACAAUUUCCUUCCAGGAGCUGGUUUUGGGAUUAGGAAUCUCUUCUCCAAAGUACUUGCCAGAGGUAUCCCUUCUCAUGGCUUGAGCAAUAAUCUGCUCAUUUAUGGUUACGGGAAUACCCAUGACAUUUGAUCUAAUCUCUGUACCAGUGAAGGCGAGUAGACCCAUUUCUUCUCUGGUUUUUCCCUCCAGAGUAGGAUCAACCAGAAUCAUCUGAGCUUCUUCCUGUCUAGCAGCAUCAAUGUCAAAUAUUGAAGCCCUUACCCAGAAUUGUCUGACCAGAACUUCAUACGUUGGACCAUUGAGAAGACCAAAAUACCCCAUGAGUUGCUGUUUCUCGUAGAACUUUACCAAGUCGCAUCCAUGGCGAGUUAAAGAGGCGAAAUCCACUGGAUUUUCUGCUUGAAUAACUAACUCUCAUUCUUCAAUAGACAUGGUUCUUCCUUUAAUCUCAUAAGCCGGAGUAUCUAUUUCCAUGUUUGAAGAUGAACCACGAGCAAAACUUGAACUUUCCAUUGAUUCGAAGGAGUUUUAGGGUUCUAAGGUGUUUUGAGAGGGAGAGUGAAUGCGCUUACUUCGCAGAGGGUUGAGAAGAAAAUAGAAAGUGUUUGUUGUGAAGUGAGUAGUGUGUGUUUGUUUUAAGUGUUUUUUAUUAAAACGUUUGCAAUUCAGAAGAGACAAACAAACAUAACAUUAAUGACAAAUUGGGGGCGCGUGAUAGUACAUUUAAAAGCAAGUAAAACAUCAUUGCCCUUUUUGUUAUACUCCAAUACAAAUAGACCACGUCAGAGACUUAUCAGAAAACUAACCUUUGGGUAAUGGGACAGCUGUUACAAAAAGUAACUGCCAACGUUCCCACUAGCCUUGCUAUUCAGAAGCAAAUAAUACCGUUUCUGAAGUCUUAGUGCUGACGUCAUCUUCAGAAGCACAUUUUCCUCAGAACCUCAGUUAAGAGCUUCUGAUGGACCAGAUGCUUCUGAAUAGACUUCAGAACCAAAAACUUCUUAUUCAGAGGCAAGCAAUUUUUCAAUCAGACACAAAGUGCAUGUUCAAAUUUUUCUUAAUAAAAUCAAAUCUUUCAACCGAUAAAGGUUUUGUAAAUAUAUCAGCCCAUUGAUGUUCAGUAUCAAUGAAUUGUAUAUCUAAAAUCCCUUUUUGAACAUAGUCUCUGAUAAAAUGGUGUUUGAUCUCAAUAUGCUUGGCUCUUGAAUGUAGAAUUGGAUUCUUUGACAGACAAAUAGCAGCAGUAUUAUCACAAAAAAUGGGAAUACUGUUAGCAUUAAUCUGAUAGUCUUCCAACUGAUGUUUCAUCCAAAGUAGUUGUGUACAACAACUUGCAGCUGAAAUGUAUUCUGCUUCUGCUGUAGACAUAGCAAUAGUUGCUUGUCUUUUGCUUGCCUAGGAUAUCAGAUUCUCUCCCAGGAAUUGACAAUUUCCACUGGUUGAUUUUCUUUCAAUCCUGUCACCAGCAUAAUCAGCAUCACAGAAUCCAAUCAACUUAUAAUCUAGGGAUUUCCUAUACAGGAGUCCAAGAUUAGUUGUUCCUUUCAGAUACCUGAAGAUUCUCUUAACUGCAGUUUAAUGAGAUUCUCUAGGAUCUGAUUGAAAUCUUGCACACAAGCAUACACUGAAUAAAAUAUCAGGUCUAGAUGCAGUGAGGUAUAACAGAGAACCAAUCAUACCUCUGUAUAGCUUCUGGUCUACUAUUGUUCCAGUAUCUUCUUUGCUUAAGGUGCAGGUUGGAUGCAUUGGAGUGUUCAUCACUUUACAAUCUUCUAGCUUAAACUUCUUCAGAAGCUCCUUUGUAUAUUUUGUUUGAUGAACAUAUACUCCUUCUUUACUUUGGUUGAUUUGAAUUCCAAGAAAGAACUUCAAUUCUCCCACAUACUCAUUUCAAAUUCAUCCUGCAUUAACUUAGAAAAUUCUUUGCAAAGAGAUGCAUUAGUAGAACCAAAUAUUAUAUCAUCAACAUAUAUUUGCACAAUCAAAAUGUCUUUCUUAAGAGUCCUUCUGAAGAGUGUUGUGUCAACUUGUCCUCUUUCAAAAUCAUUUUUAAUUAAGAAAUUACUUAGUCUAUCAUACCAAGCUCUGGGAGCUUGUUUCAAGCCAUAUAGUGAUUUCUUAAGUUUAUAAACAUGGUCAGGAUGCUUAAGAUCCUCAAACCCAGGAGGUUGUUUGACAUAAACUUCUUCUUCAAUGACACCAUUAAUAAAACCACUUUUGACAUCCAUUUGAUACAAUAUUAUGCCAUGAUUAAUUGCAUAGGAUAGAAGUAACCUGAUUGCUUCCAAUCUUGCAACUGGAGCAAAUGUUUCAGUGUAAUCAAUGCCUUCUUGUUGACUGUAACCUUGAGCAACAAGUCUGGCUUUGUUUCUGGUUACCUCUCCUUGUUCAUUCAACUUGUUUCUGAAUACCCAUUUUGUUCCAAUAAUGUUCUUCUGAAAAGGUUUGGGUACCAGAUCCCACACAUCAUUCCUCUGAAACUGAUUUAGUUCUUCUUGCAUAGCUAGUAUCCAACCAUCAUCUGAGAGAGCUUCUUCAACAGUUUUAGGCUCAAUUAUUGAAAGCAAUCCUAUUAAUGACUCUUCUUGUCUGAAAUGUGAUCUUGUUCUUCUAGGACUAUCUUUGCUUCCAAUGAUUAGCUCCUUAAGUGUGAAGAUUUGUGUUUGAAUUUAGGUUGAAUAGCCUGCUGAGAGUUAUCUUGAAUAUCCUCAGAAGCAUUCUCAUUCUGUAUUUCUGGACUAGGUUCUGCUUCUGAAUUUGACUCAGCUUCUGGAGUGAUUUCAGCUUCUGGACUAGAUUCAACUUCUGAAUGCUUUUCAGAAUCAGAAAGUUGAUCAGAUUCUGAUGCAUCUUCAGAAUCAAUUGUACCUGCAUUACUUUCACUUUGCUCUGGAGUUUUACUUCCAGGCUCUCUAUCAUCAAAUUUAACAUGCAUAGAUUCUUCAACACAAUGUGUUUCUGAAUUAUACACUCUGUACGCCUUUGACCUUUCAGAGUAACCUAAAAAGAUUCCUCUUUGAGCCUUGGCAUCAAAUUUCUUCAGAUAGUCUUUAGUGUUUAGAAUGUAACAAGUACAUCCAAACUGAUGAAAGUAAGAGAUAUUGGGUCUUGUUCCUUUAAAGAGUUCAUAUGCAGUUUUCUCCAACAUAGGUCUGAUAUAGAUCCUAUUUUGAAUAUAACAUGAAGUAUUAAUUGCUUCUGCCCAGAAAUGUUUAGCUAAAUUGUUUUCAUGGAUCAUGGUUCUGGCCAUUUCUUGUAAGGUUCUGUUCUUUCUCUCUACAACCCCAUUUUGUUGUGGAGUUCUAGGAGAAGAAAAUUCAUGAAGAAUCCCAUGUUUUUCACAAAAAGAUUCAAAUGUCUCAUUUUCAAAUUCACCACCAUGAUCACUUCUGACUUUCAAAAUUUUCAAUUCUUUUUCAGAUUGUAUUUGAGUGCAGAAGCUGCUAAACACUUCACAAGCAUAAUCUUUACUUUUAAUGAAUUUUACCCAAGUCCAUCUGCUGUAAUCAUCAACAAUGACUAAUCCAUAUUUACUUCCAUAUAAGGAUGUAGUGUUAACUUGUCCAAAAAGAUCAAUAUGGAGUAAUUCCAAGGGUCUAGAGGUUGAUACAAUGUCUUUAGAUUUGAAAGAACUUUUCACAAUCUUCCCUUUCUGACAUGCACCACUGAAGGGAUUUUAAGAGGGGUUUUUCAAAAAUUUAAUCCUCUUUGCGGAAGAAAUCCCAUUGAAACGGAUCUUGAUUAAAUCAUUAAUCACAAAUCAAAUAGAAACUUAAACACUUUAAGAUUCAUGUGUUUACCUCUUGAAGAGCAGAACCUUUGUAGAAGAAAUAUUUCUGAUCACGAGCAAAGCAAAGCAGCGAUGCCUCUACUCAGUCCACACGAACAGAACUUCUCUGAUGACCGGUGCUAGCCAAUUCCAACGGAGAUUCAGAGAGAACAAGGUUUAGAGAGCGGCGGCUAGGGUUUCACAACUUUUGUGAAUUAGGUUAAGCACUCACCAAAGGUUAAUAAUGUUUCAACACAAGGGUUCUAUUUAUAGAAUCACUUGUGUGGACAACAAGACAACACUUAAAUACACCGUACUUUACGGUGGACCGCGUUUCUCUAUUUUUCGUAAAUUAAAUAAUAAAGUCAUAUUUAAUUUUUUAAUUAAUAAUAAGUCUCACUUAUUAUUUUAUAAAUAAGUCUCACUUAUUAUUUUAUAAAUAAGUCUUACUUAUUUAUUUCUCUCAUCUAUCUGUCCUUUGUGUGUGACCCUAUAGGUUCCCGUAACGUUGGCAAUAAUAUUAAAUCACAUAUUUAAUAUUAUAAACAGUGAGCGGUAUCUAGCAACACAUCACUGCUACCCAAGUGACGAGAAUGUCAUGUGAUCUGACGAAACCUUUCUGUGAUAAUGAUCAUGUGUAUAAUUACCCUUUUGCCCUCAUGUCUAUAUUGAACACAAGGCAUAGACCGUGUCAUCCUUGUCUAGUUCAAUAUUGGGCCCGUAGACAUUUCUCCUGUUAUGUAGGAGGGGCAAAUUCCAUCUAGGUCACUCAUGUCCCUCAGCAUGAUUCAUGGAGUACCCAUCAACCAACUUUAUAGUCAUCCUGUUACGGACAACGUUUGAAUGGUGACAAAGCACUCGACUCCAACAUCUAGGGUACAUAGUGGUUUCAGGUCGAAGGGUGGAAUACACCACUAUCACUAUGAGAAUAUCUUAUGACACUUUUCAUAACUUUUACUAUGUAGUAUUCUCAUGGCGGAUCAAUCCAAUAUAAAUAUUACUCCUAAUAUUUAUAUCUAUGUGAAGACUUGAUAACUCUUUAUCCAUGAUCUGUGAGAUGUGAUCAUCAGUCUACCUACAUAAUAGUCUCUAUGCUUUAAUGAUAUCCCACUUCUCAACAAAGCUUGACUAUGGAUACUUUGAGAAUAGUUUCCAUAUGUUUAAUGGGGUCUCACAAUUAAGUUAUACUUAAUGUUCCAUUAAACGGACUAACUAUUCUAGGGACUUUAUUAUUUUGAAACAAAACAAAAUCAAUAAAGAAAUGCCUUGUUAUUAUAUAUUCACAAUAUAUAUUUAUAUCAAUAUCAUGAAACAAAGCCAAACCCAAUCAAUAUAGAUUGGCUAUUAGGGCUUAUUCCAACAAUCUCCCACUAGCACUAAAAGCCAAUCAAAUAUUAACUCAAUAUCUAUUGGUCAAGUGUUAGCAUCAAGCACACUCUUGACAAGAUACUAUACUAGCAAAUAAGGAACUCUUUUCUAUGUUGGUAGGUUAUACUUCUUUCAAUUUCCACUUUCGAUCUUCUAUCGAAAAGAAAUUGAAGUGUCAAAGUAUACAUUUGGAUCAUUGGUGAGAUCAAGUUUUCAUUGCUCACAAGAUUUAAAGCAAUUUUACCUCAUACGAGAUCAAUGGAAUCCGCAACGCAAGAAACACAUGUUUUCACUCAGUUAUGAGCUAAACAAUCCAAAUCAUAUAUAUUUGACAUCUGUAAUAGAAACAACAACUAUUUGAAGCUUGUACUUUUAUAAAUUUCAUAGUUGAUAUCCUAGCAUAACAUUUAUUCCAAAUUACGAUCUGGAUAUAUUGUACACUGAUAUGAAAGUCAACAUCAUUGUAACUCAUUUACAAUGUUUCUUUCAUCUGUGUUCAAGAAACAAUCUAUUGUCCUUUAAGACAUCCAAGGAUAUUCUUGAAGGUAUUAUAGUGUCGAACACUAUAAUCAAUUUUGGUACAUAUUGAAAAUAAUUUUCUAACCAUGUCUUACAUGUGUAGAUAAAUUAUUUUGGUGACUAGUAUGUCAUCUACAUACUCCACCAAAAUAAUUUCAAUGCUCCCACUAAUCUCCUUAUGUGCACAAGAUUUCUUUAUUGAUCAAAGUUUUCAUAAAACUUUGUUAAUAAAAUAAACAAUUUAACUUCGAGAAGAUUUCUCUAAUAAAUAAAUUUUGUAAUACAUUUACCUUUCUAGUAUCCUUUGGAUUAACGAAACCCUACAUAUAUGUCAAAUACAUAUAUAAGGUCAUUCUAAUUAAAGAAUGCAAUCUCUUUGCCAUUGUUCUUGUAUGUGCUGUAGAUCAUAGAAGCAACUUUGAUUCUGUCUAUUCUAGCCAUAAUAAAAUCAUCCAAGGCAAUCUCAUGUUUAGUGCCUGAACCUUUAUCACAUUUUUCUUGUAGCUUCUGACAAAGAAUUUUGAGUCUCUCUUCAUAUGUUGUUGAUAUGAGGUUAAACCCUUUUAGUUCUUCUUCAGAAGCUUUCAGUUCCAAUAGAGUUGACUUUUGUUCUUUCAUUAAAUCAACAUAUUUUUCUUUUAAAUCUGUCAACUCAUUGGUUCUGUGCUCAAACAGUGAUAAAAGUUCUUUUAGAGAAUCCACAAGUUCUUGUCUAAGAAUUUUGGAGUAUACCUCAUUUUCAUCUUCUGAAUCUGAUUCAGCUUCUGAAACUGCUUCUGAUGAUACUGUUGCCACUAACCCCAUGGCUGUCUUUGCAUCAUCAUCUGCUUCUUCUUUAUCAGAACCAGAUUCACUGUCCAAAUCUUCCCAGGUUGCCAUCAAGCUCUUUUUGAUUUGCUUUCUAAAUUUACUGGAGCUGAAGCUUGAUUUCUUGGAUUUGCUUUUAGAUUUCUCCUUCUGAAGAUCAGGGCAAUCAACAAUAAAAUGACCAGGCUUUUUGCAGUUGAAGCACCCCUUCUGAUCUUCUUUCUUUGAGUUCUUGUAGCCACCUCUCUUGCUCAAAAAUUUCUUUUGCUUCCUUGCCAGAUACUCAAGUUUGUUGGACAACAUGGCCAUCUUUACAGAUUGAUCUUCAUCAGAAUCUCCAUCAGGUGAUUCUUCUUCAGAUUCACUAGCUUUGUAGGCUUUUGAGGAUUUUGAAGUCUUUCCUUUAGAUGGUAAAGCAAUGGAUUUACUCUUCUUAGAGGAUUCAUGCUCAUUUAGACUCAUUUCAUGCACUUUGAGUGAGCUAACAAGAUCUUCAACACUUAAAGUGUUUAGAUCCCUAGCUUCCUCAAUAGCAGUUACUUUGGGUCUCCAUCUUGAAGGUAAGCUUCUCAAAAUCUUACUGACAUGAUCAGAAGCAACAUAGCUUUUCUUCAGUAUUUGCAAUCCAGAAACCAAAGUUUGAAAUCUUGAGUACAUUUCUUCAAUACUCUCAUCAUCCUUCAUUCUGAAUAGUUCAUACUGAUGAACAAGCAUCAAAGCUUUAGCCUCUUUCAACUUCUUGCUGCCUUCAAAGUUGGCACAUAGUGACGCAAACAUAGCCUUUGCAGUAGAUUUUUCACCCAUCUUCAUAUAUUCGGUGCGAGGUAUAGAAGCCACAAUAAUCCCUCUGAUUUUGUGGUGCUUCUUGUAAAGAUUUUUCUGAGCAGGAGUAUGUAUUCUUUGAAGGUGAGAAAAACACAAGAAGGGGGGGGGGUUGAAUUGUGUUUUCUUUUUCUCUUAAAAAAUACUUCUUCUGAUAAAACUUCAGAAGCACUUUGAUUGCUCCUGAUGAAGUGAUCAGAGUCAGAUUGCAGCGGAAGAGAACAGAGCAGAGAAAAGAAAGACAAAGACACAAGCAGUUAUCCUGGUUCCUUCCACAACACGGAAGUAGUCCAGUCCCCCUUGCACUUCCAAGGAGAUUUUCACUAUAAUCAACAAGAUUACAACUGCUCAAUACUUUCUAAGUAUGAGACUUCACAAAGAUGCUCAAGCACACACGCAAGAGACUUCCAAUGCUCAAGCACUAAGCAAGAGACUUCUAAUGCUCAAGCACUAAGCAAGAGACUUCUAAUCAAACAAAAGUACAGACAAUUGAGUUUGAUUUGAACACUUGAUAUACAAUCAGUGAUGUUCUCAAUACAAUACAGUAAAGACUCUAGACUUUGAAUUUCUAAGAUUUAUCAAAUCAGUGCAGAAAUUCUGUGUGCUUUGUAGAAUCAAUUUGACAGAGUUUUGGCGCUUUUGAACUUGUAUAUCUCUAUCUACAAUCUUCAAGUCUUCACUCCUUUAUAUAGAGGUGUGAAAGAGAUGUUGAGAUUAUCAGCACGUCUAAAGAGUCGUUUGAAAUCCUUUAAUCAUCCACCAGUGAUCCUUUGCCUGAUAUGGGUGUAGUCCUUUGAAGAGUUAGCUUCAAAAUCAUUCCCAUCUUGAAGGCGCACAUUCUGCAGGCAAGGCUGUUGUUUUGUCUUGUAGCGAAGACAAAAACAGAGUAAUGGAGGUAGUGGUUGUACACUUGUACUUUGUCAACUCUAGUAAAGAGAGACAAGUGCUCAGUGCUAUCCAUAUAUCCGUUGGAACCUCCCUUUCAAUUCUUUGUUCUUCUUGGAUAAGACUGAAUUGAGAGCCAGCUACUUUGAAUCUUCAGUUUGAUUGAGGGAUCAAAUGCAGCUUCUGGUGAAGAUAUUUUCCUUCUGAUGAAAACCUUGCUUCUGAUGAUCCUCUGCUUCUGAUGACGUCAUCACUUCAGAAGCACUCUGAACUUCAGGAGCGAUUUUCUUCAGAUGCUUGGAAUUCUUUUUCUUUCCAUUGUUCUUCCAGGACCUGUUGAAAUUACUUGACUAGACUUUGGUCCUGUACACUUGAACAAUUAUUAGUAAUAACCAAUUGACAAUUUUUAAUACCUUGUUAUCAUCAAAACUCAAUAAGGUUCAUUGUGAAACCCAUUUUGUUCCAACAAUCUCCCCCUUUUUGAUGAUGACAAACACUAGUAUUUAAAAUGUUCAAUUGUUGUUGAUCUAAUUAAUAAGUUGACUUCUGGAUAGAGGUUUGUAAGCUCCCCCUGAGUCUAAUAGAUCUUUAAGGUGAGGUUUGUAAGCUCCCCCUGAGUUCUAUUCUUAUUAAUUAAAUUUCAAUAAAGUAUAUAUAAAAACAAUAGCAAAAGUAUUUAAGAAGGUGGUUAUAGUGGGGCUCAGUGUCUUAAAAAUACUAUACAUUUACUCCCCCUUUUGUCAUCAACAAAAAGAAUAAGAACAAAAGACAGAGUAGCAGAGCAUAUAACCAAAUAAAAACAGAAGAAGAAUCAGAGCAAGAAGUAUCAGAGCAUAUGACAUUAAAAUCAAUAAAUAUCAUUAGAGUUUAAAAGAAAAGAGCAUAAUAUUUCAGAAACAUUGAUAAUAUUUAUAAAGAAAGGUUAAGGUACAAGGAUAAAACUACACAGAACAAAAGUAAAAACAAGCUAGAGUUGGGUGUGCAACUAAGGUUGGGCUUGCUUCUUCAACUGUUCUAAGAGAAGUCUAAUCUGUUCAUCCUUCUUCUGAAGUAGCUCAUCCUUCUUCUGAAGUAGUUCUUCCUUCUCUCUUAACUUCCUCUUAUGCCCAGCAUGAAUUCUUGCAGCUCUUGUGAUGUAUUCUGCCUCUGGAUAGAAAGGAGUGAUGUCCAGUAGAGGCACAAAGUUCAGCUCUUUCUCCUUAGCUGCUUCAUGCAUAUCAUCCAAAAGCUUUUGAAGCAUUACAGAGUGGGAUGAUACACACUUGGUUCUUAGCUGACUUAGUAGAUCAUUGAAGCUCUUUUGUAGAUCCAUCCACUGAUCAUAAUAGUGAAUAGGAGGUACAGGAACUGUUCUGCGAAGAAUCAGUGCCUGAAUCUCAUCACUAAGACUAAUCAGUUGUUCCUCUAUAUACUCAGACUCCAGGAUAUGGUCAGGAAUGGGUGAUGGUUGCAUUGGAGUUGUAUUUGAUGAGGAAGGUUGGUCAGAGGUUAAGUCUAUGAAAGUGGGUGAAUCUGGUUGUUGUUGUGGUUCUGUUGUUUGGUCAGAAGAUAUUUGUUGGUCAGGAGCAACUUGUUGGUCAGGAGCAACUUGUUCAGGAACAACUUGUUCAGAAACAGUUUGCUCAGGAAUGGUUUGGGUUUCUGUUUGGGUUUCCAAAACAGUCUUUUCAGGGACUGUCUUAGAGGCCUUUUUGGGUGUUGGUUGCAUUUCACCACCUAGAUGUUUUUCUAAGUUGUGAAUGGUUGAGGAUUCUUGGUGUUGGGGGGUUUCUGAAGUAGUUGCUUCUGAAGCUACUUCAGAGGCUUUUUGUGGAGUUUGGUUAUUUGGAGAGUUUGUUUGGUUAGGUUCUUGGUUAGGUUCAGGAUGUUGUAUACUGACAGGUUCUGGAAUAUCUGGAUAAAGAGGAUGAGAGGUAGGCAAAUUGAAUUUCUCACAUAGUUUAAUCCUAUUUUUGGAAAAUUCUAUUUGAGUUCUCUCAUAGUCAAAUGUUCCAUAUUCUGUCAGUUUGGUAGGUUUGGUUUUUAGNNNNNNNNNNNNNNNNNNNNNNNNNNNNNNNNNNNNNNNNNNNNNNNNNNNNNNNNNNNNNNNNNNNNNNNNNNNNNNNNNNNNNNNNNNNNNNNNNNNNUACUGAAUACGAANUCUANGCUCUGGUACCAACGUUAUUACUAAUUAAUGAUGUUGUUAUGUUGUAUAUGAAUUAGGAUUAAUGAUGUUGUUAUGUUGUAUAUGAAUUAUGAUUAAGAUGUUGUUAUGUUGUAUAUGAACUAUGAUUAUGAUGUGAUGAUCUAUGUUGUUAUGAUUUGGUUAAUAUGUGUUAUAUGAUGAUGUUUAUAAUGUGAUGAAUAUGAAGUAAAUGAUAAUUAGAAGUUGGUUGAACUAUUAAGAAUUAUUACAUAAAGAAUUAUUAUUACUAAUCGAUGAAAUUAAUUAUGUUGUUAAAUAUAAUUAUUGAAUUAUAUGCUUGAUAUUAUUGUUUUGUGAAAUCUCACCCCUUCUACUUGGAAAUGUUGCUCUUCGUAUCAGUAACUUGCAGGUGAUCGAGUUUAAGUUGCUGUUAGAUUGCUGUUGUGAGUGGAUUAGCUCUCAUGUGUGUCUUUAGGUGCUCUGAUACGUAACGGGAUGAGAAUUUUAUUGUUGUCUUUCUAUUCCUUAUGUAUUGUUUUAAGAAGAAUUAUGACUAUGGUUUUAGAUUGGAUUAUAUGAGAAAUUUAUGAAGAGACCUUCGUGCCAAAGACUGUUUAGUUAUUGAAUAAAUUCCGCUGCGAAGUGUUAAAGAUUUUGUUAUUGAAUUUUAAAGGAUAAAUAGUUAUUUAUUCAGUUUAUGAUUUUAAGAAAAAGAAUGUGACAUUCCAUUUAUGUGAAUACUCUGAUUAUAUUUAUGCGAAAUUUUUAUGUUGGGAAAACGGAGUGUUACAUAAUGUAUAUUUAUACAUAUUAUGUUGAGGGCUUGAUGCCCUGUAAGUUAAGGGCUUGAUGCCCUGUGAGCCUAUUUACACUCAAUACGUUAGGUGUAACGCACACCUUUGUUUAAUCGUUUAUUUAAUCGAGUUUAGGCAAUUAUAUUAUAAUUAUAUAGUAUAUGCAUGAUUUUGAUAUGUUUUGAUGAUUUGUGGUGAUUUUAGUGAUUUGAUUGAUGACGUGAUAAGUUAUGAGUUUUGGAAGAUUUGAUAAGGAUAUGAGAUUUAUUUUAUUGUUAAAUAGAAUAAAGAUUUGAAAAUAAUAUAAAAUAUUUAGUUGAGGGCUGUUUUGAUAUUUUAGAUAGUUUUGGGGGAGAAAGUGAGAUAAGAUAAGUAAUUAAUAGGAGAUAUAAAAGAUUAGACCUAGUUUAGAAAAACAUAACGUACGUACGACCGUUUUUGGAGAAAAGGGAGAAAAAGCCAAGUCUAGAGAAACCAAGGGGCAGUGCUGCGAUUUUCUUCAAACAAGGUAAGGGUGAGACUAAUAAUUCAAUAACGUUGAUUGCUGUAAUUCUGAUGAUUAAUUGACAAAGUUAGGAUUGGUUUAGAAAAGUUUUGGAAUUAGGUCAAAACCCUAAAAAUUGAUGAUCAAACGGUAAAACUUGUUUAGAUUGAUGUAGAAACCGUCCUUUAACCUUAGAACAUGUUUAGGAUGGAUUAUGGAAUCAAAAUUAGGCUUUGAACCAUGUUGUUUGAUGGAUUUUCGAGUAAACCCUUAGUCUGCCCGAGCUUCUGUUCAUCGCUCGCCUUGGCGAGGGAUGAUCCUCGCCUCGCGAGUGAUGAACUUCAUCGCCACGCGAGCAAUUCCCUUCGCCUCGCGAGUUGUGUGACGCAGCUCGCCACUGCGAGCAACCUUACUCACCAUCGCGAGCUAAGGCAGAGUGUAUGUUAGAUUUUGUGUUUCGACCUGUUUAGUUGGACCUUGUAUGCCUUUGAGUGCCUGAACAUACCUAGUAUUGAUUAGGAAUGAAUGUAGGAUCAGAGGGAACCCAGAACAAGAUUAGUUUGGGAGUUGAGUGGUACUCGCCAUGGCGAGUAAGAACUCUCGCCUCGCGAGCACAAUCAGAAUGUAGUUGCUUGAGUGUUUGUGCGAUCUGUGUCGCACGUGUUGACCAAGAGUGAACCCCUAAUUGGUAUUGAGACCUAAUGAUGACGUUUAAUGCAGUCUGUAGACUUGUUUAAGUUAUGUUGAUAUUAAUUGAACAUGAACUAAUGUAUUGUAUAUUCAUGCAAGAUAUGAAGGUUUGAUAAUGAUGCAAUUUGUGUGCUAUUGAUAUAAUGAUAUCAUCUUGUUAUGUGACUUGUUUAUGCUGCUUCCGUUAUUUAACUAAGUGCAUAAGUAUAUGAUGAAGUUUAGCUCCAAAUUAUUGGAUGCAUGUUGAUAUGCUGAUUACGAUGUUUUGUUCAUAAGUGUCCAUGCAUAGCAUCUCAUUGAGCUUAGUCCUCACCACGAUUAUUAGGAGUUUUGUCCUCCGCACAUUUUAUAGGAGCUUUGUCCUCCGCACGAUUAAAGUAUAUUAAUACUUAUGAUGACGAUUGGUACCACAUGCAUAUAAGGAGUCUAAGAGCAUUGUCACAUUGUCAUGAUUAAGAUGCCUUGUUGAUGAUGAUUGAAUACGUGAUUACGUGAUAAAUGUUUAUCAAUUAUGUUAUGUUGUUCAUGAUAAUUGGAUAUAUGAUUACGGUAUAACUGUUUAGUAAAUAUGCAAUGUUGUUAAAGAAAUGAUUAUGAUGUUAAUUUAUGAUUCGCAAUUACAUUGAUUAAUGUUAUUUUGUUAUGAAAUCUCACCCCUUCUGCUUGAAAAUGUUGCCCUUCGUAUGGGUAACUUGCAGGUGAUCGUGCUUAGUGUGCAGUUGCCGUCGUGAGUGGCCUUGUCUUCACUGUGUCGUCUAGGUCGCUCUGAUACGUAACGGGAUGGGGUUUAAUGUUAUACAUGCUUCAUUCUUUUACGUGAUUAAUAUGUUAUUUUUAUCAUGUUAUGGAUUACGAACUAUUUUAAUGGGGCCUACGUGCCAAACUGAUUUAUGAUUUUCGAAUUAGUAUUCCGCUGCUAUGUUAAGAAUAUUUUGUGAAGGUUAAAUUAUUAUUUAACUGUUUUUGGAUUACGUUUCUAUGUGAUAUCCCGUUUAUGGUUUUUACUCUGAUAAUUGUUUAAGAAAUUUGUAUAUUGGGAAAACGGGGUGUUACAUUGGGGGCUUGAUGCCCUGGUUGGUACCACAUGCAUGAUUAAGAAGUUGAAGUUGCAUUUGUCGAGUUCAAGUUCUUGAAACCGCGUUGUCGUUUUCGUUAAUUAAGUUGUAAUUUAUCAAUGAGUUGUUAAUGAAGAACUAUGCGAAGUAUUAAUAUUUAUUAAUCGUUGUUGUUUAUGUUGUUAUAUGAUGAUGUUUAUGAUGCGAAAUAUUAAUUAUUAUGUUAUUGAAUUUUGAAGGAUAAUUACUUAAUUAUUCCGUUUAUGAUUUUAAGAAAAGAAGUGUGACAUACCGUUUAUGUGGAUUAUUCUAAUUAUUUUUAUGAAAUUUUUAUGUUGGGAAAACGGGGUGUUACAAUUGGUAUCAGAGCAGGUCGGUCCGUCCGGCCAAGUAGUUGAGUCAUUUGUGUCGUGUGACAGUUGAAUACUGUCGUUGUGUUUUCUAAUUAAUGGUUAUGUUUUUAUUUUUAUUUUUUAUGUGAUCAUGUCUGACUAACUAACUUUAAUGUGAUUUUUGUGUAUUGAUGAAGUUUCCAUUUUGUUAUAUAGUUUAAGAUAUUUAAGUGAUCAUUGAAUUCAUUUUUCUCUUGUGUUUGAAUUUCGAGUACGAAAUUCUUUUAAGGGGGUAGAGUUGUAACGCCCUCUUUACUUAUUUAAUUAUUUUAUAGAGUUUAUAGUCCACUUUGAUAAUUUAUGUGAUUUUAUAUGAUUAUGUGAUGUAUUGAUAUUUUAUUUAAAGACUUGUUUUAUUAUUUACUAGAAUAAGAUUUGAAAAUAAAAUAAAUAUUGAGAUGUGGGGCUGUUUUGGAAUUUAGAAGAGUUUAGUGGAAAUAGAGGAAAUAAGAUAAAGUGGAUUGAGGAGAGAUAUAAGGAGGAAACUAGGUUUAGAAUUUUUUUUUACGUGAAACUGCUUUUUGGAGAAAAAGGGAGAAAACAAGAAAAGAAGAGAACCCAGAGGGAGAGAGACCGCCGAUCAUCAAUACUAAGGUAAGAGUGUGACUAACUUUCUCUAAUUCUAGGUUGUAUAAUUCUGAAAUUGAGUUUAACAUGUUGUAGGUUGUAGUUAUGGCAAUUUGGGAAUUAGGUUUUGAAGUUGUAAUUGGUUGUUAAUAGAGUAGAAAAUCCGUUGAAUUUAUGUUUAGAUCAUGGUGGUUAUUUUUAGUGCAAUGUUUUAUAUGGUUUUGAGUGCCUUAGCAUGUAUAGAAAUGGUUAGACAAGUUUUUGGAUCAAAUUUGGGCAUAGGGAAGUUAAAUUUGGGAAUUUCGGGUGAAAAGUGGAUUUUUCCCGAGUUGCUCUCUGACAGCAUGUCCUGUUCCAUGUUCUUGUGUCUUUUUCACACAUUUCUGUUUUGAAUUGGCCUUUGGUGUAAACAUGAAAGUUGUAGAUAAUUGAGUUAGUUUUCCAGUGGCUUUGGUUUGACAUGAAAAUGAUUUUUGGUUCUUGAGAUAUGAUGAAAAUACUCCAAGGAGGUCUUAGUGAAAUCUUAUGAAAUUGAAUAUGAGGCUGGGUAGGUGGCUUGAAUUGCUGAAGGACUAUGAAUUGAGUAGGAAGACUUUUCAUAUGUCCGCUAUGAUGGUAAAGGAGUUCGAGUUGCUUGAAUAGUUCAAAGAUUUGAGCCUAGUUUGCGAGAUGUCAUCUAAGAGUUUGAAGCUAGGAAUGCUGAAGAUUGAUAAUGAAUUUCUGAAAAGUAUUAAAGAAGCACAUAAAGUUGAUGUUAAGUUUGUAGACUUGUUGGUUGCUAGUAAUCAGACUGAAGACAGUGAUUUUAAAAUCGAUGAUCAAGGUGUGUUGAGGUUUCAAAAUAGAAUAUGUAUUCCAGACGAUGAUGAGAUGAAGAAGAUGAUUCUCGAAGAGAGUCAUAGAAGUAGCUUGAGUAUUCACCCGGGAGCUGCGAAGAUGUAACAUGAUCUAAAGAAGUUAUUUUGGUGGUCUGGGUUGAAACGCAAUGUGGCACAAUUUGUGUAUUCUUGUUUGAUUUGUCAGAAGUCGAAGGUUGAGCAUCAGAAACCUGCUGGUAUGAUGGUGUCUUUAGAUGUGCCAGAGUAGAAAUGGGAUAGCAUAUCCAUGGAUUUUGUGACAAGCUUGCCAAAUACUCCUUAAGGGAAUGACGUGAUUUGGGUGAUUGUUGAUAGAUUGACGAAGUCGGCUCAUUUUCUUCCGAUUAAUAUAAGUUUUCCUGUUUCUCAGUUGACAGAGAUUUAUAUUCGAGAUAUUGUGAAGUUGCAUGGUGUUCUUUCGAGUAUUGUAUCAGAUAGAGAUCCAAGAUUUACUUCUAGAUUUUGGAAAAGUUUGCAAGAGGCUUUGAGUUCUAAGUUGAGGUUGAGUUCGGCGUAUCAUCCGCAGACAGAUGGUCUGUCAGAGAGGACGAUUCAGUCGCUAGAGGACUUGUUGAGGGUUUGUGUGCUUGAGCAAGGAGGAACUUGGGAUAGUCAUCUUCCAUUGAUAGUGUUCAUGUACAAUAAUAGUUAUCAUUCUAGUAUUGGAAUGGCACCUUAUGAGGCUUUGUAUGGUCGGAGAUGCAGAACUCCGUUGUGUUGGUUUGAGUCAGGUGAAAGGGUGGUUUUAGGACCCGAGAAUGUUCAACAAACUACUGAGAAAGUUAAAAUGAUUCAAGAAAAGAUGAAAGCGUCGCAGAGUUGACAAAAGAGUUACCAUGAUAAGCGUAGAAAAGACCUUGAGUUUCAAGAAGGGGAUCACGUAUUUUUGAGAGUCACUCCUGUGACUGGUGUUGGACGUGCAUUGAAGUAAAGGAAGUUGACUCCGAGAUUUAUUGGUCCAUAUCAGAUAUCAGAAAGAGUUGGAACGGUGGCGUACCGAGUGGGUUUACCACCGCAUCUUUCGAAUUUGCACGAUGUGUUUGAUGUGUCGCAACUUCGGAAGUAUGUUCUGGAUCCAUCCCAUGUGAUCCAAAGUGAUGAUGUGCAAGUUAGAGAUAACCUUACGGUUGAGACUUUACCGGUGAAGAUUGAUGAUCGAAAAGUGAAGACGUUGAAAGGCAAGGAGAUACCUCUUGUGAGAGUCGUUUGGGAAGGAGCGACUGGUGAAAGCUUAACGUGGGAGCUAGAGAGUAAGAUGCUGGAAUCUUAUCCAGAGUUGUUUGCAUGAGGUAAAUUUUCGAGGAUGAAAAUCUUAUAAGUAUGGGAGAGUUGUAACGCCCUCUUUGAAUUAUUUAAUUAUUUAAUUGAGUCUAGAAGUUAUUAAGAUGAGUUUAUAUUAUAUUUAUAUGAUAUAUGUGUGAUGAAAAAGAUUUAUAUGAUUGAGGCGUUGUGACUUAUUUUAUUGUUUAAUAAAAUAAGAUUUGAAAAUAAAAUAAUUAUUGAGUUUAGGGGUUGUUUUGAGAUUUUAGAGAGUUUUGGGGGAGAAAGAGAAAUAAAAUAAGAUAAAUGGAGGAGAUAUAAAUAGGAGAGACCUAGUUUAGAAAAAAAAAAAUUACGUACGAUCAGUUUUUGGAGAAAAGAGAGAAAAAAGCCAAGAGGAGAGCAAGAGAUCUAGAGUGCUGCAAUUUUUUAUUCUAAGGUAAGGGUGAGACUAGCAUUCAAUUCUAUUAUCCUAUAUAAUUCAUAUGGUUGUAUUUAGCAAAUGUAGGAUUGAAUUAUAGAAGUUUGAAAACUAGGGUUAAUGAGAGAAAUUGAGGAUUAAUUGAUGUAGAAUGGUUAGAUUGAUGUAGGAACUAUUUACAAACUUUAGAUAAGUCAUAAGAUGAUUGCAGGAAUCAAUGUUAGGCUUAAAACCAUGUGAAAUAGUGAAUUUUCGUGAAAACUGCAAUUCUUCCCGAGCUAUGAUCCUCGCCAUAGUGAGUGAUGAACUUCAUCGCUCGCCACGCAAACAAGUUUUCCCCGCCCCGCGAGUUGCACCUUGCAGCUCGCCAUAUAGUGAGCAUAUUCAAUGGCCUAGCGAGUGUGACCAGAGAGGCAUCAUGAUUUCAUAAUUUUGACCUUUAAGUUGAACCUUAGAUGCUUUUGAGUGGCUGAACAUGUAUAAUGAUGAUUAGGAAAGAUUUUAGAAUGAGGUUGAACCUGGAAAGAUUUUAGAAUGAAGUUUUGUGAGUUGCACCUGAACUCGCCAUGGCGAGUAGAGGCUCUCGCCUCGCGAACUGCCCAAUUACAGAAUGCUUUGUUAGGUUAAAUGUGAUCCUUGUCGCACGAGUUGAUGUGAGUUGAUCUUAGAGGUUAGAAACUAAAUUGUUUAUCUUGAUGUUGCUGUUUCAGUAAGCCUGAAUUGUAUAAUCCAAUGUUGUUGUUUCGAUAUUGUUAUAUCAUGAUGAUUUGCAUACUGCCUAUGUUGCUGUUUGUUAUUUAACUAAGCUGCAUGAGUCGGUCUAAGUUGAUUAAGAUGAUGAUGUUGCCUUUGCUCACCACAUUGGGGGCUUGAUGCCCUGGAGCUUUAGCUCAAUUAUGUUGGGGGCUUGAUGCUCUGGAAGUAUAUUAAUACUUAUUACGUUGAGGGCUUGAUGCCCUGGAUUGAUACCACAUGCAUAUAAGAGGUCUAAGUUGCAUAGUCGCAUUCGUCGAGUCAAAGAUGUUAAGUUGCCAAGUUGUUGAAGUUGUGAUUCUUUAUAUAAGUUAUUAAUGAAGUGAUAUAUGAUAUAUUAUUAUCCAUGAUGAAUAUUAUGAUGUUUUCAUGUUGUUAAAUAUAAUUGUUGAAUUAUAUGUUUAAUAUUAUUGUUUUGUGAUAUCUCACCCCUUCUGCUUGGAAAUGUUGCUCUUCGCAUGAGUAACUUGCAGGUGAUCGAGAGUAGUUGUUGUUGCCUUGCUGUCGUGAGUGGUUAUCCCUCACUGAGUCUUUUAGGUGCUUUGAUACGUAACGGGAUGAGAUCUUUUGUGGCUAUUUCUUAUUCCUUUACGUAUUUGUUUUAUGAGUUUAAAUGAUUAAGUUGUUUAACUGAUUUAGGAGAUGUUUUGAUGAGGCCUGCGUGCCAAGACUUAUUUUUGUUGAUGAAUUUAAUCCGCUGUAAUGUUUUGGAAUUGAUUUAUGUUGAAGGAUAAUUAGUUAAUUAUCUCAUUUAUGAUUUUAUGAAGUGUAGCAUUUCGUUUAUGUGUUGAAUACUCUGAUAUAUGUUUGAAAUUUUUAAGUUGGGAAAACGGGGUGUUACACGGGGAGUGGUCGAUCGCCGGUGCACAAGGCACGACAAUGAACGACUCCCAACAGCUUAUAGAGGAACUGAAUCACACCGGAACGAGAGGGUUCCUGAGGUCGUGCAGGUAUGGAACUGCAUGGUUGAAGGAAAGCUUAUAAGAAUUGUUUGGUACUACCUAUAUCAACAAGAUGAAUCUUCUUUUCGGUAGCUCAUUCCAUAAGAACUCCGUACGAGUGAGGACAAAACACGCUGAAAAGACUCGUGUUGAUUUGUGGGGUCAGUCGACAAUCUUAGAUGCAAUCUGGAAUGUUACAUCAAGUUUCAGCUACCAAAGUCUACACUUUUACUACUAAUGUCAAGUCUGAAACUUCCUUCUUAUCUUCCAUGUGGACCAAUGUGGGACACUUCCUUUGAAUUAGUAACGUGUACCGGUCAAUGAAGGAUGGAUAGGUGGAUGAAGACUAGUAAUACUUAUGUAAACCAAUGCGUGCCUUUAAAAUCAAUGUCAAUGACUUAAAAAUCAAACUGACAUUUUCAAAUGGGUCCCUAAAAAUUAAUCAAGAACUGUGAUAUUUUGUUUAGACCUCAAAAGUUAAAAGUCGUUCUGAUAUUUAUUAUGUGUCCAAACAAAUACUUAAUCUCAUCUAUUGAACUGACAUUUUCAGCUCUUAUUAUGUGUCUAUACAUUAACUUGAUAUUUAUAUUUGAAAUUUGAUUCACCUCUUGUAAAUUCUUCAUAAAGUUUGAAAGAUAAAUAAUUAGUGUUGACAUCCAAUUUAAAAAGAGAAAUGAUAUUUGUACAACUAUUUUGUGACAACUUUUGUAUAACUUUCCUUCUCAUACUCACAUGAUGGUCUUAUCCUCUCUCUUCCUUUUUUUCUCUCUCUCUCUAUUAUUUUUGACCAAUAAAAAGAGAGAAAAACAAGGUUGUCAUUAAAGUUGUCAUGAAAUGGAUGUACAAAUAUCAUUUGCUGAUUUAAAAAUGAAUAAACUAAACAAGAAGCUAUCAUCUCUCUUUGAGAAACUUCAUUUCAACAUUUUAACCAUUAGAAGAGUGAGGAAAAUACAACAUGUUAGUAAGCUAGGUGUGUGAAAAUGAUUUCAUUUAUAAUUUCAGAAACUCAGUUCAAACGACAAGCAGGAAAAAAUACUUCAACUUACAAAAUGAUUGAUGUAAAAUCAUUAUUUUUCAUUUCUAAAUUUUAUCUGAUUCUAAUGUGUUGGUUGAUUUAAAAUAUCAUUUUAGUUGUAUUAAAAUAUUUACAUGGAAAUGUUUAAUUUGUAGGUGAUUGAUAAUUUCUAGUUGAAAAAAUAUAUUUUAUUUAAGCUACAGAAACGAGCAAGAAAGUAGAGGGGAAUGAAUACCCUGUAUGGUUCCUUAUAAAAUGAACCCAUGAGAAUAUUGGUCCAUGAUGGACCAAUUUUUUCAAUAGUUAGAUUAGAUGAACCCCAAAAUUUUAUCAUGAUCUAUAAACACUCAAUCUAACCCAUCUUCCCUUAUCAUUUUAUAAAAAAAUCAUUUUUACCCUUUAUAAUUAUUUUAAUUUAAAAUAUUACAUAUUGUUAUGGUAAUUUUUUUUUCUUGACAAAUUUGUUACAGUAAAUUUUUUUGUUGCUGUUUACACUUUUUUUCAUGAAUUUGUUACGGUAAAUGUUGGACAGCUGCAUAUUAUUAUUUGAUUUUAUUUUUACGAAAACUUACAAGUUUUUUUUAAGGAGAAUUUUUUUUUUUUUUUUUUUACAAAUAGGUGAAAGGGUACAUGCUAUUUUUUUUAAUAAGAAAAGGUACGUGUUAUUUUUAUUUUUUUGAAAGAAAAAAAUACAUGUUAAUGUUACCUGAAAAGUUUAAUUUAGUUACCGUUAUCAAUUAUUUAUUUUUGCAUUGUUUUUUUAGAAUAGUCAUAUUAUCCUUUCCAAAAGACUAAUAAUAGCAGUAACUGUUCAUUGCUAUCUUUUAUAAAACAAACUUUCUCGUUGCUAUGUUUAAGUAAAUGAAAAUAAAUUUUUGUGAGUAAAUAUUAAUUUAAUAUUAUAAUAUAAAAGAUAUGUUAAAUUAUUAAAUUCUAAAUAUUGAUCGAAAAUGAUGGGUUUUUAUUGAAAACAAUUGAAGAUUGAAUGUUGAAAUUACAGAAAGAAAAAGAAGGCAGAAAAAUAUUUUAAAAAGAGUAAAGAAAAUAAUCAGACAUGUAAAGUGCAUUAUGUUAUUGUGCAUACAUAUAAUCCAAUGGUUAUAAAUAUUGGUCCAUUAUGAACCAAUACUUACAUAGGUCCAAGCUAAAGGGAGCAGAUUCCCUCCUGUGAAAACUUUCUCCAGUUUUCUACUGUUUAAAUCUAAACCAUUAAAUACAUUAUCUCUCUUCAUUUUGACAUUUAAUUCCUAUUUAAUUCUUCACAUGUAUUUAUCAUUUAAUGGCUAGGAUUCCACAGGACUCUCCAGUCACAGGAGAAGAUCCAAUCCCCAAGCUAAAUGCCACUUUUUGAGACUUUGCCAAAGCUCGACAUGGUGUAACCACACGGUUAGAAGAAUUCAUUUUACUAUUUUAGUAACAUAAAUAAAGCUCUUCACAAAUAAGAACUGCUUCUUCCAAAAUGUGAUUACGUCGAAAAACAUUUAAACAAAGUAAGACUGCAUUCGUUCCAUACAAAUUUCAUCAUAUUAUUAUUCCUCAUGGAACUUCCCAACAGGAAAUCUAAAGUGAAACCAGUAGGAAUUUUUUGGGCUUUUGUCAAAACGUUAUGGAUGCAUUGAACUUGUCAAACAUAGAAACUGAUAAAACUUCCAAGCUAAGAGGUAUUUAAUACAAAAAAACAAGCAAUGUCAAGAAAUACAUUUUGCUCCUCUAAGUAUCUUUUGUAUCUCUUUAUUGGGAAUCCUGUCAUACCCAUCUAAUGUGUUCUUCCAUACUUCUAUGUUCUUUCCAAACAAGUUAGAACCCACUAUUUCUAAAACUAAGGGAAUGCCCGAACCAUAUGAAACUGCACGGUUUAAAACAUCUUCAUAACUUGGCGGUACUUUGUUAUUCUUAAAAGCCGUCCACCUCAACAAUUCAAGAGCUUCCUUCCCAUAUAGCCCUCUUACUGCAUAUGUUCUUUCUAUCCCAUGACAGGUUAGUAAGUGUUUAUCUCGGGUGGUGAUGAUGACUCUGCUUCCAGGACCGAACCAAUCAAGUCCUCCAGCCAAAGCCUCUAGCUGAUCCAGUUGGUCAACAUCAUCGAGAAUCAAAAGAAUCUUCUUCCUACAUAGCCUUUCCUUAAUGAUUGGAAUUCCCUCAGAAACAUCUCUUAACUUAAUGUUCAGUUGAACUGUUUUUGAAAGGAGCUCCUUCUGGAGAUGUUUCAAGUUUUUACGAGCUGAAUUCUCUCUAACAUUAUGAAGAAAGCAUACUCCUUCAAAUUGAUCAGCAAUGAAAUUAUAAAUUGCUUUUGCAAGUGUUGAUUUUCCCAAGCCUCUAGUACCAUAAAGUCCUACCAUGUUGACCCCUUCAUCAGAUUCCUCAUCAAGAAGCAAUUUUACUUGUUGUACUCGGGACUGUAAUCCAACAGGGUAUUUGGCAACGUGUAGAAAAACACGAUUGAUCCUAUCGGAAAUGUGUUCGACUAUAUUCUCAAUAAGCUCGUACUCAUAUCUAUUCAUGUCCAAUAGAUAAGUUAGUAAAAUCACAUCCAUGUAUUGACAAUAUAUUAUACAAUUCUAACUGUUUUGAAACAUAUACUUGUUUAAAAACAUAAAUAAAAAACAUGCUUCCUUUUUAAGCUUUAAGAUGAGAUUAAUGGGGAAAAGAAAUUAAAGAAAAGAAAAUAUAAAAAGGAAAAAUAAUAUUAAGUAAAGUGGGGUACCCUUGACUAAAAUGGUGGCCGGAGAAGUUAGCAGCUUGGGUAAGAGCCAUCUUCCAUUUCUUCAACCUCUCCAUGUUUUCCUUGUUAUUUUGGAACUUAUCUUCAUGCUUAGUAAGAUGCUCACCAUAACUCCCAGUCUGAUGUCGUACGUGAGUAGGAUCCGCACCAUAGAAAACAGGCAAAACCGAACAACCCCUUGUCUUGUAGCAGUGAAUGAUGUGGACAAGUUCGUCCAAGCAAAAUGAAGAAGAUGCAUAGUUUGCAGAAAAUAUGGGAAUCAAAAUCCUAGACUCUUCAAUGGCCUUGACAAGUGAUGGUGUGCUUUCAUCUCCUCUUUCAAGAUCGUUGUCAUCAAUGAAGGUUUUGAUUCCCUUGUCAAUAAGAGCCUUGUAGAGAUUGCCGGUAAAACCGUAAAGAGUGUCAAUGUCCCUAAAACUGAGGAACACAUGGUAUUUGAACCCAGAGGAAAUUGAAGAGGAAGAGGAAAGUGAUUGCAUAGCCAUGAGAAUUGAGAGAAAUAAGAUGAAAAAAAAGUUUGAGAAUAUGAAUGAGUAAGUUUUUGUGGUCUGUGAUGUGGAGUCUUUAAUAUGGAUCUAUAUAACAAGGAGAAAACUUGUGACAAAAAUGAUUUGUGAAACUUCUUGGCCACUUCCUAUAGCCGUGUGGACCAAUCACUAUAUGGACCUACCACCUCUUCUUGCUAAUUUCCUCAAUAUGAUUACUGUUCAAUUUUUGGACACAACUUAAAUAAAUAAACAAGUGAAAAGCCAAAUAAUAUUUCACUAUUAUUUUUUUCUUUGUUUCUGCCUAAUGCUACAAUAUACGGUUUUCAAUUUUUUUAUUUGGACACAUGAUUUCCAAUAUUGUAUUUUGACAUUGUAUACCAUUGAGAGUGAUGUUGGUUGGAGUGAGCACGACCACCCGAGAAGAGAAAAAAACUAUUUAAGACUAUGAAACCAAUAAGUAUAGCGUGUGUCUAGAUCUACGUUAAAAAAAAUUCUACAAGACAUUUUACAAGUUUUAUUUUUCAACCGAUUUUAUUCUUGUGUGUGAUUUUAUUCUUGUGUGUGAUUUUCAGUUUGUAAGUUAAUUAAUCAGUCCUAAAUAACAUGAAAUAAAAAUAAAUGCAGCCUAUGCUAUUCUAACAUCUAAUAAGACAGUUACAAAAUUAAAUCUGUUACUUAAUUACUCCUUUUUCAUUUUUGUUAUGUUAACUAUUACAAAUAGAUAUAUACAUAUAUAUGGUUGAAAGUAAGUAACAGAAGAAAUUUGAUGAAGACUAGUUCUACCUAAUAAUUUUGCUUAUUACAGAGUCAAAUUUUUUCUUUAAAAAUGGAUUUACAUGUCAUUGGUGAUCAACUAUGUCUUCAAAAUAUGACCUGUUUAACUAAAUGAUUAAUUAACCAUGCACACACAAUUAUUAGUGUAGGUUGUUAUGUUGAAUGCUUAAUUAGCCAUACAACUGUAACAUAGAAAAUUUAUAUAUAUUUCAUUCCAAAUAUGACAAGGCUUUGGAAAAAUGACUUUAAAUUUAAAUUUUCAAUUGAAGAUGAGAUGGAGAAGCUAAUUUUAUGUAAAAGAUUCUUCUAACUGAAUUAACAAUCACAUUUCAAAGUCAGAAAUAUGCUACCCUUCCCAAAGGAAUAUAUAUAUAUAUAUAUAUAUAUAUUACAUAUAUUCAAAAGUUUUGAUAGUAUUUCCGUCUUAAACUAACUAGUUAGUUAAAAACAAGAUUAGGGUAACAUAGAUAUGAAAUAUUCUUUCCUUCAUUUAUUUUCUCAAGUUUUGGCUACCAAGUCAACACUUUUACUACCGCAUGUUGAGUCUGAAACUUUCUUCUCAUCUUCCAUGUGGACAAAUGUGGGACACUUCCUUUGAAUUUCUACAUCUGUACGUGUGGACCAUUCAGCAAUAGCACCACUCAAAGACCAACCUUCAAAGUCAUUAUCCUUAACCUGUUUCCAUCAAUGAAGGAUAUGGAUAGGUGGAAGAAUAGUAAUACUUGUGUAAACUAAUGCGUGCCUUAAAAAUUAAACUAUGAAUUGCGAGCUGUGAUAUUUUGUUUAGACCUCAAAAGUCAAAAGUCUUUCUGAUAGUUAUUGUGUGUGUCAAGACAAAUACAAUCUCAUCUAUUGAACUGACAUUUUCUGCUCUUAUUCUAAGUCUAUACAAGAACUUGAUAUUUAUAUUUGAAAUUUGAUUCACCUCUUGUAAAUUCCUCCUCAUAAAAUUUUAAAGAUAAAUAAUUAGUGUUGGCACCCAAUUUAAAAAUGAAUAAAACUAAAGAAUACAACAAAUAUAAAAGUAUAAACUAUUAACGGAGGGGGGACACGGUUCUUUACUCCCAAAGAUUGUUUCAACAUCAUUUAAUAUAAUCAGAGAAUCAAUUAUCCUUUAACAACAAAAGCUAGCAACAACAACUUCAUGAUAUUUUUUUAUUAUUUCCAUUAUCCAAGGAAACAAAAGUUUACAAACGCGUCGACAUUCAAAUACAUUAUUCAAGGAUAUGGCCUCCAUAGCAAUUAUGAGCAUGGUUGUAAAUUUAAUCAAAUAAAAACACAAAUUGCAAUUAUAUUUUAUACUGCAUAGGUCAUGACUCUGGCAAAACGAUCUCAUGAAUGUUGGCUCUCAGAUUCAGUUCUUUAUCCCAUAUUACUAUAGAAAUAUAGAAAGAAAUUGUAUAAUGUUGAUAAUUACAAAUUUUGAAUAGUAGAAGUAAUGCUAGUUAUAGCAAAACCCACUAACUAUUGGUACAAGAUAUACUAACACACAGUUUUUAUUUAUAUGACCAAGCCUUUGCAUAUUUCUUCAUAUUAUCCGAUGUGGGACAUUAUUCUAAUUAUUAUUAUUGAAAUCCUCCCGCAAUUGUAUGGUUUGAGAGAGAGAUGCAACUUGGACAGUAAGUACUCGAACCUAGGAUGAAGCAGGGGUUUGGUUAGAAUAUCAGCAAGUUGAUCAUCGAUAGAAACAAAGGAUACUCGAAACUUGCCAUUUCGAACAUUUUCUCGGAAAAAAUGAUAGGCUAAGGCUAUAUGUUUCAUCCGAGAGUGAAAUACAGAAUUAGCACUAAGGUGGGUACGUAGCACCGAGGUUGUCACAAUAGAUGACUGGAUUGGAUGGUGGAGUGUGGCCUGAAGGUGAAAAACACAAGAAGGGGGGGGGGUUGAAUUGUGUUUUCUUUUUCUCUUAAAAAAGGAUUCUUCUUCUGAUAAAACUUCAGAAGCAGUUUGAUUGCUUCUGAUGAAAUGAUCAGAGUCAGAUUGCAGCGGAAAAGAACAGAGCAGAGAAAAGAAAGACAAAGACACAGGCAGUUAUCCUGGUUCCUUCCACAACACGGAAGUAGUCCAGUCCCCCUUGCACUUCCAAGGAGAUUUCACUAUAAUCACAAGAUUACAACUGCUCAAUACUUUCAAAGUAUGAGACUUCACAAAACAAUGCUCAAGCACACACGCAAGAGUCUUCCAAUGCUCAAGCACUAAGCAAGAGACUUCUAAUGCUCAAGCACGCAGGCAAGAGACUUCUAAUCAAACAAAAAUACAGAGAAUUGAGUUUGAAUUGAACACUUGAUAUACAAUCAGUGGUGUUCACAAUACAAUACAGAAAAGACUCUAGACUUUGAAUUUCUAAGAUGUAUCAAAUCAGUGCAGAAAUUCAGUGUGCUUUGUAGAAUCAAAUUGACAGAGUUUUGGCGCUUUUGAACUUAUGUAUCUCUAUCUAAAAUCUUCAAGUCUUCAUUCCUUUAUAUAGAGGCGUGAAAGAGACGUUGAGAUAAUCAGCACGUCUAAAGAGUCGUUUGAAAUCCUUUGAUUAUCCACCAGUGAUCCUUUGCCUGAUUUGGGUGUAGUCCUUUGAAGGAUAAACUUCAAAUUCAUUCCCAUCUUGAGUGUACAAAUUCUGCAGGCAUGGCUGUUGUUUUGUCUUGUAGCGUAGACAGAAAACAGAGUAGUGGAGGUAGUGGUUGUACACUUGUACUUUGUCAACUCUAUUAAUGAGAGACAAGUGCUCAGUGCUAUCCAUAUAUCCGUUGAUACCUCCCUUUCAAUUCUUCAUUCUUCUUUGAUAAGACUGAAUUGAGAAUCAGCAACUUUGAAUCUUCAGUUUGACUAAAGGAUCAAAUGUAGCUUCUGGUGAAAAUAUUGCUUCUGAUGAAAACUUUUGCUUCUGAUGACUUUCUGCUUCUGAUGACGUCAUCUCUUCAGGAGCAGUUUAGCUUCAGGAGCAGUUUUCUUCAGAUGCUCAGAAUUUCUUUUUCUUUCCAUUGUUCUUCCAAGACCUAUUGAAAUAACUUGAGUAGCCUUUGGUCCUGUACACUUGAACAAUUAUUAGUAAUAACCAAUUGACAAUUUUUAAUACCUUGUUAUCAUCAAAACUUAAUAAGGUUCAUUGUGAAACACAUUUUGUUCCAACAAUCUCCCCCUUUUUGAUGAUGACAAACAAUAGUAUUUAAAAUGUUCAAUUGUUGUUGAUCUAAUUAAUAAGUUGACUACUGGGACAGAGGUUUGUAAGCUCCCCCUGAGUCUAAUAGUUCUUUAAGGUGAGGUUUGUAAGCUCCCCCUAAGUUCUAUUCUUAUUAAUUAAAUUUCAAUAAAAUACUCAUAAAAAUCAAAUCAGAGGUAUUUAAAAGAAGUUUAGAAGUUGUUAUAGUAGGGCUCAGUGCCUUAAAAAUACUCAUAAAAAUCAAAUCAGAGGUAUUUAAAAGAAGUUUAGAAGUUGUUAUAGUAGGGCUCAGUGCCUUAAAAAUACUAUACAUUUACUCCCCCUUUUGUCAUCAACAAAAAGAAUAGAAACAAAAGAAAGAGUAUCAGAGCAAGCAGCAUUAAACAGUAAAUAUCAUCAGAGUCAAAGCUUGUAAAACAUAUUGAAGGUGAAAAAGCACAAGAUCCAGAAACAAUGAUAAUAUAUAUAAAGAAGAUUAAGAUACAAGGACACAGCUACGAAGAACAAAAGUAAAAAACAAGCUAGAGUUGGGUGUGCAACUAAGGUUGGGCUUGCUUAUACAACUGUUCUAAGAGAUACUUGAUCUGAUCAUCCUUCUUCUGAAGUAGCUCAUCCUUUUCCCUCAUUCUUCUUUUAUAUCCAGCCUGAAUUCUAGCAGCCCUAGUGAUGUACUCUUCUUCUGGAUAGAAAGGAGUGAUGUCCAGCAGAGGCUCAAAAUUCAGCUCUUUCUCCUUAGCUGCUUCAUGCAUAUCAUCCAAAAGCUUCUUCAGCAUAGCAGAGUGAGAUGACACACAUUUAGUUCUAAGCUGAUCCAGCAGCUCAUCAAAGCUCUUCUGUAGAUCCAUCCACUGAUCAUAAUAGUGAAUAGGAGGUGCAGGAACUGUUCUGCGAAGAAUCAGUGCCUGAAUCUCAUCACUAAGUCUGAUCAGUUGUUCCUCUAUAUACUCAGACUCCAGGAUAUGGUCAGGGAUGGGUGAAGGUUCAGUUUGAGUUGUAUUUGAUAUGGAAGGUUGGUCAGAGGUUAAGUCUAUUAUAGUGGGUGAAUCUGGUUGUUGUUGUUGUUCUGUUGUUUGGUCAGAAGGUAUAUGUUGGUCAGAAGUUGUUUGGUCAGGAGCAACUUGUUCAGAGGCAGUUUGCUCCUGAACAGUUUGCUCAGGGAUGGUUUGGGUUACUGUUUGGGUUUCCAAGACAGUCUUUUCAGGAACUGUCUUAGAGGCCUUAGUGGGUGUUGGUUGCAUUUCACCACCUAGAUGUUUUUCUAAGUUGUGAAGGGUUGAGUAUUCUUGGUGUUGGGGGGUUUCUGAAGUAGUUGCAUCUGAAGCUACUUCAGAGGCUUUUUGUGUGGUUGAGUUAUGUGGUGAGUUUGUUGUAGGUUCUGGGUUGGGUUGAGGUUGUUGUACACUAACAGGUUCAGGAUUAUCUGGAUAGAGUGGAUGAGUAGGAGGCAAAUUGAAUUUCUCACAAAGUUUAAUUCUAUUCUUAGAAAAUUCUAUUUGAGUUUGCUCCCAGUCAAGUGUUCCUAAAUCUGUUAGUUUGGUAGGUUUGGUUUUUAGAAGCUUGUCUAUGUGUUGGCUAAGGGGUUGGUCAUCUGAUUCUGUUGAUGAUGAAGAGGGUGAAGAGGGUAGAGAUGGAAUCUGAGUAUUAGUUGGAGCGUUAGAUGGAUUACCUGAAGACUGAGCUUCUGGAUGAACUGCUUCUGGAGCUUCUGAAGCUGGUUCUGAUGAAGUUGCUCCUGAAGCUUGCUUAUUCUUCAAGGCUUGAGAAAGCAGAGUUGCUCCAUACUUAACAGUUUCUAACUCCGAUGCUAAAGCAGCAAUGUCAGGAGUAGGCACAUACCCUGCAGCCUUGAGACGUUCAUCCCUUUCUUGUUCAUACAAAAUCUUCAUCCUUUUCUUUUCUGCUAUCUUGGAUGCAGCAACCUCCCUAGUAUACUGCUCCAUUUCUUCAGUCAUUUCGAAACUGGGCAUGACUAUGGGCUCAGAAGUUGCAGUCCUUUUUGCUUUCUUAGGGCUUGAGUCUUCAUCCCAGUUCUCUUCCAGUUCUUCCAACAUUUGUGCCCUUCUUCCUUCACUUGUCUUCAGAUUUCUUGUUAAAUUAGACCUUUUCCUUUUGAUGGUCUGAAGAGCAGCUUCUCUUUUAUUUUUGGGACUUGGAGGCUUUUCAGAAGCAGCUUGAUCAGAAGCAGCUUGUUCUGAACCAGCUUGUUCAGAAGCAGGCUGUUCUGCUGUUUCUUGAGUACUCCUUGUCCUUUUUCUGAUAAGAGGGACAUCUUCCAAAUUCUCCACUUCCUCAAGAAUGGUGGACAUAGCAGAUUUUACCUUUUUAGCUUUCUUAUGCUUCUGAGCACCCACCUCAGUAGCAUUUUCAGCAAGGUAUUCUUCCUUGGUGAUCUGCUUCUUCUUAGAUUUUCUGCUUUUGGCCACAGGCAGCUCACCACCAUACAUUUGGUCAGGAACAUCCUUCAAGCUGAUUUUCUGGUUAAAGGAUUUGUAGUGAUCCAUGAUAUAUGCCCUUUGAACCUCCAAGGGAUCUUGUUUACAGAUGGGAGGAAAGUCUGGGAUAAGAUCUGAUUUGGCAUCAGAAGGUUUCAAGUCAGUAGGACUCUUCUUCACAUCUUUUGCUUUAAUCAGAUGCAUAGCCCUUAGAGUCUCACCAUUGAUAAUCUUCCCUCUAACAGUUCCCAACUGUUCAUCUGUGAAGAUCUGAGCUUCUUUCAGCAUCUCAAUAAUUCCUCCCUGAUGGAAAAUCUCAGAGAGUAGUCUUCCAUAGGGUACCCAAGACCUUUUAUUCAGUUGACUCUCUCUGAGUUGAUGAACCAUAUGUCUGAAUAUGUAUCUGGGAAUAUUUGCCUCUACACCCUUUAUGACAAAGUGUAAGAGGAUUUUAUGUUCCAGAGAGGGCUGAUCACCACCACCACCUUUUGGUAGUAGGUUUUCGUUCUGAAUCUUCAACAUAACCUUUGUCUUGGUGUUCAUGUCAGAAUAGGCAAAGUCCUUUACCUUGUUGUAGAGAGUUUUGUUAACAAUAGCAUUCCAGGGGCUGUCCUUUGGCUUUGAAAUCCCAGCCUCAUGUUCUCCUUCUGCUGGUCUUCUGAUGACAAAGGCAAUAGUGUCCUCAGUGAUCCAGACACGGAUUCCCAUGAUGCUUGAUCUUAUCUGGGUUUUGGAGAAAGUUUCCAAGCCCAUUUCCGCUCUAGACUUCCCUUUGAGUUCAGGAUUGAGAAGAACUUUUUCAUCUUCUUCAAUCUUGGCGGCUUCCCUGUCGUAGAUGCUGGCUCUAACCCAGAAAUGACGAACCAGUGUUUGAUAAGUUGGUCCAUUUAGAAGAUUGAAGUACCUUCCCAGACCUUGUUUCUCGUAGUACUUGCCAAUGUCACAGUCGUGAGCGGCCAAAGAAUCAAAAUCCACCGGACUUUCUGAUUGAAUGUUUAAUUCCCAUUCCUCCAAGGACAUAGUUCUUCCUUUGAUUUCAUAAGCAGGAGUAUCUAUAUCCAUAUUCGAUGAAGAACCACCGGCAGAACUUGAAGAUGCCAUUGAUAUGAAGUGGUUUUAGGGUUCUAAAGAGUUUUUGAGAGGAUGAGAGAAUGUGCUUACUUACACAGAGGGUUGAGAAGAAAUUAGAAAGUGUUUGUUGUGAAGUGAGAAGUGUGUGAAAUGACUUAGUGUUUUUUAUUAAAACGUUUGUAAUUCAGAAGGGACAAACAAACACAGCAUUAAUGACAAAUUGGGGGCGCGUGUAAGUAUGUUAAAAAGCGAAUAAAAACAUCAUUGCCCUUUUUGUUAUACUCCAAUACAAAUAGACCACGUCAGAGACUCUUCAGAAAACUACCUUUUGGGUAAUGGGACAGCUGUUACAUAAAGUAACUGCCAGCGUUCCCACUAACCAAGCUAUUCAGAAGCAAAGAAUAACACUUCUGAAGUUUUAGUGCUGACGUCAUCUUCAGAAGCACAUUUUCCUCAGAACCUCAGUUUAAGAGCUUCUGAUGAACCAAAAAUGCUCCUGAAUAAACUUCAGAACCAAACUUCUUAUUCAGAGGCAAGCCAUUUUUCAAUCAGACACAAAAUGCAUGUUCAAAUUUUUCUUAAUAAAAUCAAAUCUUUCAACAGACAAAGGUUUUGCAAAUAUAUCAGCCCAUUGAUGUUCAGUAUCAAUGAAUUGUAUAUCUAAAAUUCCUUUUUGAACAUAGUCUCUGAUAAAAUGGUGUUUGAUUUCAAUAUGCUUGGCUCUUGAAUGUAGAAUUGGAUUCUUUGACAAACAAAUAGCAGCAGUAUUAUCACAAUAAAUGGGAAUACUGUUAGCAUUGAUCUGAUAGUCUUCCAACUGAUGUUUCAUCCAAAGUAGUUGUGUGCAACAACUUGCAGCUGAAAUGUACUCUGCUUCUGCUGUAGACAUAGCAAUAGUUGCUUGUCUUUUGCUUGCCCAGGAUAUCAGAUUCUCUCCCAGGAAUUGACAAUUUCCACUGGUUGAUUUUCUUUCAAUCCUAUCACCAGCAUAAUCAGCAUCACAGAAUCCAAUCAACUUAUAAUCUAGGGAUUUCCUAUACAGGAGUCCAAGAUUAGUUGUUCCUUUCAGAUACCUGAAGAUUCUCUUAACUGCAGUUAAAUGAGAUUCUCUAGGAUCUGAUUGAAAUCUUGCACACAAGCAUACACUGAAUAAAAUAUCAGGUCUAGAUGCAGUGAGGUAUAACAGAGAACCAAUCAUACCUCUGUAUAGCUUCUGGUCUACUACUGUUCCAGUAUCUUCUUUGCUUAAGGUGCAGGUUGGAUGCAUUGGAGUGUUCAUCACUUUACAAUCUUCUAGCUUGAACUUCUUCAGAAGCUCCUUUGUAUAUUUUGUUUGAUGAACAUAUACUCCUUCUUUACUUUGGUUGAUUUGAAUUCCCAGAAAGAAUUUCAAUUCUCCCAUCAUACUCAUUUCAAAUUCAUCCUGCAUUAACUUAGAAAAUUCUUUGCAAAGAGAUGCAUUAGUAGAACCAAAUAUUAUAUCAUCAACAUAUAUUUGCACAAUCAAAAUAUCUUUCUUAAGAGUCCUUCUGAAGAGUGUUGUGUCAACUUGUCCUCUUUCAAAAUCAUUUUUAAUUAAGAAAUUACUUAGUCUAUCAUACCAAGCUCUGGGAGCUUGUUUCAAGCCAUAUAGUGAUUUCUUAAGUUUAUAAACAUGGUCAGGAUGCUUAAGAUCCUCAAACCCAGGAGGUUGUUUAACAUACACUUCUUCUUCAAUGACACCAUUAAGAAAAGCACUUUUGACAUCCAUUUGAUAUAAUAUUAUGCCAUGAUUAAUUGCGUAGGAUAGAAGUAACCUGAUUGCUUCCAAUCUUGCAACUGGAGCAAAUGUUUCAGUGUAAUCAAUGCCUUCUUGUUGACUGUAGCCUUGAGCAACAAGUCUGGCUUUGUUUCUGGUUACUUCUCCUUGUUCAUUCAGCUUGUUUCUGAAUACCCAUUUUGUUCCAAUAAUGUUCUUCUGAGAAGGUUUGGGUACCAGAUCCCACACAUCAUUCCUUUGGAAUUGAUUUAGCUCUUCUUGCAUAGCUAAUAUCCAUCCGUCAUCUGAGAGAGCUUCUUCAACAGUUUUAGGCUCAAUUAUUGAAAGCAGUCCUAUUAGAGACUCUUCUUGUCUAAAAUGUGAUCUUGUUCUUCUAGGACUAUCUUUGCUUCCAAUGAUUAACUCCUCAGGAUGUGAAGAUUUGUGCUUGAAUUUAGGUUGAAUAACCUGCUGAGUGUUAUCUUGAAAGUCCUCAGAAGCACUUUCAUUCUGUACUUUUGGGCUAGGUUCUGCUUCUGAAUUAGACUCAGCUUCUGGAGUGAUUUCAGCUUCUGGACAAGAUUCAACUUCUGUAUACUUUUCAGAAUCAGAAGGUUGAUCAGAUUCUGAUGCAUCUUCAGAAUCAGUUGUACCUGCAUUACUUUCACUUUGCUCUGAAGUUUUACUUCCAGGCUCUCUAUCAUCAAAUUUUACAUGCAUAGAUUCUUCAACACAUUGUGUUUCUGAAUUAUACACUCUGUAUGCCUUUGACCUUUCAGAGUAACCUAAAAAGAUUCCUCUUUGAGCCUUGGCAUCAAAUUUCUUCAGAUAGUCUUUAGUGUUUAAGAUGUAACAAGUACAUCCAAACUGAUGAAAGUAAGAGAUAUUGGGUCUUCUUCCUUUAAAGAGUUCAUAUGUUGUUUUCUCCAACAUAGGUCUGAUAUAGAUCCUAUUUUGAAUAUAACAUGAAGUAUUGACUGCUUCUGCCCAAAAAUGUUUAGCUAAGUUGUUUUCAUGGAUCAUGGUUCUGGCCAUUUCUUGUAAGGUUCUGUUCUUUCUUUCUACAACCCCAUUUUGUUGUGGAGUUCUAGGAGAAGAAAACUCAUGGAGAAUCCCAUGUUUUUCACAAAAAAGUUCAAAUGGCUCAUUUUCAAAUUCUCCACCAUGAUCACUUCUGACUUUCAAAAUUUUCAAUUCUUUUUCAGAUUGUAUUUGAGUGCAGAAGCUGCUAAACACUUCACAUGCAUAGUCUUUACUUUUAAUGAAUUUUACCCAAGUCCAUCUGCUGUAAUCAUCAACAAUGACUAAUCCGUAUUUACUUCCAUAUAAAGAUGCAGUGUUAACUGGACCAAAAAGAUCAAUAUGGAGUAAUUCUAAGGGUCUGGAGGUUGAUAUAAUGUCCUUAGAUUUGAAAGAACUUUUCACAAUUUUCCCUUUCUGACAUGCACCACAAAGUGCAUCUGAAUGAUAAUCAAUGUUAGGCAAUCCUUUGACCAGUUGUAACUUGCUAAUUUUAGAAAUUAAUCUCCAAUUAGCAUGUCCCAACCUUUUAUGCCAUACCCAUUUUUUAUCAUUCAUUGACAGAAGGCAAACUACCUUCUGAUCAGCCAGAUCAGAGAAAUUUAUUUUAUAAACAUUCUCAACUCUCUUUCCCUUGAAUGUAAUGGAUUUGUCAUCCUUGUUGACUAGUGUGCAGUUGGUCUUACUGAACGUUACAUCAUACCCAUUGUCACAAAAUUGACUAAUGCUCAAUAGGUUAUGCUUCAGACCAUCUACUAGCCACACAUUAUUAAUUGAGAUGGAGGAAUUACCAAUAGUACCUGUACCAAUGAUCUUUCCAGUUUGGUUGCCACCAAACUUCACUUCUCCUCCAUCUUUCAUUGUAAGGGUAAGGAACAAAGCUUUCUCUCCAGUCAUGUGCCUUGAACAUCCGCUGUCUAGGUACCAUGACCUUUGUUUCUCUCUUGCCCUUAAGCACACCUGCAUUUUUGGCCAAUUCAGAUUUAGGUACCCAUAUCUUCAUGGGUCCUUUUGGGUUAGUUUUGGAGGUUUUACUUUUCCUCCCUUGCACCUUAGGGUGAAUGCUGAGUGGCUUCUGAUCAUUCAAUACUUUGGGUUUGACACCUUUUGGUAUUGUUUUCUCAGAAGCAGUAGCUGCUUUGUUCUUCUGAUCCUUUUGUUUUGGAAUUUUAGAUUCUGGUUUAAUCAGAUUCUGAUGAACAGGUUCUGAUCUUUUCAGAAUUUUAAUCUUUUGACUCUUAGGAUCAGAUUUUGUCAUUACCUUGAUCUUAAGAUUCUCUGGCUUUGAUGUGAUCUUAGCCUGUGAACCUGAAGCUUCAGGUUUUGACUGAACAGCAGUUAUAGCAUUUGUACCUUCAGGCACAAAGGUGGAUUUCAAUCCAUCCUUGAUACAAUCACAGUAGCUCUUGAGACUGUAUUCUUUGGAUUUCUCCUCAGAAUAUCCAAUCCCUUUGCCUUUGUUCUUGUAUGUGCUGUAGAUCAUAGAAGCAACUUUGCUUCUGUCUAUUCCAGCCAUAAUAAAAUCAUCCAAGGCAAUCUCAUGUUUAUUGCCUGAACCUUUAUCACAUUUUUCUUGUAGCUUCUGACAAAGACUCUUGAGUCUAUCUUCAUAUGUUGUUGAUAUGAGGUUAAACCCUUUGAGUUCUUCUUCAGAAGCUUUCAGUUCCAAUAGAGUUGAUUUUUGUUGUUUCAUCAAAUCAACAUAUUUUUCUUUUAAAUCUGUCAACUCAUUGGUUCUGUGUUCAAACAGUGAUAAAAGUUCUUUUAGAGAAUCAACAAGUUCUUGUCUAGGGAUUUUGGAAUAUACCUCAUUUUCAUCUUCUGAAUCUGAUUCAGCUUCUGAUACUGCUUCUGAUGAUACUGUUGCCACUAAUCCAACGGCUGCCUUAGCAUCAUCAUCAGCUUCUUCUUUAUCAGAACCAGAUUCACUAUCCAAAUCUUCCCAGGUCGCCAUCAAGCUCUUUUUGAUUUGCUUUCUGAAUUUACUGGAGUUGAAGCUUGAUUUCUUGGAUUUGCCUUUAAACUUCUCCUUCUGAAGAUCAGGGCAAUCAGCAAUGAAAUGACCAGGCUUCUUACAAUUGAAGCAUCCCUUCUGAUCUUCUUUCUUGAAGUUCUUGUAGCUACCUCUCUUGCUCAAAAAUUUCUUCUGCUUCCUUGCCAGAUACUCAAGCUUGUUGGACAGCAUAGCCAUCUUUACAGAUUGAUCUUCAUCAGAAUCUCCAUCAGGUGAUUCUUCUUCAGAUUCACUGGCUUUGUAGGCUUUGGAAGACUUUGAGGUCUUUCCUUUAGAUGGUAAAGCAAUGGAUUUACUCUUCUUAGAGGUUUCAUGCUCAUUUAAACUCAUUUCAUGCACUUUGAGUGAGCUAACAAGAUCUUCAACACUUAAAGUAUUUAGAUCCUUAGCUUCCUCAAUAGCAGUUACUUUGGGUCUCCAUCUUGAAGGUAAGCUUCUCAAAAUCUUACUAACAUGAUCAGAAGCAACAUAGCUUUUCUUCAGUAUCUGCAAUCCAGAAACUAAAGUUUGAAAUCUUGAGUACAUUUCUUCUAUACUCUCAUCAUCCUUCAUUCUGAAAAGUUCAUACUGAUGAACUAGCAUCAAAGCUUUAGCCUCUUUCACCUUCUUGCUGCCUUCAAAGUUGGCACAUAGUGACGCAAACAUAGCCUUCGCAGUAGAUUUGUCACUCAUCUUCAUGUAUUCAGUGCGAGGUAUAGAAGCCACAAUAAUCCCUCUGAUUUUGUGGUGCUUCUUGUAAAGCUUCUUCUGAGCAGGAGUAUGUAUUUUUCUAUCUAUAGCAGCUCCUUCUUCAUCUAAAUCCAGGUCAUCAACUCCAUCUUCCAGUAUGUCCCAUAACUCUUCAUCUAAUCCCAUGAUAAAGCUGUACAUAUUAGUUUUCCACCAAGAAAACUCUUCUGGAUCUCCAUUAAACCUUGGAGCUUUUCCAGAGUCUGUUUUCUUGUCAGCAGUAUCAUAGUCAUGCUUGACGCUUGUGUAUUUUGGAGUAACUGAUUCCUCAUCUCCAGACAUGUUUUUCUAAUAGAUCUUGAACUGUAACACGGUUAAGUGCUGUGAUAACAGAGCAGGCUCUGAUACCAAUUGAAGGUGAAAAACACAAGAAGGGGGGGGUUGAAUUGUGUUUUCUUUUUCUCUUAAAAAAGGAUUCUUCUUCUGAUAAAACUUCAGAAGCAGUUUGAUUGCUUCUGAUGAAAUGAUCAGAGUCAGAUUGCAGCGGAAAAGAACAGAGCAGAGAAAAGAAAGACAAAGACACAGGCAGUUAUCCUGGUUCCUUCCACAACACGGAAGUAGUCCAGUCCCCCUUGCACUUCCAAGGAGAUUUCACUAUAAUCACAAGAUUACAACUGCUCAAUACUUUCAAAGUAUGAGACUUCACAAAACAAUGCUCAAGCACACACGCAAGAGUCUUCCAAUGCUCAAGCACUAAGCAAGAGACUUCUAAUGCUCAAGCACGCAGGCAAGAGACUUCUAAUCAAACAAAAAUACAGAGAAUUGAGUUUGAAUUGAACACUUGAUAUACAAUCAGUGGUGUUCACAAUACAAUACAGAAAAGACUCUAGACUUUGAAUUUCUAAGAUGUAUCAAAUCAGUGCAGAAAUUCAGUGUGCUUUGUAGAAUCAAAUUGACAGAGUUUUGGCGCUUUUGAACUUAUGUAUCUCUAUCUAAAAUCUUCAAGUCUUCAUUCCUUUAUAUAGAGGCGUGAAAGAGACGUUGAGAUAAUCAGCACGUCUAAAGAGUCGUUUGAAAUCCUUUGAUUAUCCACCAGUGAUCCUUUGCCUGAUUUGGGUGUAGUCCUUUGAAGGAUAAACUUCAAAUUCAUUCCCAUCUUGAGUGUACAAAUUCUGCAGGCAUGGCUGUUGUUUUGUCUUGUAGCGUAGACAGAAAACAGAGUAGUGGAGGUAGUGGUUGUACACUUGUACUUUGUCAACUCUAUUAAUGAGAGACAAGUGCUCAGUGCUAUCCAUAUAUCCGUUGAUACCUCCCUUUCAAUUCUUCAUUCUUCUUUGAUAAGACUGAAUUGAGAAUCAGCAACUUUGAAUCUUCAGUUUGACUAAAGGAUCAAAUGUAGCUUCUGGUGAAAAUAUUGCUUCUGAUGAAAACUUUUGCUUCUGAUGACUUUCUGCUUCUGAUGACGUCAUCUCUUCAGGAGCAGUUUAGCUUCAGGAGCAGUUUUCUUCAGAUGCUCAGAAUUUCUUUUUCUUUCCAUUGUUCUUCCAAGACCUAUUGAAAUAACUUGAGUAGCCUUUGGUCCUGUACACUUGAACAAUUAUUAGUAAUAACCAAUUGACAAUUUUUAAUACCUUGUUAUCAUCAAAACUUAAUAAGGUUCAUUGUGAAACACAUUUUGUUCCAACAUGGCCAAAUUUAGUGAAUAGGGAAAGGACCCAUAACAGCUCACUCGCCGUGUCAGCCAAGGCUUUAUAUUCUGCUUCUGUAGAAGAGCGAGCAACAGAACAUUGUUUUAGAGAGCUCCAAGAGAUGGGCGUGCUGCCAAGAUAUAAUAGAUAACCAGUGGUCGCCUGCCCAGUCCGCAUCUGAGUAGGCAUGGAGAUUUAAUGGGUCGGUCGUCGAAAUGAAGACACCUUUGUCACAGGAACCCGCCAAAGUAUAGGAGCACUCUUUUGAGUGCAGUCCAAUACACCGUUCUGGAGUUUUGCAUGAAUUGGGCGAGUUUGUUUGUGUUGAAGGCAAUGUCUAGGAGAGUAAGGCUCAAGUGUUGGAGGCUUCCAACGAGCGCUCGAUACUCGGUUGGGGACGUACGGUAGGAGAUCGCCGGAAUCCUUGAGUAACUUAUUUGUGGCAGACAAUGGAGCGAAUGUUUGUUUUGUAUCUGCCAUGCCUGACUUAUGCAGUAGAUCAGUGAUAUAUUUCCUUUGGGAAAGGAAUAUGCCCGUAGUAGAGGGAAUAACUUCGACCCCCAAGAAAUAAUUAAGACAUCCAAGGUCUUUCAAAGAAAAACGAGCAGCAGGUGUGGCGAUGAGUGUUGAGACCUCUGCAGGAGAACUCCCAGUGACAAUGAUAUCAUCAACAUAUACUAAUAAGUAUGGUGUGUAACGCCCUCUUUAAUUAUUUGAUUAUUUUAAAUGAGUUUAGAAUAUACUUAUAUGAUUUGUAUGAUUUAUUUUGAUGAGUGAUAUUUUGUUAUGUUAUAUGUUGGUAUUUAUUAGUAUAAUAUAUAUGUUAUUUGAUUUAGAAAUAUGUAUAUGUUAUUUGAUUUAGAAAUAUAUAUAUGUUAUUUAGAAAUAUAUAUGUUAUUUGAUUUAGAAAUAUAUAUAUGUGAUUUAGAAAUAUGUAUAUGUUAUUUGAUUUAGAAAUAUAUAUAUAUAUAUGUUAUUUAGAAAUAUAUAUGUUAUUUGAUUUAGAAAUAUAUAUGUUAAUUGAUUUAGAAAUAUACAUGAUUUGUCAUAGAAAUAUACAUGAUCUGUUAUAGAAAUAUAUAUGAUUUAUGGUAGAAAUAUAUGUCAUUUGCUAUGGAAAUAUAAAUGAUUUGUUAUAGAAAUAUAUAUAAUUUGUUGUAGAAAAUAUAUGUUAUUUAGUAUGGAAAUAUAUAUAUGUUAUAGAGAUACAUUUGUUAUUUAUUAUUGUUAUAGAAAUAUUUUAUAAUAUAUAUAUAUAUAUAUAUUAGAAUAGAAUAUUAAGAUUGGGAUAUAAGAGAAAAAUAAGUAGGUUAAGGAUUUAUAUAAAUAGGAGAGACCUAGUUUAGAAAAAACAUAACGUACGACUGUUUUUGGAGAAAAGGGAGAAAAAGUCAAGAGAAGAGGGAGAAGACCUAGAGGCUGCGAUUUUUAUUCUUUAAGGUAAGGGUGAGACUAACUUUGCAAUUCUAUUAAGUAUGUGAAUCAAUUGUUAGGUUUAACAUGAUGUAGGAUGAGUUUUGAGGAAUUGAAAAGUAGGUUAAAAUUGUAGAAUUAAUGAAUAAACGGUGGAAACUUGUUAAAAAGAUGUAGAAACUGUUCUUAGACCUUAGAUAAUGAUUAAGAUGAAUUCUGGAAUUGAGAUUAAGCUUAAAACCAUGAGAGUUGAUGAUUUUUAGGCAAAACUGCACUUCUGCUUGUAGCGACAUUCAUCGCUCGCCUCCCGAGCUAUGAUCCUCGCCACGGCGAGUGAUGAACUUCAUCGCUCGCCACGCGAGCAACCUUUCCUCGCCUCGCGAGUUGCACGUUGCAGCUCGCCAUAGCGAGCAGUUGAACUCGCCUCGCGAGCUUGACCAGAGAGCAUGCAAGAUUUCGUGAUUUUGACUUUUGAGUUGAACCUUAGAUGUCUUUGAGUACCUUUAGGUGUCUACUAGAUAUUAGAGGAUUAAUUAGAACAAGAUUGAACCUGGAACAACCUUAGUUGGGAAUCUGGCUUGUACUCGCCAUGGCGAGCGGAUGCUCUCGCCUCGCGAGCACUUCCAGAAUUGAGUGCAUUUGAGGAUUUUGAGACCUGAGUUGCUUGGAUUGAUUAGGAGAGGAACCUUAGGUACUAAUGAGACCUAUUUAAGAUGUUAACUGAGAACUGUGAAGCUAUUGUGAAAUGUUAAGUGAUUAUAAUGUGAUAUAAUGUUUUAUGCAUUACCUAAGAAUUAUUUGAAUACUCAAGAUGUUGUUGAAUUGAAAUUGAUAAUAUUAUGUCAUGCUGUUUGUAUGCUGCCUAUGUUGCUGUUGUUGGUUAUGUGAAAUAUUUAUAUGCCUUAUGUGGAAAAUGUAUGAUGUUUAAGUUGUUGAUGCUUCACAUUAAUAUUGUUAUGUUGUGAAUUGCUUGUGCUGUUUCUGUUGCUGUUAUGAACUGCUAAGUUGUUUGUAAUGUGAUUUAAUGAUUAAAUGCAUUACUCUAAAUAUUAAUGAAUGAUCAAGAUGUUGUUGAAAUGAAUUGUUAUUAAGCUUGAUUGAUUAUGCUGCAAUUGUUAUUUAACUAAGUUGCAUGAGUAUGAAUAUGUUGAUGAUGAACUCCAAAUUAUUGGAUGUAUAAGUGAUAAGUUGAUUAAGGUGUCUUGUUGAUAGAGUCCAUGCAUUAGCAUUCAUUGAGCUUUGUCCUCACCAUGAUUAGGAGCUUUGUCCUCCGCACGAUAGGAGUUUUGUCCUCCGCACGAUUAAAGUAUAUUAAUACUUAUGAUGACGAUUGGUACCACAUGCAUAUAAGUGUCUAAGUUGCAUUGUCGCAUCUGUCGAGUCGAAGUCGUUGUUGAUGAAUUAUCAUCUAUGAGUUGUUAAGUGUACUUGAUGAUGUUUAUGUUAAGUUGAUAGGUUGUCUUUUAUUCAUGAAUUGAUAAUGAGAUGUUUGAUGAAUAAGUAUUAUUAUGAAUUGAUGAUGUUACGUAUAAUUGCUAAGUUGUCUUCUAUUAUGAGUUGCUAAUGAGAUGCUUGGUGGAGAAAUGUUAUUACGAAUUAAUGAUGUCGUUAUGUUGUAUAUGAAUUAUGAUUAUGAUGUGAUGAUCUACGUUGGUUAGGAUUUAGUUAUUAUGUGUUAUAUGAUGAUGUUUAUAAUGUGAUGAAUAUGAAGUAAAUGAUAAUUAGAAGUUGGUUGAGUUAUUAAGAAUUAUUACAUGAAAGAUUAUUAUUAUUAUUAAUAGAGGAAGUUAUUUGUGUUGUUAAAUAUAAUUAUUGAAUUAUAUGCUUGAUAUUAUUGUUUUGUGAAAUCUCACCCCUUCUGCUUGAAAAUGUUGCUCUUCGUAUGAGUAACUUGCAGGUGAUCGAGUUUAAGUUGCUGUUAGAUUACUGUUGUGAGUGGAUUAGCUCUCAUGUGUGUCUUUAGAUGCUCUGAUACGUAACGGGAUGGAAAUUUUAUUGUUGUCUUUCUAUUCCUUACGUAUUGUUUUUAAGAAGAUUUAUGACUAUGUUUUUAGAUUGGAUUAUAUGAGAUAAUUAUGAAGAGGCCUUCGUGCCAAAGACUAUUUUAGAUGUUGAAAUAAAUUCCGCUGCGAAGUAUUAAAGAUUUUGUUAUUGAAUUUUAAAGGAUAAAUAGUUAUUUAUUCAGUUUAUGACUUUAAGAAAAGAAUGUGACAUUCCGUUUUUGUGAAUACUCUGAUUAAUUAAAUGAAAUUUUUACAUUGGGAAAACGGGGUGUUGCAUGGUGGAACACCUGGUUUGUGGUGGAUGAAUAAAGAGGCAUCAGCAGUGGAGUUGACGAAGCCAAGGGAUAAAAGGAAUACUCGAAGCUCCGUAUACCAGGCACGAGGUGCUUGCCUUAAGCCGUAAAGUGCAUUUUUGAGACGACAAAUAUGAUCAGUGAAGUUUUUCUCGACAAAUCCAGGUGGUUGUAACAUGAAUACUUCCUCCUUGAGUGUACCUUGGAGGAACGCAUUGUUAACAUCAAGCUGGCGAAGGGACCAUCCUUGACGAACUGCAAGUGUAAGGAGAAUUCGAAUAGUCGCCGGUUUAACAACUGGACUGAAUGUUUUUGUGUAGUCACAACCAAGGCGUUGAUGAAAUCCUAUGGCGACUAGUCGUGCCUUGUUACGAUCAGUGGAGCCAUCCGGAUUUCGUUUGAUACGAAAAACCAAUUUACAUCCAACCAAAUUCUGAGCAAAGGACCGGCUAACAAGAUCCCAUGUGUUAUUGUUCUGUAAGGCAUCAAAUUCAUCUUGCAUAAUCGAGCGCCAAUCAUGGUCACGAAGGGCUUGAGUGAUAUUGCUUGGUUCGAUGGGACAUAAGGGGCGAACAUGAAGGUUAAGCUUUUUGAUGGUUUUAACAAUGUUGUUUUGAGAACGGGUGAUGAUCCCACCGACGUUGGUAGUGUGGUUGUUGUGUGGGCGAGCAGUGGGUGGGGGCGGUGGUGGAGGUGUUGGCGAUGUAGUGAUGUUGGCCAGUUCAUUGGAUGUUGGAGAUGCGGGCGAGGAUAUUUGAAUGUUUUGGGCGACCUCAUUGGAGUUUGGUGAAGAGGGCGAAGAUGUUUGAGUGGAUUCGGCGAGCUCGCUGGAUGUUUUUGAGGACGGCGACUGUUGUUGAGUGGUGUGAGCGAGGUCAUUGGGCAUUGGUGAUGAGGGCGCAGACGGGUGAGUGAUAUGGGCGAGAUCAUCUGACAUUACACCACUGACAUUUGCCGAGGAAGGGUUUGCGAUUUCCAGGGCGUUGAUUUGAUUGUGUGGGGAGCUUGGCAGGGCGCCGUUUGUUGUUGGGUCUUACCUGAGCAUUCAAGGCAGUGAAUGGGGCAGGGGGUUGUUGCUGAACAGCGGCGAUUGAUAGUUCCUGGAUGAGAAGCUUCUCAAGAAGGUCGUCAAAGGUAAUUAAGUUAUCCCUUGCAUUCACUCCGUCAUUGACAGAGCUAUAGCCGUCGUCGUGGCCAAGUGUUUAGUUUAAGAAACCCAUCCAACCAUAGCCAUUUUGACCUACAUUUACAUAAAUAAAUAAAAUGUUAAUAUUAAUAAAAAACUUACAAUAGCAACAAAAACUGAACACAUUUCAUUAUGAAAAUAGGAUAGAACAACUCUUCCCAUUCAGCAAAAAAAAAAAUAAUAAUAAAUACAUUUGUUCCUUCCUUGUAGCUAUGAAGCUUUGGGGACAGAUAAUUUAAAACGCAAGUCCUCACCAAGGGCACGCAUGGAUAGCACGAAAGGAAAUACGUCGAGCUGCAGAAAGCCAGGCGGCCACGGACUAUGUGGUUUGAGCCACUGCGAGACACGUCCUAUGACAAUGCAAAAAGCCAGACAACAAUCGAUGGAUUUCUGGUAAUGAACUGUAAAAGAAGAAAUGAAUGCUUAGGUCAUAGUUAGAGAAAAGUUCCAAAAAUAACUGACUGGACAGUCUGAAAUUCUCAUGCACACCAUUAUGCAGAAAACCAGAAACCUAACUUGCUACAAUUGUGAAAAGGAAACGUGCAUUCAAAAUGAGAAGAAAAAAAAAGAGAGGUUAAUUUCAUCAGAUAAAAGGACUUUCAAUCUAUGUAGUCAUAGAAUUUCAUUUCUAUUUUUGAUGUACUAAACUACAAUUUUGUUAUGAAACACAUAUAAGAUGAAGUUUUGAUCUAAUUUUACCUGCCGGAAAAAGGUACACAUUUACAUUAAUGGUCUUCAUACUACUUCUUUUCAUAAUACCUAAGAAAUGACAAGUUAUUGCUAUUUGAAAAUAUAUUAUUUUCGGAUAAUGAUCAACUUCUUUUUAAAAAGAUGUUUCGAAAAUAUUAUGAUUAUAAGAACUUAUGCUUUCAAAGUAUAAGGAUCUUACUUGUAACAGCAUUCAUCUAUAUGAUCCACCGCAAUUUAUUAGACGUCAGUUGAAAAGCUUCCAUCACCUUUUAAGAGUUCUGGACUGAAGGGAUAUAGCUGGAGGACGCGAGAGAUGGAUUCCCAAACUUUCAUCAGACCUGAUUGCUUUUGAUGCCUCUGAAGCAUCCUUAUGUACUAGUUGAACAAAAAUUCAAGUUGAUAGCUAUGGCUUCUCCAUUCUGCAAGUCACAAGCAUUCAAAUAGAUGUGAUAAGUAACACAAUAUACAGUUAUGCUGCAACAGAGAAGAUCGAUAUUGAUUACUCGACAAAUUUUUGUACUCCCUCUAAACUUGUCAUCAUUCUUUUUGUCUGAUUUUCAAUCACAAUAUCUCCCCACUUCAAACAAUAUGCAUUAUUAACUUUCAUGAAAUUCAUUUUACUUGUUGUUUCGUUUUUGACAUGCAGGUUUGUGACUAACCCAAGAUAAUACGUUAUCGUAGUAGCUAUUUGAUUGGUUGACUUAAGGAUUUGAUAUAAACGUCUACCACUCUGCAAUGCACUUGCGUUUCAUUUUUAACAUACAGGUUUAGGACAAUCUUAGAAAAUACUUCAUUCUUCUCUAUGUAGGACCGAGACAAAUACGUUCAUCGGACACGACACUGCCAUGCCGACACUACAUGUAUUAGUGUCCGACACCGAAUACGCUUUUGAAGUCAAGUCUUACAAGCUGUUUGUGUCUGAGACCUUAGGGUAGCUCCUAAGGACAACAAACUAAUAAAAGUAAAGGAAUGGAAAGAGAAAUGAAUCCCAGAUUGUCUUGAUUAAGCUUUUAUAUCCAAACAUGUAAAUUUGAACCACAUACAAACAAAUCAUUUUCAGGAAUUCCUUUUCAAGUGAAGUUGAACUCAUAUUUUCUUCUAAAGAAUUUUCAAAUGGUCAUUCAGAUAUAUAACAAACCUUCCAAUCGGCCAUAAUAUAUAAAUCCAAACAUAAAAAGGUUUCAGAAUAUAUACUAACAACUUAAUUUAAAAUGAAUGACUAAUAUAUAUUUAUCCAAACUUAUAAGGUUUCAAUAUUUUGCCAUUAAAACAACAAACCAUAUUAAUGCUUCUGUUAGAGGAAAUUUUGUUGACAGUCUGUAGCUUAAAACUGAAACAAUUCAAACUAAUUAGCGUUUUGUACUUUGCCGCAUAGCUAGACCCUGAUUUCUUGUUUUUGCAGCCAAACACAUGUUCAACUUACAACUAGACAUUAAAUUAUUGGGAAUAAUAUGGUAUGAACUUUAAUAUAUAUAAUACAGACAUUAAUCAAAUUGUGGAUAACAACUAAAGCAAAUUUACUGGUUGAAAAUGCAGCAAGGACAAACAAUACAUUGUGACUGUGCCCAAACGAUACUCAUGUGAUCACGAAAAGAACAGUGUUCAUCCAUUUCCUACUCUUAUUUCCUAUAUGCAAUGCAAUGGUGUCCAUAGAGGAAAAAGAGUGCUAUGGAUGUCACUCAAAUCCAACGCCAGAGACAAGAAGCUGAAAACCCUAAAAUUUUCUCUAUCAGUUGGUAGCCACAGAGGAGAAAAAUCAGCACUCAUCACCGCUGGGAUAAAAUAUGAUGAUGCAGAAACCAGGGAUAUUGAAGCUGAAGGUCGGGUGUUGUGAUGUUUCUGCCAUUGUGUCAGUGAGCAGAAAGGUGAACAUUUGACCGGGAUUGAAAGUUUGAGGGAUCGUGUCAAGGAAUGUCCAUAGGGAAUCCUCACAAUCGAGCCGGUUAGGAAGCCUAUCUUGUAAGAGUCUCCAACCAUACACAACUUUUUUUAGCACUGAUGUGAGCCAUAAUCUAUGCACUGCCUUCAAUAAUUCAUCGUCGAAAUCAUUGAAAAACGCAAAUUUCACAGCUCUUGAUAACAUCCUUUCUCUGAGAAUCUGCUGUACUCUCCGGCAACAAUUUAACAAAAUCUGAUACAGGUUCCUGCAGCUAUAAAUUUUCCACCAUUCUUUGCUCAUUCCCAUUCAGACUUCGCCACCAGCACCAGCGCCAAACCUGUAUAUUUUCCGCCUACAUCCGCUUUUGCGACAUGGUAUUGCAUCUGUCUGCAGCCAAUAUGUACAGUUCAGGAAAUAGAAACUGAUUGGUUGGUUACACUUCCACAAUUCAUUGCAAAGUAAUGUGGUUUUCACCAUUUCCUAUCGCACUUCUAAGAAGAGUUGCAAACCAGUUUGGUUCAAUGUCAAUAUCCCUUCCAAUUCUAUUGAGGGAUGCUUUAAUUACUUUUAUGGUAAAAUACACUCGUCAAAUAUGUGCUAAGGUUUUUGAAGUUGAUCAUAUGAAUAUUCAAUUAUAUCUUCUAAUAAUUUCUGUGAUUAUAUAUUGUAAUUACUUAGAAUAUGGAAAGUAUGGGUAGCAUGUGUAAAGCUGGCUGUUAUGGGUUUUUUUGGCUCAUGAAUUUGUUGGUGGUAUCUCAUUCUGUGUUGGUUUAGAGUUCUCUUCCUUUAGUUUUUGGUCCAAUGGGGGGUGAACUCUAGUGAUUUCACUAAUUAGUUUUUUAUCAGCUCCGGUUACUGGUUUUUGGCCUUGUGGGAGGUUCUUAGUUUUUUCUCAUUUUAAUGGGUUUUGGCUUACUCUCCCAUUCUGGAUGGUACAAUAAUUAUAUUUUAAAAGCUAUUAUGAUAUAAUAUAUACAAUACCUUUUUUAUGAGAAUAUUCAAAGUCUAGUUGUAAUUAAAAAUCAAACACUUUUAUUUAAGAAAUGUUAGUUCACAUCAUUGAAUAGAGAUUUGAGAUGAACCAUCUGUCAGAAUCAUACAUACAUUUGUUGUUGCUGCGACACAAGUUCUGUUGCAGAAAAAUGAUUUGGCAGAAAACUGCUUUUACACAAGAAUACCUUAUUAAUUACAAGAGCCAUACAGUGUUGUUUCUGCUACUCAAGUUCUGUCUCAAAAAACUUCUGAGUUCUGAUCUUCAUCUGCUUUAAUCUUUCUAUACGGAUUCAAGUUUGUGUACUAAGAUUGAAAUUCUCAAAACCAACGGAUUCUAUGCUGCGAGCAAUCUCUAGACAUGUCGCAUGACAAUGCAAAUAGCCAGAUGACUACAGAUGGUUUCCUGACAAUGUACAGACAAAGAACAAGUAAAUGCUUAGUUUUCGUUAGAGAAAAGUUGCCUGAGUUUCAAACAUAAUUUCUUUAUGUUUAUUUCAACAAGAGAGAAUCCACUCUUGAAAUUGUCAUACAAACCAUUAUGCAGAAAACAAAAAAUUCUGACAUGUUACGGUCAAAAUGAGAAAAUAAAAUGAAAUUCAGUUUAAAAUAUUAAUAAAUCAUAUGAAGGAAAUAUGAAUUCUUGAGAUACAUUAAGGAGUAGCAGAUCGAAGUAAAUUAAUUUUUCCUAUUGUAAGUACAAAACCAAAACUUAGAAUUAUAAAAAAGGCUUCUUUAUACCAUGAAGUACAUACAUUUAAAUAUUUCCUGAACAGAUUUUUUUAAUUUUUUUUUUUUUUGCAAUUUUUAAUCCCUUAAACUAUCUAUUUAACUGUGAUAUAAGAUGAAGUUUGUAUCUAAAUUGACCUGUUGGACAAAAGAUACACAUUUUUAUAACGGUCUUCAUACACCCUAAGAAAUGACAAGUCAUGCAUAUUUAUAAAGAUUAUAAUUAAAAGUAUUUAUGGUUUCAAAGUAUAAGGAUCUUACUUGUAACAACAUUCACAGAGGAUCCGCCGCAAUUUAUUGGAUGUGGUGCAAUUUAUUAGAUGUUUUUGUGGAUAUGUCCAACUUCCACCACAGCUUUUAAAAGUUCUGGACUGAAGGGAUAUAGGUGGAGGCCCUGAGAGAUGGAUUCCCGACCCCGAUCCGAAACAUUCAUCAGACCUGAUUGUUUCAGAUGCCUCUGAUAGCUCUGGAUUCAACUUUCCACUGGUCACAUGCAUUCAAAUAGAUUUGAUAAGUAACAUAAUAUACAGUUAUGCUCAACAGAUAAGAUCCAUAUUGAUUAUUUCGACAAAACUAAGCAUUUAGCUCACUGUAAACCUCGUGUGUGCUUAUAAGCUAGUGGAAUUUUUAUGAAUUAUGUAUCAUGUUUGAAUUGCAAUCACGUUAAAUUUCAUUCAUAAAAGUUAAAAAUCCAAAUAGCCUGAAAGCAUAUAACAUUAGUUAGGACUUCUUCAAGUUUAUGAAACGUAUAUGUUUACUAGCUAAUAGUAAAGCCACUUUCUUAAUCAACUAAAUGUAGAGCAAUAUUAAAAAACAUGUGUCGACACUGGUAGAAAUUGAAGAAAAUAACAUAUUUGAAUGUAGUCAGUGGUGUCGAUGUCGAACUUACAGACAUGUGUCGGACAUGUACACGUCUUCGUGAGAAGUGUAUGUGCUACAAAGCAUCCUCCACAGUAAGUUGAAGCAAUAUUUUAGAGUGAACAAACAUUAAUCAAGGAAUGUUGAGAUUGAGAGAAUAACAACAAAGCGGUUAACUUUAUGAUGAACCUAGACCAAGGAAUGUACCCAACAUCUUUGUAUUCUCUUCUUUCAUCAAUUCCUUUUGUUGCACCCACAUCUUUCUCUGAAAAUCCAUAAGGAUUGAAAAUUUGUUUUGUUUCCUUUUCUUUUCUGAUAAUGAUGCAUUGAGAUAGUCAGCUAAUUUUUUUCAUAACGGUCUUCAUACACCCUAAGAAAUAACAAGUCAUGCAUAUUAUGAUCAAAAGCAUAUUUAUAAAUAUAUUACUAUGAGAUGGCAAUCAAUUUCUUUUUCAAAUUAUCUUUUAUAAAUAUUAUGAUCAAAAGCAUUUAUGAUCAAAAUCUUCGAAGUAUAAGGGUCUUGCUUGUAACAACGUUAAUUCAUGAUCCGUCCCAAUUUAUAAGACCUUGUGUGAAAGUUUCCAGCUCCACUACACCUAUUAAAAGUUCUGGACCAAAGGGAUUCCAAACCUCAAAGUUCAUACCUCUGAAGCAUCCUUAUGUAAUGGCCAUGCAAAUAUUCAAGUUGAUAGCUGUGGAUUCUUAUUUCUGCAGGUCGCCUGCAUUCAAAUUUCAAACAGAUGUGAUAAGUAACACAAUAUAGAGUUAUGCUGCAACAUAUAAGAUCGAUAUUGAUUACUCGACAAGAUGAAUUUACAUAGCAUGCCAAAACUAAGCAUUUUGUGCACUGUCUGACUCCAGAAACGUCUUUAAUGAUUUGAAAAACUUGUGCAGGAAGAAACAAUUAUUUGGUUCAUGAUAAAGUUAAAUAUAUACCUUGACCAUGGAAUCUAUCUAUCAACGGUGUUCCUUUUCUUUUGUUUCAGUAAGCACGAAGUUUGGCAUGCCUGACACUAAAGCGUCGAAUUGUGAUUGCAAAGCAUUGCGACAUUCAUCUAAUUUUAUCUUUCCAUAAGAAUUGGUGAAUAUGGCAUUCUCCUCCAUGUUGUUUUUCUCCUUGUACAUGAUUCCCAUUUUUACAUUUGAUGAAUAAUAGUAGAAGUGCUUCCUUGAGUUUAGGCACAAGUUUCCCACACUACAAAGUGCUUUGUCAAAAAGAGUAUAUUUAUAGCCAUUGACAAACAAAGAAGAAUAAUAAUAAUUGUUCUAAAAGGGAUCUUUUUACGAAACCAGAAAGAAAUGGUGUGUCCCUUGCUUCUGUGCCUUGAUUUGCAUUGAAAUCCAGAAAACUUUUCUAGAUUCGAUGGAAUCCCUCGAUCUUCCUCAAAACACUUGCAUUCAUCCAAUCUAAGGAUCCUAAGAAGGUUAAUUUUUAAAUUGUCACCUGAUAUUGUUAAGUGACGAAGUUCACUAAGAUUUUGAAAGGAAAAUGGAAAUUCUCCUAUGGAAGUUUCCUUCAACAAGAUAGAUUUUAUAUUUGUCAUCUUGCAUAAUAAUUCUGGAAAACUCUUGAGACUCUUACAAUUAGAGAGUUCCAAAUUCUGAAGAGAGGGAGACUGUAAGGGUGGAAAACUCUCGAGCUUCUCGCAACCCUCUGCAUUUAAGAUUUCUAAUCUAUUUAGGUAUCUAAGUGAAUUGUGAAUUGUAACUAAAUUAUGACAUCUUGCAAACGAGAACUUUUCUAAAUUUGGAAGCCAUGAGACAUCGGGUGUAUAGAUUAAAUCUUGACAAUUGUCGAAUAUCAACACUUUCAUAUUCUCAAGCUUCUGCAUAAACACACAGAAGAAACAAAAAAUAAAUAAAUAAAAACCAAACACUAUACUCUCAUAGUGAAUUAUAAAUAUAUACAAUUAGGAAAUGGAACUAUAUAUGUACAAAAAAAAUGAUAUUGUUUAACUUGCCUUAUUCAAACUACUAGAUGAUGGAGACCUCAGAAUACAUCCUUUCAUUACCCUCAAACUUCUUGGAAGAUACUUGAGACUUUGAAUAUGAUAGCCAUUUUCAGUAAUAAACGUUUUGAGGUGUGUCAUCUUCUUGAAGGCCUUUCCAUUCUUGUCUAUUACGGAUUCCAUAGAGUGCAAAUUCAUAUAUAUCAUUUCAAUUUUACUGGUUCCCUUUUAACGAAAAAAAAAAAAAAAAGAUGAAUCAACCACAAUACAAAUAAGAUAGAGAAAUUUAUGUGUAAUUAACUGAAAAGAAUUAGUAGUAUCAGAUGCUUGUAUACAUAUCCAAAAAGAGCAAAGUCAUGUUAAAAGCUAAAUAACAAAUUGUUCCUGCAUAUCAAUCUUACUCACAGUGUUUUCUUCUAGAACUUCAAAUAUAUCCUUUUCAAACCAUAACCUGCUUCUUUUUCCAGGCUCAAAAGGUGAUUCUAGUCGGACGAGUUCUUUACCCAUGUUCUCUAUCAAGUUAUGUAAUGACACAUGACUAUCGUAUUCAAAAUGGUCAAUGAGACAUUUUUCAACUAGCACUUCAACAUGAUGAUUUAUGCAAUGACCAUAAUGAGCAUGAAGUAUUUCUUUGACCUUUUCCCAUUUACAACCUUUGAAGCAACAAGCAAUGUCUAGAAAGACACUUUGCUCCUCUUCCUCCAAAGAAUCAUAGCUCACUUUAAGUAUUCUUUGGAUCUCUUUAUUGGGAAUCUUUUCAUACCAAUCUAAUGUAUUCUUGCAUUCUUCUAUGUUCUUUCCAAACAAGUUAGAACCCACUAUUUCUAUAACUACCGGAAGGCCAGAAGCAUAAGCAACUACACGAUUCAAAAUCUUUUCAUAACUUGAAGGAACUUUGUCAUUUUUAAAAGCCAUCCACCUCAACAAUUCAAGAGCUUCUGUCACAUUCAACCCUUUUACUGCAUAUGUUUUUUCUAUCUCAUGACAGGCUAGUAAGUGUUUAUCUCGGGUGGUGAUGAUGACUCGGCUUCCAGGACCGAACCAAUCAACUCCUCCAGCCAAAGCAUUCAGUUGCUUCAUAUUGUCAACGUCAUCGAGAAUCAAAAGAAUCUUCUUUCUACACAACCUUUCCUUUAUGAUUGAGAUUCCCUCACUGACAUCUGCUAACUUAAUUUUCAGUUGAAGUGUCUUUGAAAGGAGCAUCUCCUGGAAACGUUUCAAGCUAUUUGAAGCUGAAUUCUCUCUGACUUGUUCAAGAAAACAUAAACCUUCAAAUUGAUCAGCAACAAAAUUAUAGAUUGCUCUUGCAAGUGUUGAUUUACCUGAGCCUCCAAUCCCAUAAAUUCCAACCAUAUGGACCCCAUCAUCAGGUCCCUCAUCAAGAAGCGAUUUCACUUGUUGUACUCGAGACUGCAAUCCAACAGGGUAAGUGGCAACAUGUAAGGACUGUCGACUGAUCUUGUUGGAGAUGUAUUUGACUAUCUUUCCAAUAAGCUCGUAUUCAUAUCUAUUCAUGUCCAAUAAUAUAAGUUAGUAUGUAACAACAUCACACAAUCACAUCCAUGUACUCAUAAUAUAUUAUACAUUUUUAACUAUUUUGACAUAUAAAUAACUAACAAUUGUUUAAAAACAUAAAUAAAAAAGGUGUUACACAUUUAGGCUUUAAGAUGGUAUUGAGGAAUAGAAAUUAAAUAAAUUAAAUGCAAAAAGCAAAACAGGAAUUAAGUAAAUAGGCGUACCCAUGACUAUCAUCAUGGUAGCUGGGCAAGUUAGCAGCCAGACUCAGAGCCACUUUCCAUUGCUGCAACCUCUCCAUGUUUUUCGUAUCAUUUUGAAACCUAUUUUCAUGCUCAGCCAAUGCUUUACCAUACCUACCUGUAUGAUGUCGCACAUCAGUAGGUUCCACACCAAAGAAAACAGGCAAAACGAGGCAACCCUUGGUUUUGUAGCAGUGAAUGAUGUGGACAAGUGUGUCCAAACAAGAUGAAGAAGAUGCAUAGUUGGCAGAAAAUAUGGGAAUCAAAAUCCUGGAUUCUUCAAUAAUGAUUGGUGUGACUUUGUCUCUUCUUUGAAGAUCACUGUCAUCGUCAUCAUGGAAGGUACGAAUUCCCUUGUCAAUAAGAGCCUUCAAGAGAUUGCCGGUGAAACCGUACCGAGUGUCGGUGCCCUUACAAAUGAGGAACACAUCGUAACUGAAUGCAUAGGAAAAUGAAGAGGAAUAGAAAGGUAAUUGCAUGGCCAUGAGAAUUGAGAGAAAUAAGAUGAGAAGAGUUUGAGAAUG
This 89973-nucleotide long non-coding RNA is filed under the name Medicago truncatula (barrel medic). RNAcentral describes it as "long non-coding RNA (MTRU_LNC004408)". The record is from RNAcentral. Lineage: Eukaryota; Viridiplantae; Streptophyta; Magnoliopsida; Fabales; Fabaceae.